GGAGUUCCCGCAACUUCAAGGAAAACUAUCAAUUUUGAAGCUACAAAAUGUAGUUGAUGCGAGGGAUGCACUGCACGCCAAUAUGAAGCACAAGAAAGAUCUCAAGGAGUUAGAGUUUUCAUGGGGUACGGAGGAUGCUGAUGAUUCCCAAAAGGAGAAAGAUGUACUCGACAAGCUCCAGCCUUGCAUGAAUUUGGAGAAAUUAACCAUCGGAUUUUAUGGUGGAACCAAUUUUCCGAAUUGGUUAGGAGACUCGUCUUUUUCUAACAUACGAGUCAUGCAUCUCAGUGACUGUAGUUAUUGUUGGUUGCUCCCACCAGUUGGACGGCUACCGGCACUCAAAGAGCUCUGUAUAGAAAGAAUGAAGUCUUUGAGGACGAUUGGCGUUGAAUUCUAUGACAGAGAUGGAGCUUAUCUGACUCAGCCAUUUCGAUCUCUGGAGAAGCUAGAGUUUAGGGAGAUGCCGGAGUGGGAGGAAUGGGUACCAAGUGGAAGUGCAAGUGGAGGUGAAUAUGGUCCAGACUUUCCUCGUCUCCAGGAGCUGAUUCUAAACGAGUGUCCGAAGCUAAGAGGAAGUUUGCCUUGUGAGUUGCCUUGCUUGAAGAAGCUUACGGUGUAUGGGUGUGAGGUUUUACAUGAUGGAAGGGCGGCUACCGCAACUACCAAUAGUCUUAACUAUAAAUCUCUGGAAGAAUUGGAUAUACAUGGUGGAUGCCAAACUCUGUUAUCAUUAUUAGAGACAAAGCUCCUGUCCCGACUUGACAGACAGUGCUUGCCCAACUGCAAUCGUCUUCAAAGUUUGACUCUUUCGAAUUGUCCAACGCUGUCGUCGUUUCCUAAAGAUGGCCUACCCAGUACGUUGACAUCACUUGAUAUAAACAAUUGUAGGAAAUUAGAAUUCCUACCUCAUGAGAUGUUGGCCAAAUUAACAUCGCUUGACUAUUUGUGCGUACAAAAUAGCUGUGAUUCAAUGAGGUCCUUCCCGUUGGGCAUUUUUCCCAAAUUGACGACGCUUCAAAUUCGUGGUUGUGAGAAUCUGGAAUCUUUUUCCUUGAUUGAAGAAGAAGGAGCUGUUGAGAAUCUUAGCCAUCUCAAUGACUUGCAAGUCUCUAAAUGUCCAAAAAUGGUGUGUUUUCACGAGGGAGAAUUGCCCACUCCCAACCUGAGUCACUUUGUAGUCAGUGAUUGCGAGAAUUUGAAGUCAUUGCCCGAACGCCUUCACACCCUCACAGCCCUUCGAUAUUUGUCGAUAUGGAAUCUUCCGAAUCUGGAGUCAUUUGCAGAAGAUGGGGGUUUGCCUCCCAACCUCCGAUCUUUUAGCAUUUGGAAUUGUAAGAGACUGAGGGCUUCAUCAGUGGGAGAGUACUGGGGUUUGCAAGCACUUGACUCCCUUGAGAUCGAUGGAAGUGACCAUGUCUUGGAGACGUUGCUGUUCCCUGCCACUCUUCACACUCUCCGCAUCUCUGAUCUAUCAACUCUGAAAUCUUUGGACGGAAAGGGUCUUGGACACCUCACUUCUCUUCAAAAGCUAGAAAUUGACAGCUGUCCAAGUCUGGAAUUACUGCCAGGAGAGGAACUUCAACACCUCACUUCUCUUCAAACUCUAAUUAUUAGUUCGUGUGGCAGUCUCCAAUGCCUGCCAGAAGAGGAUUUGCCGUCAUCUCUUUCUCAUCUGAGUAUCUGGCGGUGUCCUCCCCUGGAGAAAAGGUAUAAGAAUAAGACGGGACAAGAUUGGGCAAAGAUAUCUCACAUUCCUUGCAUCAAGAUAGGAUACGAACUGAUCAUAUAAUAUGAGCUAUUCCAUAUUUCAUGCUCAACCCUCAACUCUCAAAUCAAAGUCAGGUGAGGUGUGUGCCUUCUCUUACUUUAAAAAACUGCUUCUCUUCUUCUAAUUGAAUACAAAAACCAAAACACAUAUUCUCUUUCUCUUCCAAAAACCCAAAUACAUGUUGGACAUUGCCCAAAUUUGAUCUCCAAAUUCCUAAUUAUUUCACGCUUUUUGUUAUUUUAUGGUUGCUGGUCACAAAUUAUAUCCUACUUGGAGUAUCAAAUGCUGAAUAAUUAGCAGUCUUUUUGCAGGACGACAUACCUUCUCUUGGCCCUUGGGGAGCUUUUCAAAAUUUGCAAGGUUUCUUUAUGUGGCAUUUCCAGAGGAGGGUCACAGGGCGGAGAAACAGAAAAGGUUUACCUGGAAUAUCUCAUACAUUCCUGCAUGUAGGCAUCAAAUGUACACCAUUUUUAGGUACUUUUAUAUGAAAAAAAUUGUAUUUGAGUCUCAUUUGCACUAGUUUAAAUCAAAUUUAAUGCCUAUGGAUAGUCUAUUAAUAGGUUCAUGCCAUGAAUUAAUCUUUGGACUUUCCCAGGUACUGCAGGUUUGUUAUUAAUGUUGUGGCUAGGUUGUCUUACGUUGAGGAGAGAGAUCGAUCAGCAAUUACAAAAUUGUUAGCGAAUUUAGUUUGUUUAUCAUCUCUCUCCUUUUGUUUGUUAAGUUUUGUUGUUCUAGGUUAAACCCUUGUCCCCGCAUUUCACAGCAACUCUGUGUUAUUCCACUCUGUUUAGAUUUCAUUUAUGUUGUGAUUCGACUGCUGCUGUAUUUUAGAUUUCGUUCAUGUAAUGUUAGGAUGUUUAAUCUCUGAUCUGUGGUGGUAGUUGAGUAGUUGAGUAGUCUAGUUAAUCCAGUAGAUAACUUGUCCCCUGUUUUGUAUUGUUUUUAUUUCUCUGGUAAUGAAAGCACGUUUCUUAUAAAUAAAUAAAAAAUAUUUCAUUGAUAUUCAUUGCUUAUUUUGAACUGCAGAAGCCUACUUUUGUCAGAGUCAGUAGAUGCCAGAAUGAAGUCAUUGCCUAAACACAUUGGCACCCUCACAGCCUUCGACAUUUUGGGAUAUAUGAUCUUCAAAAUCUUGUGUCAUUUGCCUCCCAACCUGCAAUAUUUUCAUAUUUUAAAUUGUGACAGACUGAGCCCUUUGGUGGGAGAUUACUGGGGUUUGCAAGGACUUGGUGGCAAUAUCUUGUAGACGUUUCUCAAGGAACAGCUGCUCAAUGCCACUCUUCGCACUCUAUAUAUUAUGGCCUGUCAGUCUAAAAUUCCUGCCAGGAGAGGAACUUGAACGCCUCUCUUCACUGCAAAGGCUACAUAUUUGUGGGUGUGACAAUACCCAAUUCCUGCCAGAAGAGCGUUUGCUGCCAUCUCUUUCUUAUCUGUGCAUCGACCAUUGUUUUGCCAUGUAGAAAAGGUAUCUCACAUUCCUUGCGUCAAGAUAGGUGAAGAAGUGAUCAUAAGGUAUGAGCUCUCUCUCCCUCUCGCUCACAUACAAAGUACUUAAACACUCAAUCUGAUUUCUAUUAUUAUUUUGCUCAGUAAAUUUUGUUUAAAUUUGCUUUAUUUCUCAUUGCGCUUGUUCUGCUUAUCACAACUUAUAUCCUAUUUAAAUCUCAAAUGCUGAAUAAUUAGCAGGCUUUUCGCAGGACAACAUAUCUUCUCUUGGAGAGAUAUUCAUUUGCAAGGUUUCUUUAUGUGUCAUUUCCAGAGGAGGGUUUACUAUUUAAUAGAAAGGUUCACCUGGAAUAUCUCAACUGACACAUUCCCAAAUACAAGCAUUGAAUGCACAACAUUUUGAGGUACUAUUUUUGUAAUAAAAAUGUACUUGAGUCUCAUUUGAGCUAGUUUAAAUUGUAUUCAAUGUCUAUGGAUAACCUGUGAGCUUAAGUAGUAAGAUAAAACUCACAGUAUAUUAUUAGGGUUUAGGGUUCAACAGGUGAGCUUUAGUUGUACUUUCCUAGGUACUGCAUGUAUAUUAUCUUCGUAUCAACAGGUGGUCUUAUGUGGACGAGCGAGAACAUUGAGGAAUUACAAAAUCUUCUUAGCUUGUUUCAGCUCUGUUUGUCAUCCCUCACAUUUUCUUUGUUAAGCCUUGAUUUUUUAUUAGACAUAAGAAAAAAUGCUUUUAUAAGACAGGAGAUGAAUGCUUUUAUAUGUUGAUGUCAUAGUCAGUCUUCAACCACACUCUGUUUUUAGAAUUCAUUUAUGUUACAAGUGGAGUGCUGCUGUAUUUUAUAUUUCGUUCCUGUAAUGUUUGGAUGUUUAGCUUGAGUAGUCUAGCUUAUCCAGUAGAUAACUUGUCCCCUGUUUUGUAAUGUUUUUGUUUCCUCUAAUGAAAGCAGGUUUUACUUAUCUUGAAUUGCAGAAGCCUACUUUUUGACAUAGGUGGCAUGGCACAAACUCGCAUCCGCAUUUCCUUCCCCAUUGGCAUGCUGUCUCAUCUUUUCUAUUCUGUUACCAGCUUGAAGCUUGUGUAGACAUGUUAUGCUCUUGUAAUUCUGAUCACAAACAUCACUUGACAAAUGGAAAGUCACAAUCAGAUCUUUCAGGUGAUCUGGAGGUUUACUUUCUAACAUUUGUUUUCGUGGGGGGGGGGGGGGAGGACAACAAUACAGAAUUUAAAAUUUCUGAUAAUCAAUAGUAGUUUGCAUAUAUCAGCUGGGACCUGUAUGACUGUAUUAUGUAAUUAAUUAUUCUCUUAUUGUUUUGGUACUGUUAAAAGGAGUUAGCCACACAAAAUAAAAAAGGAGGCCUCUUAUUUCAUACUAAUCGUCUGGUCCAUCUGCUGCUUCACUCCCUAGUAGCUUCAUCUCCUGUCCUUUGCUUUAUUUCUGUUAUUUAUUUUGAUUUCAUGUCCAUUGCUUCAUUUCUGUUUGGAUUCUUAAUUAAAUCUGUCCUGGACUUGAACAAGGGUUAGGUUAGCUGUAUAAUUUGCGGUUUUAUAUACACAACUGUCUACAUUGAUUAAAACCAGCAUUAUUCUAAGGUUCAUUUAGAAUGUAUUAUCACCAAAAUUAUAAAGUAUACUUCUAUUACAAUUAAUUUGUUGAUUCUAAUUUGGACUUGUAGGAACAGACCAAACAUGUUCAUAUGUGGCAUUGCUCAAGUCAUCAUCAUUCGGGACAGAGAAUAAGCCUUCAAAUGUCUGCUGAGUCAAUGAACCUUUCUAGAUAUCUCAAGUGUAAUGGAAAUUGAUGAGUUACAAAGGAUUUGUAAACAUUUUCUACUGGAGGCUAGAAAUGCUUCAAAUAAAUGACUGUGUUGCAAUUAUUUUGUAGGAUCAAAGACUCUGCAAAGAGGUAAGAAAGUCAUCAUCAAAUAACUUUGCUCUUCAAACUUUUUAUUUUUAUUUUUAAAUAUCAGUAAUAACUGGGAAAGCUUGCAUCUCCUUAAAUUGCUCAUUCUUACAUCUUUUAUAGUUUGUUGAUCUUGGGCAAGUGGAGAGAGAGGCGUCAAGUGAUACACAACAACCAUUUUCUGUGAGCUGAUUUGAUAAAGAGAAAUGGUAUGCUUUCUUGUCUUAAGCGGUGUGUUCUGCAAUUAUUUGAAACAAAGGAUGCCGCACUUCAAGUUCGAGAAAAUCAGGUAUUUUAGUAUUUUAUUCUUGAGAAAUUUGAUUUAUGUAGAAACUUGAACAUGUAAAUGAGAGAAAUAUAUAUAUAUAUAUAUUAUAUAUUGUAUAUGCUGUUAAUGAGUUAAUAUGGUGCUUGCUCCUAGUUGGAAAUUUAUGUAGUCAUCUACCUAUGAUCAAAUAAAGAUGAAAAAUAAAAUAAAAUUGAGAGCAUCUUCCUCUCCCCUGCUUUGCUCAUCCCUUGUUCUUCCACUUCAGCCCCACUAUUACACCAUUUUUUCAGCCACAAUUAUAAUAGCUCCAUGAGCAUAUUAACAUCAGUGGCCACAGUUCCAUGAUUUGAGUGCACAGAAAGGUUUCAAAAAUUGUCCCAAAAGUACAGUCGUUCAAAGUGAAAGAGAGUUUUCAAAGCUUAAUUACAAGUUCAUGUUAUUUACAAUAGCAAAAAGCUUUCAUUCUUGCUUACAAACUUGUAUUUCCAAGUUCUGUAAACCUUGGAAUUUCACUUCAUCCAAAUCCCCUUCCAAAGCAGGAAAAAAUGGCAGCAGCUUUGAUUGGAGAGGCUCUCAUCUCUGCUUCUAUCGAGGUGUUGUGUGACAGAGUUACUUCAGCCGAGUUCAUAGACUUAUUUCAGCAGAAGAACUUGAUGAAACACUCCUCAUGAACCUGAAGACAACACUGUUGAUUUUGUUUGCGGUGCUCAAUGAUGCAGAGGAGAAGCAAAUUGUGAACCCUGCUGUGAGAGAGUGGCUUAACAGCUCAAGCAUGCUGUCUUUGAUGCAGAGGACUUAUUUGAUGAGAUUGACACUGAAGCUUUGCGAUGCAAGCUGGAAGGUGAGGAUCAAACCCACAAUAGUUAACCAACAAGGAUCUUUUUGAUUGUUUGAAAGAAGAGUCUUUGAUGAUUUGAAAGGAGAGGGUUGCUUUAUUUCUGUUGGAUGCGUAAUUAAAUCUUAUUUGGAGUUGAACAAGGAUUAGAUUAGCUGUAUAAUUAGUGGUAAACGCCUUUUUCUAAGGGUCAUUUAGACUCCUAUUACGAUUAAUUUGUUGUUUCUAAUUUGGACUUAUAGGAACAGACCAAAUAUGUUCACACGUGGCAUCGCUCAAGUCAUCAUCAUUUCAGACUGAAAAUCAGCCUUCAAGUGUCUGUUGAGCCAAUAAACCUUUCUAGAUAUAUCAAGUGCAAUGGAAAUUCAUGAGUUACAUAGAGAUUUGUAAACAUUUUGAAGAUUGCAACACCUGCAAGUGAGAUAGGCGGUGACGAAAUCAGAGCUGAUUUUGAAGCCUCUGAUGCCCCUGUUGUUGCAAGUUGCACCUGAGAACAUGUUUUUUUUUUCUUUGGGGUAAAAAAACUGGCAACAUGUUCGGAGCUGACAAUUCAAUCCCUGAUGAACUAGAGAAGCGAAGCUCCGGUAAGGAAUUGGUCAAGGUUGUGACAGGGAUGAUUGAUGGUGAAAUGGAUGCUAUUUCUUAUUGCAGCCUGUUCUCAAAGUUCUUGUUGGCAAAUGCAAGAGAUGGAGUAUUUUGAUUGGGAGGAGAUAUAAUGACAUGGCUUGACAAUUCUAGAACAGCCCAUCAUUAAUCCCAGAAAAAAUCCAGUUUCUGCUAAACAAUCACUUAUGGCAAGGCCAACUCUGUAAAUGGAAUUUGUGAUCCCUUGAAAUUGUACACAUUUUUUCUUUUUGAGGAAUUUAAUCAAACAGUAUUCUAAUGUAUUAUGAUAGCACUACACGCUUUUGUUGUAACAAAUUACAAGGAGGAAUUUGGAUUGAGUUUCUUGUAUAAGCACACCUUACACAAAUUUGGUAUAUUUUCUUCCAGCAAGUCUGUUUAUUAACCCCCUUAUCUGAAAUUAAUUGUUAAAAGUUUUGAUUCAUCUUUAAUCAGUGUCUAACCCUUGUUGAAUAACACUCCUCUUUCUAAUUUAUAUUUGAAGUUUGAGGUUUCAAUUUCAAUUGUGGGCUUUGAUUUUACAGAUUUUGUUUGUCAAUUUCAGUUUGGACAAAGCAUAUGCAAACAAAAUAAGCAUUUUAUGUUAUACUUUUGAAAUAGGUGUUGAUUUGAUUUAAUCAUAAGUUUUGCUGGUGCAUUUACUAGGCUAUCAUUCAAUACUUUUGAUCAUAGAACUUCUUUGGUCGAUAUUAUCUUUGUUAAGUUUAACCAUAAAUUUAGAGAGGGGACUUCAACAGAUUUAUAAUCUCAUCAUUAUAGUAUUAAAAAUUAGAGAUUAAGGCAUUGUCUAUUAUCUGAAUUCUGCUUACUUUUAGUUCAUAUGUUUACAUCUUAGCAUAUUCAUGCGAUUAGUGCGGCUCAUACCACAAAGGCAACUUUAGGCUCAUCAAGUGCUAAGCAAUGUCAAGCUUCCAAGUGACAAGUUCUCUACAUAGUUUGAGACCUACACUUACUAGAUAUUAGAUCAUUUCGAUCAUUUCCAUAUGUUUAUAUGUAAUUGACAUGUUAUAACAAUUUUUGUAGCGUUAUAUAAUUAUUUAGCAAUUUAAUUAUUUCUUUGCAUCAAGAAAUAGUUCUUAAGUUAUUAAAAAAAAAAAAAAAGAUUUAAAAAAAAAGAUUUGUUGAUGCUUAAAAAGCAUCAAGAACAGGUAGUUUCUUGACGGUUUAGUGACGUUUCAUAACUGUAGGAGGCUUUUUCUUCCGACAGCUGUAAAUGGGCUGGGUUGCCGUAAAGGGCAGACUGAUGAAAUUGUCCCCUUUUGUCUGAGCUAGAAAAUUAAGCCCCAAAAUACUUCGAAAGGGCAGCAGAGCCUUAGGAAGUAUUUUGGUUACCCUCACCAACUAAAACAACAACAACUUACAGGUAAUUUCUUAAUGCUUACAGAUGAACUCUUGAGCUUGGCAUGAGAGACAUGUGGCAUGGAAGCAAAAUCAACAUGAGUUUAGCACUGAGGGGAAAUUUAGGCUCUCUUGGGGGAAAAAGGGAAGUGUUAAGGUGAGAGAGGAGAAGUUUGUAGGAGAUUUAGCUAAGAAAGGAGAAAUAUAGAACAAUGCUCUUCUGGCAGCUUGACAGAUGCUCUGUCUGCCAGAAAAGGAAGAUGGAGAAGAAAUGUGAAUAGUGCACGAGUUUGCUAGAUUUUUGCAGGUAAGAGAGGAAGCUUGCUCUCUGGGUCUGAGUUGAGUUUUGUUAGGUGGAAGAGACCUCAUUUUAUAGCUCCUGGAAACCAUCACUUCCCAAGAAACCCUAAUGGCUUCUACCCAUUUUGGCCAAGCUUUUCCAUUCCUUUCUCAUUUCCUUCCUUGACUUUACCCCUCUUGAUGAAAUCCUCUCUACCUAUUUGCACCAGAUCAGAGUUUUUUGAAGCUUAAGGCCCCCUUUUCCCGCAGUUGUCUCAAUGGGAGACUUUCAUUCCUAGUCAUUUCCUUUAUUGCUUUCCUUUCUUUUUUUCAUGGCCAAGUCUGGUGGGGAAAGGAGUUGGGAUAAAUAUGCUAGUUUGAAGGGUGCUUCUCUUCUUGGCAUCUUACACACUAAUACCCCUUGGUUCCUUGAAUGUUUUGGCUUUGAAACUUGCUCCCCUCCAUGUAUUGGAACCUCCCAGCAGCCCUGGUCAAUGAAUCUUCAGACCUUCUCUUCGUGGCUUUUAUUUUUUUAUCAACUGGCUAGGGCUUUUGUGGCUCAUUGGGGCAAUUGUAUGGGCUAAGGUGGUUCAUUAAGUAAGUGGGCUAUUUUUAUUAAACAUUGAGCUUUUUGGUUGAGUCACUAGGCUAUUUUGAUUGGGCUAUUGGGCUAUUGUUUCCUCUCUUGUGCUCACCCACAUGUUUGGACCAAAGAAAUGAGCUUGAGUCCUGAGGCUCCCAAGCGACCCGAGACUUUCCAUUUAUCGGUCCAUCAAUGGGCCUCAUGUUGAUUUAUUACCAUCCAUACCACACCCCACUCAAGCAAGCCCCGGGCAUUUGAGUGGCUUGGGCCCACUUAGGCUUGUAGUGUGGUUGGGUGCAAAAUAACGAUUUCGUGCUUGGCAUGUUUUAAUUUUAUCAUCCAUGGGAAAGGCUGCGAUGUUUGAUUUCGGCAUGGGCUUGUAGAGCUGGUAUGCUUUAUUUCAACUCCUAGCAUGACGAAUUAUUUAUUUAGCAUGGCACGUGAAUUACAACUCGCAUGUGGUGGGUUUUUGUGUACUACACCUUACGCCUCUUCUUAAUAGAACAUCGUUUCUGAUAAUUUAUUUGGGCCCAACCGUGAAUUUUUUGGAUCUCAAUAAUAACCAUCAUGAAACAUUACAUUUUGACUGACAUCAAGAAAUGGGGUAUCCCUUUCUUGAUAGUGGCAUCCAUGAUGCCUUCCAAGCCGUCAAUUAAGGGCUAUCGCGAUGCAUUUUAGUUGUCAGCAAAAGGUGUUUUUCUUGUACUAUAUUCACUCAAAAUCGUGUUUCAUUUAAGAUUAGUAGUAUGGUUGAAUACCAUUUGUUUUGUUAAAGAAUAUUAUACAUUAGGGAUUUUUGUAGAAAUGUCAUUUGAACUUAUACCUUAGUUUCAAUUUGUCACCUUGAAGAAAAAUUUAAGAGAAAUAUCACCUUAAUUUUUUAAAAUCCAUGAUUUGUCAUAUGACUUUAAGAUCAUCCAAUUUUCCAUCCAUUUUAAGGGUAUUUUAGACUUUUCAUUUUCAAGGAAAAAAAAGAGAUGAAAAAAGAGACCUCUCUCUUACUUUGUCCCCCAACCCAACCCCACCCGCCCCCAAAAACACAUCACAUAGGAUUGCCUCCCCCUUCCCCACUUUUCUUUUUUCUUUUUGUCAUACUUUUCCACUGUGUUUAUGUUGAAGGAUCUAAAGUUUGCUUGGUCACCAUCUUUUACGUAGGCUUCCUAAUUGUUGGUUUGGGUGGGUUGUGGGAAUUUGUGUGUGGAGGGCAAGGCUCUAUCUGACAGGACCCACCUCGAAUUCCUCGAAACCCGAGACGAAUCUUGUAGAAUUUCCGACAUCACACCGAUGCCGGGUCCACUUCUGAACUAAAUCCUCUUUUCCAAAAUUAAGGAAAAAUAGUACGAGGCUUUCUGCCAAAAUUUCGGCAGUCUUCCCUAUAAAUUUAACGUUUCAGCUUUGGAGGCCGUUCUUUCAUUUCUGCUUUGGUGGCCGGAUGAGAGAACGGCCGGCUAAAACGUGGCCAGCUGGCACUGCCGUCACGAGAGAGAGAGAGAGAGAGAGAGAGAGAGAGAGAGAGAGAGAGAGAGAGAGAGAGAGAGAGAGAGAGAGAGAGAUGUUUAUCAAACCAUUUUUGCCAAAAUUACGAUUAUGCAACUGAGGGUAUUUUGAUCGUAUCUUUUUCGUUAUAACUCCGAUUCAAGCCCACUACAUAUCUACGGACUCAUCUCGCCGUGCUCUAUGCAAUUGUAUAGUUGAAAUUCCCAAAUUCCAUCCCAGUCAAAAAGUCAACUUUAAACCUUAUAAAAUAUUCUAAGGGCAAAAUGGUCUUUUAUCUAAUUAAAUUAAUAAUUGAAAAUUUAUUUAGGACCGGGUCGUUACACUGUCGUUGAUGGACUGUGCGAUGGCACUCACACAAAGUCCUUAAGAAUAAAACACACACACACCAUGAAGAGAGUAAAACAAAUGCACAAAGAUUUAUAAAGGUUUGGCCUCCUGCCUACAUCCUCUUGGUGAUCCACCCGAGAAAUUCACUUGUACGUAAGAACAACUUUGGUUACAACUAAACCCCCUUAGCUUUCAUAAGAACCCUAGAUCUCUUUUCUCCCACCCUUGCUCCAACCCUUUGAUGCCCUUGUAAACACUCAAGAAUUCAUCCUUGAAUUCUAUCAUGUGUUACAUCUUCUCUUCUCCCCUUUGCCAACCUAACCCUACAAGUUAUAUUUAAAAUUCAUUGGACUUUAAGUACAAGUUAACUAGGAAUAGGAAACAUAAAAGACCCCAAAAAUUGGAGAAAAUAUGUCUAGAUCUCAUUAGGAAAUUGCACAACACGUGCGAUCCUCUCGAGCGCCUGCAAAAUCAUCCCUUUGCCGCUCGAGCUGCCGAUAGCUCAUGGGAUGGGGGAAUUAGAAAUUUUUUUUUUUCAAUUUUAAUUGUUUAAAAGAUAUACAAUUUAUUAAUAAUAAUUUUUCCAUUUUUAAAAUACCCUUGAAAAUAGAAAGAUUAAAAUGCCCUUAAAAAUGGAUGGAAAAUUGGAUGGUGUUAAGGUCAGAUGACAAAUCAUGGAUUUUGAAAAAUUAAGGUAACGUUUCUCUUAAAUUUUUCUUUACAGUGACAAAUUGAAAUUGAGGUAUAAGUUCAAGUUACAUUUCUGCAAAAAUUCUUAUACAUUAUGAUAUUCUAACAAUAAUUGGCUAAAAUUGAUAUGUUCCCUCUUUUAUUUUCUUUUUCUCUUUUCCUUUUCAUUUUAUGAUCCAAUCCUUUUCAUAUAUUUUUGUUCAAGACUUUGUUUUAUAAUGCUCUAUUACUAAUUUGGUACAGGUCCCUAAAAUCUCGGAGCCGCCUUAGUACAUUCAUAACGUACAUGUUCAGAGUUCAAGAAUAAUGUAUAGAAUGUGAAAUUGACGAUGCCGGCCUUUAUGAGGCAACAUCUUUAUUUCUUUGGUUAUUCCAGUUUAGAAUAUUUGCACAAAUGAGAUGACUCCAAGCAUAAAGUCACAUUCGACCAAAAAGCAUAAAGUCACACACAAAAAGAACACGGACAAUUGCUAAGUUUAUCCUUGUACCCUUAUUUUAUUGAUCCGACCCAAUUGAAAAAUAAAAAAAGAUGAUAAAAAAUAUUGUUCACUGCUUUAAAAUCUAUGAGUAGAGUCCUCCAUUUGAAAUUUGGUCAUUAUACAAAAUUGGAAUGAAAAAAGAAAAUCCUAAAGCUAUAUUUGAUAUAUUUCAUUUUCAUUUUUUGCUGGGUGUUAGGGCUCGUCAAUGGGCCGGGCCUGGCUAGCCCGGCCCGAAUUUAAUGGGCUUGGGCCAGGCCGGCCCAGGCUUUAAAGAGGAGAGAGAAAAUAUCAGGUCGAGUUUUUUAAGAAAAUUCAAAGCCCAAGCCUGACCCAUGAGCCGGGCUUGAGAAAGCCCAUCGGGCCGGGCCGGGCCUAAACGGGCCCUACUUCAUUCAAAAAAAAUCAUUAACUUAAUCAUAAGGUCAUUUUAGUCCAAAUUUGAGAUUAAACUCACUUAAUUCUAAUAUUUUUACUUCAAACCAAAUUCAUAAAACACCCAAUAAAGUCACACAACUUGUAAGAUUUUCCACAAAAAUAAUAAAACCAAGUAUUAUUUUUGAGGUUAUUACAUAAUUAGAUCGUAAUACGUUUUAAAAAAUAAUUUUUAAAAAUAAUAUUAAUAAGUAUCAAAAAAAUAUUUUUUUAAAGGAUGGUAUGAAUAAAUAUGCAAAUAUUUGGUGAUGUGUUCAAGAAAAGGAUGAUUAUAUUUGGUGGUACGAUUAUGUUUCGUGAUACGAUUAUAUUUAGUGAUGUGAUAUGUUGUUCAUCUUAUAUAUAUAUAUAUAUAUAAUUGUUGAACUAAUAAUUGACACAAAUUAAUGUGUUAAUCAUCCAAUUAUAAACUAGGAGUGAAUAAAGAAAAGUAAAUGAAAUGAAACAAAUUAUAUGUGUGAUUUAAGUGAUAUAAUCCUAAACCUAAACUCUUAUUUAUACAUAAUUAUAUAUGUAUGCGGGCCUAACGGGCCGGACUUUUGUGGGCGUGUCGGGCCGGGCUUUCUUGGGCUUAAUCAGGCUGGACCUAUGGGUCAGGCCGGGCUUCAAACACCCCAACACGAGCCUAGCCUAGCCCGCCUUGGGCCGGGCCAUCUCAAAGCCCAUAACGAGCCGGAUCGGGCUUUUUUCGAUUGGCCGGGCGGGCCCCCUCGACCCAUGAGCCCGCGGGCCAAAUGAUGAGGCCUACUGGGUGUUCAAUUUUUCUUGUUUCUUGUUGAAAAGAAAAAUGAUAAUUAAUAAAAUCUGAUUUGGUGGUUGUGCUCGUCACAAAUCAAUGAAAUGACAGCAGUGAUUUUGCAAGACAGCAUACCUUCUCUUGGGGUGCUUUUCAUUUUGCAACAUUUCUUUACGUGUAAUUUCCAGAGGAGGGUUUAUCAUUGUAUAUAGCUCUUCGGGUGGUUUUUUCUGCAAAACAAAUGUCACAAGGAAGGAGGAGAAACGGAAAAGAUUUACUUGGAAUGUCUCAAGUCUCCUUUGAGAUAAAGGCAUCGAAUGCACAACAUUGUUUUUGUGCUAUUUCAUAAUUAAAGUGUGCUUCCCAAGUCUCCUUUGCGUUUUGUAACUUGUAAUGUUUGUUUUUUUGUUUCCCCUGUUUUGUCUUUUAUAAAAGAAAGAGGAAUGCUAGCAACCUUCUCUCUAAUCUUCUCUUUUGGACCUUCUCCCUUUUCUUUUUGACAAGUGUCAUUUUCCAUACACUUAAAACAAUGACAUUAAUGCAUCACACAAUUUAGUUUUUGUUUUCCAAGUUUACCAUUUUAAAAUGUAUUGGCUUUUAUAUUUCCUUCAAUUAUUCACAUUUUGUUAUAACUUGUUUAGCACAUUAUUUUUUUUAAUUUAAAAAAAGUCAUAUUUUUUAAAAAUAAAAAUAAAGUUUGUUUCAUGACAUUGUUAUCAUUUUUAUUUUGUUUUUAACAAAACACGCAUUCUCUUUGGAAAAAUUAAAAAUUAAAAAACAAUUCAGUUUUUAUUUUCUUAUUUAAUUUUUAACAAGCUAGUAAGAAAGUUAUAAAAAAAAAUUAGCUUGUUAUUAAAAAAAAAUUAAUACAUUUAAUAAGGGUAAAUUUGGAAAACAAAAACUAGUUUGUGUGAUGCAUUAAUGACAUUGUUUUUAGUUUAAGGAAAGUGACACUUGUCAUGAGAAGAAGGGAGAAGGUCCAAAAGAGAAGGUUAGAGAGAAGGUUGUUAGCACUCCCCAUAAAAGAAAUACAGGUCUGAACCACACGGAUCUACUUGCAUAAUAAUGGACCAAAUUUAUGAUUUUUAGAAAGAACCUUCUACUGGUGGAAUCUUGGGCUACUGUUGUGGCUCUCCUCUGUGUGCCUCCUUUUUAGAAUGGUAAAAUAUUCAAAAUACCAGAAAAUGUUCAUGAUUAAUGCAAAUAUUAAGAAUUGAAAUUAUUAAUUAAAUGAAGAUAAUAUGGUAAAUUCACACUUUUUCAUAUUAAAAAAAUUAAAAUUAAAAGAAAUAUCAGAUAAUUACUCUUAUUUUUAUGGAACACAGCUACCCAUUAUCUUUUUUAAUUAUAAAAUAAAUUUAAAUUAUAAAAAAAAAAUCCUCUCACAUGCACGGAAGCGCGUGCUCAGAGGCUAGUUAAAAAUAAUGAACUUUGCUUCUGAUGUCUAUACCAGACCCACUCAACCUGCUUUAUGAUUAUACAAAGAACAAACUCGUCCUUAGACUCAUUUGGUUAAACUUAGAAAAUAAUGAAACAAAAAUAUACACACCCACAAGUAACACAGCCAGGAUUGAAAACAACUGGACAAAGAAAGGCAUGUUAAAACAGAAUUUUCAACAACUCAUCACCAUUAGACAAGAAAAAGAAAAAUCAAUACAGAAACAGAAAGAACAGAGAAUAAAUGUGGUGGAAGAAAAACGUUGAAGCCAUUUGUGAAUCCAACAACACUACCACUCUGUUUCUCUCCUUUUGUUCAGGCGGAUCUGCAUAUAUCCUAAGGCGUAUUACGGAAACAACUUCUUGCCGUUAUACUUGAAUGUUGUGGAUGCUUCAACGUUGCCAUCUGGGUGGAGUGGAUUUGUCCAAUUCACCUUCACUAUGGUUAAUCAACUAGACAGACAUAAGUCAGAAACAAUAGGUAUAUAGGUCCAAAUUGUUGUUAUUUGAAAGGCUUCUAAAUUUUAACAUUUUGAUUUCUAAAUUUUGUUUUAAUAUUUCGGCCCACUUAGUUCUUCUCAAAAUAUGUCAUCAAUAUCGUUGAAAGGUUGAACUUAGUGAAUUAUUAUAGUGCAGUACGGUAAAAUAGGCACAUGAUAUAAUUUGUCCACAUGUUCUAAUAUAAGUGAAUAUUUAUUGAUAUUAUUUUCAAAAAUAAAAAAUAUCAACCAUUACAUCCUCCCAUAUUAUAAUACAUAUACAAAUUAUACCACAUUAUCAUACUCUAAUACCAUUUUAUAAUUUCUCGUACUUAGGAGGUAUAGAGCGAGUCAAUGACAUUACAUAAUAUAUAAUUGUUCAUAUAAUGGGGCAACUAACGUGAUCAACAAGUUGUGGUGAUUAAUUUAACAUAAUAAAAAACAUACCAUUUACUAUGUAACAAUUUGUUCUUUUAAAUUGGAUUGUCAUCACUUUAAUAUGUUAUGUUUCUUAUUCUAGUCUCCCAUGUUAAGUGCUUCAGCAUUGUUUGUGGUGUGUACACAAAUUUUCUUAUAAAAUGUUUUAAUGCUUCUCACAUGUAUAUCAGAUAUAGACAGUUGAUGUGACUUAGAAAUCAAAUUGUCAAUAAAGAAAAAAAAUAUAAUUGGUGAUCGAGGUCCAAUUUAAUAGAAAAUAGUCUUAAUUUGUAUAUUAAAGGUUUCAGAUUCGAAUCCUCACUGCAUUAUUGUUGUAUGCGUACACGAGAAAUUCUAUUUCCCAAUAAUUUAGAUUAUCACUUAUACUAAAAAAAAUAUAUAUAAUAAGUUUUACGAAUGCAAACAUAAAAUUACACCAAACAAUAAUGGAAUAGAAAGAUGGAAGUUUUUUUUUUUUCCUACAUCUAAAGUAUACUUUAUAUAUAUAUUUAUUAUGGGAGUUAUAACCGUUUAAUUUUCAGUUUUUAUUUUCUAUUUAUUGUGUUAAUUUUUAUGGUUUAAUAUGUAUGGAGAUUACAAGUAUUGGAUGUCUAUAAAGGGCCACUCCUCCUUCACAUCUGAAACAAACCACCAUCUCAUUUCUGUAUUUUCAUACUUUCAUAUAUUUUCUACUUUCCAGAUUAUUAUUUUUGGGCAACGGUUUUGUGACUUGGAGAUUUCUAUCCGAUUGUUAACAUGCUCAUAACGGACCUUGAGCUUGCGUAUUGGGGAUCGUAUCUUGGAGCCUUGUAGACCUUUAUUACGUGCAUGUAGGGAGGCUACAAAUGCUUUAGGUCAGCGUCUUUGACGUACUUUUGCUUUCUUUUUUUACUUAUUUCUUCGUUUCUUUAUUUUUACUUUACUUUUAAAUCUUUAUUUUAUGUAUUAUUUAUAUUUAAAAGUUUUGAAUAAGAGUUUUACAGAAAAGGAAAAACACAAUUUCAAAUAACACAAAUUUCUCGUUUUUUGUUCUUAAAAAAGAAGAAGCAUUGAUUGGGGAGUUAUGGUAAACUCAGUUUCAAUGGUUGCGAUGAGAGGCGGUGGCGGCGAGGAGAGGACGAAGGCUUUGCUGCCGACGGGGUGGUGUGGCUGGCUGCUUGGUCCUGGGUUCUCCUUUAAUUCUCUGUUUUCUUUUUUCAUUUUCUUUUUCUCUUAGAGUUAUUGAUGUUAAGUGAAUGGACAGAUGCCAAAAUAGGGACAGAAGAUGUGAACCCAAUUAUAUACAGCUGCUGCUAUAGCUGAUUACAUAAAGUAACAAAUUAAUUAAUGCUUGAGUGGAGGACAGGCUUGAGUGGAAGAAUUGAUUAAGGCUUGAGUGGAAGACAAACUUCAGUGGAGGAAAGUAUAGAUAAGGAAAGCAUGCCUCGUUUAACGGCUUUAUCUAAUAAAGAUUACUUGUUGGCACUUGGAGUUUCUUAGGAAUGCUGGUUUUGUUUCCUUGGUGGACUUGAAAGGUGGUGCCUUGGCUCGGACAUCUCCCAAGACAUACAACUGCUCAUUAGCUGAAUAUCUCGCUCUCUUUAAAGAGAUCGAAGCAAACACAAUUUGCAAUUUGUGUGAUUCAAGCAUGAAUAUCUGAUAUAGUAACUAUACCAUUUGUUGGUUUGAUAAGAAAAGUUUGGUUAGCGAGGAUGAAACCAUAAAGUUCCCAAAACACACAAAGAACACGGACAAUUGCUAAGUUUAUUCUUGAGUUCACACAUAUUUGCACAAAUGAGAUUAUUCCAAGCAUGAUUAUACCAUUUGUUGGUUUGAUGUGAAAAGUAUGGGCAACGAGGGGUAAAACCAUACAAACACACACGAAGAACGUGGACAAUACUAAAUUUAUCUUUACGUUAUUGAUCCGACCUAACUGUAAAAUAAAAAAGAUGAAAAUAUAUAAUGUUCAGUACUUAGAUCUAUGAGCACUUGCACAAAACAUCACUUUUGGUCUUUGGUAAAUUUUUAAAAUAAAUGAAUUUUUUACUUAUUUGUGAACUGAAAUGCCUCUAAAAAAAUAAUGAUAGUUCGAAGAAUUUGAUAGAAAUUAAAAAAUAUCCUCAAAUUACUUGGAAUUGAAGACCACAUAGGCAAAAACACGAAAUUGAAACCUCACUUUAAUGAUAAAAAUGGUAAACUACAAAGACAAAAAUGACGUCUUGCCUUAUAAAUAAUUGGAAUUUGCUGGUGAUAAUAGUCGAUAUCAUCUUUUGUCGGUCCGACCUAAAAAGAAGAAAAAGUUAAAAGCAUCUUGUACCAAUUUUUGCCAAUGUGGGCCCAAACAAUUUGAAGAAGUCCACCGGCAAUUUCUCAAAAGCUAUUGUGUGAGUGUGAAGCUAAACCAAUAUUAUUUUGCAUAUCCGACCCCACAUCCCCAUGUGAUGUGAGGCUACAGAGGUGUUUCCAAAACGAAAUAUGAUAUUUCAAAACGUAGCUAUGUAUAGAGUCAUUUGUAUUUGCUUUCACAAUAACAUUUGAUUUUAUAUUUAUACAUUCUGAUAUUUUAACAAAUAAAUUGACUAAAUUUGGCCAACAGGAUUUAGCCGAAUAGAAAAGUUCUUAUUUAUGGACUAGUAAUUUUAAAUUUAAAAUUUAGACUAUCGCAUGUAUUUAAAAAAAACUAAACAAUUGGCUUAAUUUGAUAUAUUUCCUUUUUUUCCUUUUUGCAUUUUAUGCUGGUUGCCGUUAUUAAGUUUUAUCCUUAUUUUUUGUUGAAAAGAAAAUUGAAAAAAAUAAUAAUAAUUCCUACAGCUAGCAACUUCUCCACCUACAAAAAAUAAUAUUUUUUGUUUUAUCCUCAUGUGAGGCUACAGAAAAUUUUUGAAAACGAAACUGGAUAUUUUAUCUCUAACGACAGCUUUCAUACUUCGUUUACCCUGUGUUUCCAAGUUGUGCUAGCUAUUUGCAAACCUUGGAAUAUUACUUCAUCCAAAUCCCUUGCAGAGAAAAGAAAGAUAUGGCUUUGAUCGGAGAGGCCCUCAUCUCUGCUACCAUCCAGACGUUGUGUGACAAAAUUGCUUCGCCUGAGUUCACCGACUUAUUUCGGCAGAAAAAGCUCGAUGAACAACUCCUCAACAAGCUGAAGACGACGCUGUUGACCUUGUCCGUAGUGCUUAAUGAUGCAGAGGAGAAGCAAAUUGAGGAACCUUUAGUGAGAGACUGGCUUGACAAUCUCAGACAUAAUGUCUUGGCUGCGGAGGACUUACUGGAUGAAAUCGACACUGAAGCUUUGCGAUGCAAACUGGAAGAAGGUGAAGGUCAAACCCACAAUUUAACCAAGAAGGUACGUGAUUUUUAUCAACGCAUGAAUGUUGAGAUGAAAGAUUUAUUAGAAAGAUUAGAACAAUUUGUACAAGAGAAAAGUGCUCUUGGUUUGAGAGAAGGUGCUGGGAGGAAGGUUUCACGAAGAACAACAACUUCCUUGGUUCAUGAACCUUGUGUCUAUGGUAGAGAUGAAGUCAAAGAAAAUCUGUUGCCAAUUUUGUUAUCUGAUGAUGCAAGUAAGGAUGAUGUGUCUGUCCUCACCAUUGUUGGAAUGGGUGGGAUUGGCAAGACAACCCUUGCCCGACUGCUUUAUAAUGACGAUGAGGUGAAAGAACAUUUUCCACUUCACGCUUGGGUUUGUGUUACGGAAGACUAUGAUUCUAAUAGGAUAACUAAAACUCUUCUAGAGUCAGUCACCUCAAAGUCUUCUAAUAUGACAGAUCUAAAUUUACUUCAAGUUGAACUAAAAGAACAACUCAAGGGAAAGAAAUUCUUAUUUGUUUUGGAUGACCUAUGGAAUGAGAAAUAUGGUGAUUGGAAACGCCUCCAAACUCCUUUUACUUCUGGGGCAAGGGGAAGUAAAGUCAUUGUAACAACACGGAGCCAACAUGUAGUAUCUGUCCUGCAAAGUGUUCAUGUUCAUCACUUGGAACCCUUGUCGCACGAAGAUUGCUGGUUCUUACUUGCAAAACAUGCAUUUGGAAAUGAAAAUUGCAGUGAUCCAAACUUGGAAGAAAUUGGCAAGAAAAUUGCACACAAGUUCAAUGGGUUGCCUUUAGCUGCAGAAACACUUGGGGGUUUGUUACGUUGCAAUAUAGAUUCAGAGGAAUGGAAUACAAUACUAAAUAGCAGUAUUUGGGAGCUACCCUAUGAUAAAUGUGACAUUCUUCCGGCUCUUGGGUUGAGUUACCAUUAUCUCUCCUCCCAGUUAAAACGAUGCUUUGUUUAUUGUUCAAUUUUUCCAAAGGAUUAUGAGUUUAAAAAGGAAGAUAUAGUUCAAUUUUGGAUGGCAGAAGGUUUAAUUCCAAAAGCUGAGAAUGGAAAGAGCAUAGAAGCGGUAGCUAGAAAAUACUUUGAUGAGCUGUUGGCACGAUCGCUAUUUCAAAAGUCAAGCAAAUCCGGUUUCACAAUGCAUGAUCUCAUUAAUGACUUGGCCAUGUUCAUGUGUAAGGCAUUUUGCCUUAGGUUGGAAGGGGGGGAAUCACAUGUCGUAGAAAAAGUUCGGCAUUUUUCAUAUGCUAUGGAAAGAUUUGAUGCAGCUCCAAAAUUUGAGCCAUUACAUAGGGCUAAGUUUAUGCGGACCUUUCUACCCAUAUCAUUAAAUUUUGUUUCCACUUCUUAUGUAACUAAAAAGGUUCUACAAGAUUUGUUGCCGUCACUAAGAUGUUUACGGGUGUUAUCAUUGUCACAUUAUCAAAAUGUUACUGUGUUACCUGAUUCUAUUGCAAACCUCAUUCACUUGCGCUACUUGGAUCUUUCCGGUACCGCAAUUGAAAGGUUACCUGGGGUACUUUGCAAUCUCUACAACUUGCAGACAUUACUAUUGUCAAAAUGUUUCUCACUCCUUGAAUUGCCUGCAGACAUUAGAAAAUUGACUAAUUUACAGAAAUUGACAUUGCUCGGUUGUAGUUCUCUUAAUAAAUUGCCUGCAGGCAUGAAGGAGUUGACUAAUUUGCAUCAUCUUGAUGUCAGUGGAACUAAAAUUGAAGAGAUGCCGGUGCAAAUGGGUAGAUUGAAAAGUUUGAGAACAUUGACUGCAUUUGUUGUGGGCAAAUCUACUGGGUUAGGCAUAAGAGAACUGAGGCAGUUCCCGCAACUUCGAGGAAAACUAUCAAUUUUGAAGCUACAAAAUGUAGUUGAUGCGAGGGAUGCACUGCACGCCAAUAUGAAGCACAAGAAAGAUCUCAAGGAGUUAAAGUUUUCAUGGGGUGCGGAGGAUGCUGAUGAUUCCCAAAAGGAGAAAGAUGUACUCGACAAGCUCCAGCCUUGCGUGAAUUUGGAGAAAUUAUCCAUCAAAUUCUAUGGUGGAACCAAUUUUCCGAAUUGGUUAGGAGACUCGUCUUUUUCUAACAUACAAGUCAUGCAUCUCAGUGACUGUAGUUAUUGUUGGUUGCUCCCACCAGUUGGACGGCUACCGGCACUCAAAGAGCUCUGUAUAAAAAGAAUGAAGUCUUUGAGGACGAUUGGCGUUGAAUUCUAUGGCAGAAAUGGAGCUUAUCUGACUCAGCCAUUUCGAUCUCUGGAGAAGCUAGAGUUUAGGGGGAUGCCGGAGUGGGAGGAAUGGGUACCAAGUGGAAGUGCAAGUGGAGGUGAAUAUGGUCCAGACUUUCCUCGUCUCCAAAAGCUGAUUCUAAACGAGUGUCCGAAGCUAAGAGGAAGUUUGCCUUGUGAGUUGCCUUGCUUGAAGAAGCUUACGGUGUAUGGGUGUAAGGUUUUACAUGAUGGAAGGACCGCUACCGCAACUACCAAUAGUGUUAACUAUAAAUCUCUGGAAGAAUUGGAUAUAAGUGGUGGAUGCCAAACUCUGUUAUCAUUAUUAGAGACAAAGCUCCUGUCCCGACUUCGGAUUCGAAAUGUUGUUGACAUACAGUGCUUGCCCAACUGCAAUCGUCUUCAACGUUUGACUCUUUGCCUAACGCUGUCAUCGUUUCCCAAAGAUGGCCUACCCACUACAUUGACAUCACUUUAUAUAAACAAUUGUAGGAAAUUAGAAUUCCUACCUCAUGAGAUGUUGGCCAAAUUAACAUCGCUUGACUAUUUGUGCGUACAAAAUAGCUGUGAUUCAAUGAGGUCCUUCCCGUUGGGCAUUUUUCCCAAAUUGACGACGCUUCAAAUUCGUGGUUGUGAGAAUCUGGAAUCUUUUUCCUUGAUUGAAGAAGAAGGAGCUGUUGACAAUCUCAGCCAUCUCAAUUCCUUGCGUGUCUAUAACUGUCCAAAAAUGGUGUGUUUUCACGAGGGAGAAUUGCCCACUCCCAACCUGAGUCACUUUGUAGUCAUUGGUUGCGAGAAUUUGAAGUCAUUGCCCGAACGCCUUCACACCCUCACUGCCCUUCGAUCUUUGAAUAUAUGGAAUCUUCCGAAUCUGGAGUCAUUUGCAGAAGAUGGGGGUUUGCCUCCCAACCUCCGAUCUUUUAUCAUUAGGAAUUGUAAGAGACUGAGGGCACUUGACUCAGUGGGUUUGCAAGCACUUGUCUACCUUCAGAUCGAUGGAAGUGACCAUGUCUUGGAGACGUUGCUGCUCCCUACCACUCUUCACACUCUCUGCAUCUCUGAUCUAUCAACUCUGAAAUCUUUGGACGGAAAGGGUCUUGGACACCUCACUUCUCUUCAAACUCUAAAAAUUUACAGCUGUCCAAGUCUUCAAUGCCUGCCAGAAGAGGGUUUGCCGCCAUCUCUUUCUCAUCUGAGUAUCCGCUGUUGUCCUACCCUGGAGGAAAGGUAUAAGAAUAAAACGGGACAAGAUUGGGCAAAGAUAUCUCACAUUCCUUGCAUCGAGAUAGGGGAAGAAGUGAUCAUAUAAUAUGAGCUAUUCCAUAUUUCACGCUCAACCCUCAACUCUCAAAUCAAAGUCAGGUGAGGUAUGUGCCUUCUCUUACUUUAAAAAACUGCUUCUCUUCUUCUAAUUGAAUACAAAAACCAAAACACAUAUUCUCUUUCUCUUCCAAAAACCCAAAUACAUGUUGGACAUUGCCCAAAUUUGUCUCCAAAUUCCUAGUUUAAAUCAAAUUUAAUGCCUAUGGAUAGUUUGUUAAUAGGUUCAUGCCAUGAAUUAAUCUUUGGACUUUCCCAGGUACUGCAGGUUUGUUAUUAAUGUUGUGGCCUGAUAUUCGUCGUAUCAAUACGUUGAGGAGAGAGAUCGAUCAGCAAUUACAAAAUUGUUAGUGAAUUUAGCUUGUUUAUCAUCUCUCUCCUUUUGUUUGUUAAGUUUUGUUGUUCUAGGUUAAACCCUUGUCCCCGCAUUUCACAGCAACUCUGUGUUUUUCCACUCUGUUUAGAUUUCACUAGCAGGAGAGCCCGCGCGAUGCUGCGGGUUUUGAAAUUGUGUAGACAAAAUUAGAUUGUUUAUAUAUACAAUGAGAUUUAAUUUAUAACAUUAUGUUUAACUACAGGAGUGUAAGUUGCAAAAAAGUAUAUAAUAACAUAUUUUACAGGCUACUUGUUAUGGUAAAAUACUAUACUUGUUUGUAUAUACAUUGAGAUGUUUAUAGUAGGAAGUAGGCAUCAAAAUAGCAAAAGUUGGAUAGUUUUGUACAGAAUGUUAUUUAAUUGGGCAAGCUUUGUUUUGCACUUGCUUCAUGAUUUUUCUUCUCUUUCAUGGAAGUCUUGAUCCUGUUAUAAAAAAAAGUGAGAAAAUAGUAAAUGUUAAUAUUGAUGAAUGGGGGAAAUUGAGUUAGGACAAUAAUCAUAAACAUUUAAUUAUGUAUAAACAGGAAUAAUAUAAUUUAUUGAUUUAAUAAGAAAGUUAUAAAUAGUUUUUCAAUCUAGGAAAUACAAAGUUACAAAAUUAAGAGAACUAAUGAGCAAGUUGUAGAUGGUUUUCUAAUUGAAGUAAUACAAAGUAAACAUAUUUUAAAUUUUGUGUUUGUCUAAAAGAAAAGUUGAAGAGAGGCAAAAUAAUUAUGGUUGAAUAUAUGGAGAAAAGGAUGUCAAUAUAAUGUUUAGGUUUUUAUGUAUUAGGAAUAUAUGACUUUUUUGCUGUUAUUUAGAGCAAAAAUUAUUUAAGGGCUUGACAUUUCUGUUAAAAAACGGGUAGAAUCUACCCUGAAAAAUGGACAUUUUGCCAAAAAAUUCACCUGUAAACUAAUUAGUACUGAAUACCGAUUGGCGAAGGCAAGACAAUCAUAGUUGUGGAGUACAUAGUUAGAAAGAUGAAUGUGCAAACGUACAUCUAACCCCAUGAUAUACAUCUAACCCCAUGUGAACAUGAUUUAUUCUACAACAAUGAUUAUCAAUUUUCUAAUUGCUCAUUUUCCUAACCCUAAUCAUCACAAACCCAAAAUUAACUCUAAAAAUUUCAAAUAAGCAUGGUUCUAAACCAAUUUCUAACUUACUUAGCGAAGUCUUUUCUAUAAAUGAUAGUUGUUGAAGAAAAAGGGAAACGAAAAUAAGCUUUUAGUGUAUAAGUACAUUGAAGCAAAACAUGAAGAGAAUCCAAUAUAUAACUUCAAUAUAUAACUUUAAUUUUCUAUAAGUGUUGAUCUAAAUUUACAUCCCUUACCACUCUUCAAUUUAAAAAUAGUUUUAGCUACAACAAACAACUUCAGAGAGAAGAUUUGGCCCUGUUUUAUAAGGCAAAACCUCUCUAACCACAUGACAUACAUCUAACUCCAUGUGAACGUGAUUUAUUCUACAACAAUGAUUAUCAAUUUCCUAAUUGCUCAUUUCCCUAACCCUAAUCAUCACAAACCCAAAAUUAAUUCUAAAAAUUUCAAAUAAGCAUGGUACUAAACCAAUUUCCAACUUACUUAGUGAAGUCUUUUAUAUAAAUGAUAGUUGUUAAGGAAAAACGGAAACAAAAAUAAGCUUUUAGUGUAUAUGCACAGCACAGAAAUUGCAUGUAGCUUUCCGAUUUUUAUCCCAACUUCGUUUCUGUGGAAUCACAAAACUACAUACGCACAGCACAGGGAAGGGAAAAAAAAAAAAAGGCACAUUUAAGAGACACCUAUCUUCUCAUUCUACAUCACAUCCUCUUUUCCUAGCUUUCCAACCUUGCAACCAAAGCAAACAUCUUUCCUGAUAAAGGGUAGGAAAGAAAGUGGUUGUGUGAAUUGGGAUGAGAGAGACAGAGACAGAGACAGAGACAGAGAGACAAAGAGAGAGAGAGAAAAGAGAAAUCAAAGUAUAUAUAUAAAUAGUAAGUAUAGUUUAUAUCAUGCAAAGUUUUGAUGGUUUCGUUCAAAAAAAAAACAGGGAAAAAGUUUUGAUGGGUAAUUCUAGUAAUAAUGUUCUUAUAAUUCUAUAUAUAUAUAGAUAUCAAACUGUACUACCAUAUUCUUCCUAUAUAUACACUUGGUCGUCAACUACCUCUCUCUCUCUCUCUCUCUCUCUCUCUCUCUCUCUCUCUCUCUCUCUCUCUCUGUGACCUGCAUUUAUACAGAACCAAUUAUUCCAUCUUCACUAUACAUUUUCCUCAUCUUCCCAUUCAUAUUUUAUGGCUCUCUUGUUCUUCCUCCUAAUUCUUUUGGUCCCUGCAAGCAAUACUAAUUGGCCACCAUCACCUGGCUACUGGCCAAGUUCUAAAUUCAGGUCUAUGAGCUUUUAUAAAGGAUUUAAAACUCUCUGGGGUCCUCAGCAUCAAAGCUUAGACCAACAUGCAUUAACAAUCUGGGUUUAAUGAGGCCAGAAAAUUUUAAGAACUUAUCUACCAAGCAUACCAAACUGACAAAGCAAACCAUAUCUGUAUUUUAUCAUCAAUUUCAUCAAUUUUAUCACCAACAACAGAUAAAAAAAGGGAAUUUUUUCAAAAAAAAAAAAAAGGAAAAAACAUAAAUAAAAAAAGGGGCACAUUUAAGAGAGACCUAUCUUCUCAUUCUACAUCACAUCCUCUUUUCAUUUUGAAGCGGUCAUGUGUUGUGAGUUUCUUGUUUUAUAAAUUUUCAAAACUGUUGUUUAGAACUGCAAAAUUCUUCAUCAUAUAUCUUGCCUUCUAAUAUACAUUCUGUAUCAGGAAACUGGAAUGAGGCUUGCUCUUUGAGGAAGAGAAAUAAAAGAAAAAGUUGUGGCAAAGGUUCACGGAUGUAGUUGGAUUGUAGUGGGACAGAGAACAAAUUUAUUUGUUGCAGGGGAAAAGUCUCAUCCAAAUGCUAUGAAAUCAUGGCAACUUUAAAGUAUUGGACAGCAAUAAUGAAAGAAGAGGGCUAUGUUGGUGACACAGAUUCUUGCUUGCAUGAAUAAGAGGGAGAAAAGCCCCUAUGGUAUUGACUGUUGCCGCCAAGUGCAUAUUGUUAUUACUAUGCGUACUACAUCCCAAGGCCUCUCUCAGCAGGAUUACAAAGUAAACCAGAAUUACUAUCCCAGCAGUAUUCUGCAACUUUGCUCUGCACUUCCUUAUGUAAUCUCUCUCUCUCUCUCUCUCUCUCUCUCUCUCUAUAAAUAUAUAUAUACACACACACACACACACACACAUAUAUCUAGGCAUGCAUAUUUAUGAGUUCCCCAUUGAGGAGGGAUUCCCUUUUGAGGAUUUUAUAAUUAGAAUUAGACUGCCUUCUUAACCAAUAGUUGGGUUUGUGUGGUAAGGUAUGCUGGGUUUGUUGAUGUGGAUAUUUAUGCCUGGAGGUGCUUUGUUUUACUACUUCGUUGAAGUAGAAACAGACACUGACAAAGAAGCCCUUCAUUCUUUGUCUCAAUAGUGAUUGGUUUCUUUGAUCCUAUUCAUCAUAUCUGGUGGUGAGGUUGCCUAAUCAGCCAAAUGUUGGGUUCAACUACCUCUCUCUCUCUCUCUCUCUCUCUCUCUCUCUCUGUCUCUCUCUCUCUUUCUCUCUCUCUCUGUGACCUGCAUUUAUACAGAGCCAAUUAUUCCAUCUUCACUUUACAUUUUCCUCAUCUUCCCAUUCAUAUUUUAUGGCUUUCUUGCUCUUCCUCCUAAUUCUUUUGGUCCCUGCAAGCAAUACUAAUUGGCCACCAUCACCUGGCUACUGGCCAAGUUCUAAAUUGGCCAGAAAAUUUUAAGAACUUAUCUACCAAGCAUACCAAACUGACAAAGCAAACCAUAUCUGUAUUUUAUCAUCAAUUUUAUCGCCAACAACAGAUAAAAAAAGGGAAUUUUUUCAAAAAAAAAAAAAAAAAAGGAAAAAACAUGUUUAGUCUUUGCUUUCCAAUGUUUUAUCCAAAAACCUGAAAAUCAAAGUAACUAAAUAAAUGAACCCAAUCAUUCCUAAUUUCUAUUUUGUCAAAACCUAAUUAAGCUUCACUUCUUUUUUGCUUGUAUUUUAUCAUCAAUUUCAUCUAUUUUAUCACCAAUAGCAGAUAAAAAAAGGAAAUUUUUUCAAUUAAAAAAAAAAAAAACAUACUCAGUCUUUGCUUUCCAAUGUUUUAUCUAAAAACCUAAAAUCAAAGGAAUCAAAUAAAUAGGGUUUAGGGCUCAAGAACCUGAAAUCAAAAGAACCAAAAAAAUGAACACAACUCUACAUAGCACGAAAAAUCUCCCAGCCAACAAUCAAAUUCAUGAAAUAAAUACCAAAAGAUCUGUUAAAAAAUUGAUGAGAUGCAUACCUGAAAACAAAGGAUGCAACAAAGAUGGAAGCCUGAGUCGAAGCAAGAACGAUGGAAGCCUGAGUCGAAGCAAGAAAGAUGGAAGCCUGAGUCGAAGGUUGUAGAAAAGACGAAAUCUCCCGAUCCCAAAUCUGUGACACGAAGACUGAAAGCACGGCUGGAUUUGCAGCUCACCUCCCAAACAAAAAUCGACGGCCUUCAACGCAUCUCCAGCAACGAACACAACUCUUCCAUGGCUGCCCCCCAACCAGCUGGUUGGAAACGAACGGGAGAAAAUGGUUUCUCUCAGCGGACGAAACCAUCUCAACGAAGGGGGAGGGGCAAAAACGGGAACAAAAGAAACUGUUUAGUCAAGGGCAGUUUCGUCAUUUAACUGUGCUGCAGGAAAAAAAACGAAAACAGCAGAAAAAUGAGGGGCAUUUCCGUCAUUACACUGUGCUUAGCUACAGUGUUUAGUUGCAUUGGGUUUUAGUAUAUAUAUAAUUUAUGUUGUGAUUCGACUGCUGCUGUAUUUUAGAUUUAUAGGAACAGACCAAACAUGUUGAUUCUAUCACCAAAAUUAUAAAGUAUACUUCCAUUACAAUUAAUUUGUUGAUUCUAAUUUGGACUUGUAGGAACAGACCAAACAUGUUCAUACGUGGCAUUGCUCAAGUCAUCAUCAUUCGGGACAGAGAAUAAGCCUUCAAAUGUCUGCUGAGUCAAUGAACCUUUCUAGAUAUCUCAAGUGUAAUGGAAAUUGAUGAGUUACAAAGGAUUUGUAAACAUUUUCUACUGGAGGCUAGAAAUGCUUCAAAUAAAUGACUCUGUUGCAAUUAUUUUGUAGGAUCAAAGACUCUGCAAAGAGGUAAGAAAGUCAUCAUCAAGUAACUUCGCUCUUCAUACUUUUUAUUAGGGGUGGGCAUUGGAACCGCAAAACCGCAAAACCGAACCAACCCAAUCCGAAAAAAACCGAAAAAAACCGUGUUGACCGAAAAAGUCAAAAACCGAGACAAAUCCAAACCGAACCGGUUCAGACCGGUUCCGGUUCCGAUUUUCCACCUUAAGGAACCGGUCCAAUCCGAACCGGUCCAAUAUAAUUAAUUUUUAUAUUAUAUUUAUAUUUAUAUUUAAAAUAUCAAAUUUUGUAGGCCCAAACCCAACUAUUUCAUUAUACCAACAAAAAGCCCAAAUCUCCCAAGUCCAUUGCCCAAGUCCAACAAGCCAUAUUUUAAUAUCCUAAUCACAUCAAAUCUCACUUCACUCUCUCUCUCUGACGCACUCUCUCUUUUCCUCUCAGAUUUUUUUUACUCUCUUUUUCUUUCUUUCUUCUCUCUUCCGCCUCUUUUCCUCUAGGUUCUUUAACUUCUUUUUACUUCUUUCUUUCUUCACUCUUCUGCCUCUUUUCCUCAGUUUUUUCUUCUUCUUUCUCUCUUAUUCUUUCUCCUCUCAAUUCGUCUCCAUUUUUUUUCCCUCUCUUUCUCUGAUUUUCUGUUACUCUGAUUUUUUUCUUCUUGGUUUUAUGUUUCUCUCUCUCCCUCUAUAUCUCUUUCUUUGCAACUCUGUUUUUCAAUUUCUCCUUUUUUUUCUCUCUUCAUUUUUUGUUUCUCUGUACAUAUAUGUGUUCAUCUUGUAGAUCUGGGUGAAAUUCUUGUAGAUCUAGGUGAAGUUCUUGGAGAUCUGCGUUAAGUUCUUGUAGAUCUAGGUAAAGAGCCAAUUCAAAGCAGGUCAGCGUCUCUUAUCUCCCCAAUCCCUUGUGAAGAUAUGUAUUUUUUUUGUUGUCAACAAUCCAUUUUGGUGUUUUUAUAUGGUAUUGAUAUUUUCUAUGAUUUUGGGCUGAUUUGAGGUCUGAUUCUUUUUUUUUCUUUCAAUUUUUUCCUGUUGUGUUUUGAUAGACAUGUUCUCUAUUCCUGAUAUCAUUCCUCAGUGGCAAAAUCUUUGAGCGUUGUUGUAAAUUUUAGACGGGAAAGAAGCUCAUUCAUAAUUCAAAAAAAGAAAAUAAAGUUACAACAACUGACAAUUUGUUGCUCUUUGAAAUAGGUACUGAAGUAGCAUGGAUAAAAAGAAAGACUGAAGAUGUUGCAGAAGAUUGAAUAUGUUCUAUUUCUGUAAUUUGUUUGUAAUUAAAUUUGUUUAUUUUGUUUUGUUUUUAGGUUGUAAGUUUUAUUUUAAUGUUUGAUAUUUGUUGUUUUGUCAAAAAAUUGUAUUAAUGCUUGAUGGAUUCAUUCAAUUUGCAGUGCGUGGAUGUGAAUUGGGCCAAUCGGUAAUAAUUAGGCCCAAAAGGUUUUAAAUAUCAAUUGGGCUGAAACUUACAAAAAAAUUUAAGAACAAAAAAAAAAUCAAUUAAGCUGUGUGUCGGCCCAAACCGUAAAAACCGGAACCGAACCGGAUUCAAAUGGGUUCGGGUUGGUCCGGUUUUCUCAAGCAUUUUAGUAAAAAUCCGAACCGGACCGGACCGGUGAACAGUACCGGUUCCGGUUUUAAAUUGAUGCAAAAACCGGUCCAAACCGGACCGUGCCCACCCCUAUUUUUUAUUUUUAUUUUUAAAUAUCAGUAAUAACUGGGAAAGCUUGCAUCUCCUUAAAUUGCUCAUUCUUACAUCUUUUAUAGUUUGUUGAUCUUGGGCAAGUGGAGAGAGAGGCGUCAAGUGAUACGCAACAACCAUUUUCUGUGAGCUGAUUUGAUAAAGAGAAAUGGUAUGCUUUCUUGUCUUAAGCGGUGUGUUCUGCAAUUAUUUGAAACAAAGGAUGCCGCACUUCAAGUUCGAGAAAAUCAGGUAUUUUAGUAUUUUAUUCUUGAGAAAUUUGAUUUAUGUAGAAACUUGAACAUGUAAAUGAGAGAAAAAAAAAUAAAUAUAUAUAUAUAUUAUAUAUUGUAUAUGCUGUUAAUGAGUUAAUAUGGUGCUUGCUCCUAGUUGGAAAUUUAUGUAGUCAUCUACCUAUGAUCAAAUAAAGAUGAAAAAUAAAAUAAAAUUGAGAGCAUCUUCCUCUCCCCUGCUUUGCUCAUCCCUUGUUCUUCCACUUCAGCCCCACUAUUACACCAUUUUUUUCAGCCACAAUUAUAAUAGCUCCAUGAGCAUUAAGUCCCUUUCAAAUUCUGCUGACAUUCAAAAUUGGAAUCUGCUGGUGAUAUAUGAUAGCGUUAACAUAUUGUACCAUUUUGGCCAGUGUACGCAAUAUUAUUGCAUCCAACUUUGCAUAUUAACAUCAGUGGCCACAGUUACACGAUUUGAGUGCACAGAAAGGUUUCAAAAGUUGUCCCACAGAGAACAGUCGUUCAAAGUGAGAGAGUUUUGAAAGCUUAAUUACAAGUUCAUGUUGUUUACAACCUCAAAAAGCUUUCAUACUUGCUUACAAACCUGUAUUUCCAAGUUCUGCAAACCUUGGAAUAUCACUUCAUCCAAAUCCCCUUCCAAAGCAGGAAAAAAUGGCAGCAGCUUUGAUUGGAGAGGCUCUCAUCUCUGCUUCUAUCGAGGUGUUGUGUGACAGAGUUACUUCAGCCGAGUUCAUAGACUUAUUUCAGCAGAAGAAACUUGAUGAAACACUCCUCAUGAACCUGAAGACGACACUGUUGAUUUUGUUUGCGGCGCUCAAUGAUGCAGAGGAGAAGCAAAUUGUGAACCCUGCUGUGAUAGAGUGGCUUAACAGCUCAAGCAUGCUGUCUUUGAUGCAGAGGACUUACUUGAUGAGAUUGACACUGAAGCUUUGCGAUGCAAGCUGGAAGGUGAGGAUCAAACCCACAAUAAUUAACCAACAAGGAUCUUUUUGAUUGUUUGAAAGGAGGGUCUUUGAUGAUUUGAAAGGAGAGGGUUGCUUCAUUUCUGUUGGAUGCUUAAUUAAAUCUUAUCUGGACUUGAACAAGGAUUAGGUUAGCUGUAUAAUUCGUGGUAAACACCUUUUUCUAAGGUUCAUUUAGACUCCUAUUACGAUUAAUUUGUUGUUUCUAAUUUGGACUUGUAGGAACAGACCAAAUAUGUUCACACGUGGCAUCGUUCAAGUCAUCAUCAUUUCAGACAAAAUCAGCCUUCAAGUGUCUGCUGACUCAAUGAACCUUUCUAGAUAUAUCAAGUGCAAUGGAAAUUCAAGAGUUACAUAGAGAUUUGUAAACAUUUUGAAGAUUGCAACACCUGCAAGUGAGAUAGGUGGUGACGAAAUCAGAGCUGAUCUUGAAGCCUCUGAUGCCCCUGUCGUUGCAAGUUGCACCUGAGAACAUGGUUUUUUUUUGGGUAAAAAACCAGCAACAUGUUCGGGGCUGGCAAUUCAAUCCCUGAUGAACUUGAGAAGCAAAGCUCCAGUAAGGAAAUUGGUCGAGGUCACGACAGGGAUAAUUGAUGGUGAAAUGGAUGCUAUUUCUUAUUGCAGCCUGUUCUCAAAGUUCUUGUUGGCAAAAGCAAGAGAUGGAGUAUUUUGAUUGGGAGGAGAGAUAAUGACAUGUGUUGACAAUUCUAGAACAGCCCAUCUGAGUUCUUUUGUCAGGCUGCAUCAUUUAAUCCCAGCAAAAAUCCAGUUUUUGCUAAACAAUCAAAUUGUACACAUUUUUUCUUUUCGAGGAAUUUAACAUUACACAUUUUUUCAUUUUUUCAUCAAACAGUUUUCUAAUGCAUUUGUUGUCCCAAGUUACAAUGAGGAAUUUGGAUUGAGUUUCUUGUGUUAAUAACAUUAUACUUUCAUGGAAUGGUUUAUCUUCUUUUUCUGGACAAAAAUAUUUAGAUUAAUUUCUUGGAAUAAUUUUUUAAUAAUUUUUUAAUUGCAGUAGCGAAAAAAGGAAAAUUGUAUUUUUCAAAACCAAUCUUAAGUCCAGUUUCCUCUUCUUGGUCGUCACACUUGGAAAUUGCUAACCAUAUAUAACUUGGGGUAACAAUCUUAGUCCGAAUGUGUACGAUCUUAGUCCGAUCAAUGGCUACGCGUAUUGGCUCGGCCUUGGGGUCUACCAUUCCAGUGUACAAGCUUCCUGGGUCUUGGGGCAAUUCCUUCAAAUUGUACACAUGUUUUCUUUGAGAAGCAAGGCUCUAGUAAGGAAAUUGGUUAUGUAACAAAUUUUGGUCCCUUUGGAUGGAAUGAUUUACAAUGAGGAAUUUUAUUAUUAUUAUUUUGUUUUUGUUGUUAGUGUAAUGAAAAUGAUCUAGGUUCAUACACUGGGUAUAGCUCUAAUUUGGCCAAUUUCAUUAUUUUAGUUUCUUCAUAUUUUCAAUUAUUAUAAUUUGGUGCGUUGUUUUUUAAAAACAUUCAUGAGAAUCUCCAUUUUUUAGGUGUUUAAGUUAUUCAUCCACAACGGUUUUAUAAUACCGUCAUCUUUUCAAACACAACGAUGAUUUUUUAAUCUAUCGUCGUUGUUUUCUGAUCGUCUUUUUCACUUUUUGUAGUAGUGUCAAUAAGUAAGAUGAAAUAAUACAUUCACAAUCUGUUUAAAUUUUAAAUUAAAAAAAACACAAGAAAAUUUUAAAUAAGUAAGUAAUUUUAAAUAUAUAUUUCCAUUGUUUUGGUUUUCUUUUCAUAUUAGUUUUCUACUAGCUGCUAAUUUCAUUUAAAUUGUUUUUCUUACUUCAUUUAACUUUUAAGCAUGCAGAUGCAAUCAUGACUUCUUCUUUUUUUCAAUAGACUGAUUCUCUUCCCACAUAUAUAAUGCUCUCUAAGUAUUCGUAAUAUGAGUAGGAAUUUAUUUUCAUUUCACAAGAAUUGUCCAUCAAAUUCUGAUAGGUUUGUCGAUAGCACAAGCAUGCACAUAUAGACACUACAAGAACUUUGUUUCUUCAUUUUGUUUCCUAAAGAUUUGUUGGCUUCGUGCAGAUGAAUAACAAGUCUCUCUGUCCUCUAUUUCUUCUUUUUCUUUUUUAACAAUUCAUAUUCUACUUUCUGUUUUCACCCAGUAAAAAUUGAUUUUAGACAUGGGCUUCUAAAUUAUGUGCGGAUAAUGGUUGCAUUUAUAGAAUAUCCAUGGGCUUCUAGUCACCGUGGUUGUUGAUUCAGCAUGUCAUAUUACUCUUGGACUAGCUGUUGACACUACUACAUUUUACACUUUGCGCGACGAAGAACAAAACGUCGCGCAAAGUCGCAUUUAGUCGCCCCAAUUUCAGCGCGACAAAAACGUCGUCGCGCAUAUUCCGUCGCGCGAAGAUCGUGAAGAAAGCCUUUGCACGACGAGGUACAACCCUUCGUCGCGCAAAAGUGUGCGACGGGUAAACCAUCGUUGCACCAACGGUGUGGAGACGAAACAACCCUUCGUCGCAAAAAUAUUUGCGCGACGAUAAAUUAUGCGGCGCACGUAUAUUUGCGAGACGACGGGAAUUGCGCGACAAAACAUUAUUCGUCGCGCAAAAUAUGUAUGGGAGACGUAUAUGUUCGUCGCAGAACAAUUCGCGCGAUGAGAAAGUUUUCGUCGCACAUAUAAUUGCGCGACGAAAAAUUAUGUCGUCGGCCAAAUAUUUUGCGCGACGAAACAUUUCGUCGCGCAAAACGUGUUAUGUGUUCGUCGCGCAUGAAUUAAAAGUGAUAAAAAAAUAUUUGAUUUUUUUUUGUUACAUGUUGGUUUGCGCGACGAAAGAUUUUCCGUCGCGCAAAAAUAAUAUUACAAUUUUUUUUUUAUUUAUAUUUUUUAUUUGAUAUAAAAUUGGUUUCUUUUUAUUGAUUAAACAAUGAAAUUGCAAUAAAAAUAAAUUAGAAUAAAAUUUUGUUAUAAAAUAAAAUAAAAUAAAUGUAUUACAAAUAAAAUAAAUACACUAAUCAAAUAAUGAAUCAAAAUCAACCGAGUCGUCGCCAGUAUGCGGCUCGGAGGGCGGGGCGUUCACCGGGGCAGUGGUCUGGUGGGGAUGCCCGGGAUGGACGGGCUCAGAGGUCGGCGCAUCAAAAUGCGGGACUGGAAUGCCGGACUGUGCGAGGGACUGCAGAAUGACCGACAUCUGGCUCUGAAGAGUGGCCACCUGUGCUGUCAAAGCAGUGACCUGACUGUUUGACUGCGCCGAUGAACGAGGUCGAGGUUCCCUCCGCCGGGCAUUCCCCAUCCCUCGACAAUAUGUCCCCGGCCUCCUCCCGAGAGUCUGAUCCAACGUCUCCGUCAAUAUCUGAAAUCCAGCAUCCUGUGGAGGAGCCACAGACUCGAUCGGAGUCUCGGGAGGAAGCUGGGAGGCGGACUCCUGAAGAACAAGCUGGCUCCUCUCCACCAUCGUCGUCUGUUGAACAUAACAUAAAAUAUAAAUUAAAACAUGCAUAUAAAUUGAAUGCGUAACAUAAGAAUUAAAAUUAAAUAAUACUUACAUGAAGGGACUCGGCCAACUCAUUCCCGGGUCGAACAUAAACGUCACCAAAGACGUCGAUCUCUGGGAACUUGGACCCCUCCUAAAUUGAACAAGAGAAGAAAAAUAUUAGUAUGAAAAAAAUAAAUUAAUAAAAAUGACAUUAAAAAUGAAAUAAAAAUUUUGUGAUUAUUACCCGACGCCGUGCAUCCAUCCUAUAAGAAAAGGGUCUGGAGCCGGAAUGGUGGAGAAGGGUCUUCUUCUUCCUAUUACCCUUAUUCACUUGGGCUUUAUUCUGUUAUACAAAAAAUGAAACGUAUUAGUUAAAAUAUAAAAAAUUAAAUAAUAAUGAAAUAAAAAAAUAAAAUAAACAUUAAUAAGUAAUAAGUAAUAAUUAAACAAAUAUAAUUAAAAAAAUACCGCAAAUUCGGGCGCUUGAAAAUGAGCGCAGAGCCACUCCCAACUAUCCUCCCGCCCCUCAAGCUCCUUCGGGCAACCCUCCUGAAGAGCGACUUGCGGAUCAUCAUAGGCCUGAAAAUGGUGGUGCAAGUCGCUCUUCCACUGCUUGUACCUCUCAGCGAAGAGUCGGUUGACGUACGUCAACGACUCUUCGUCGAGAUCCUCCAAGUUAUAGUUCGUCUGCAAUCAAUUAAUUAGAUACGUUAAGUAAUAGAAAUAUACACAAUUUUAAAGAAAAAUAAUGAAAAUGUAAGGUACAUACCGACAACUGGCCGUGAAUCUCCGCCUGGAUCUCGUCAGGCAUGACCCUCCAAGACUUCCAUUGCAUCGGGCAAUGGGUCCGCACGACGUGGCCAAUGUCGUGGGCCAAGGAGCUAUGCAACUUCGCCGUCGGUGCAGCACGAUGGCGCUCGUCGUAUCCGAUGCUGAUACGACUGUUGGUCACCCGGGUGACCUUCGCCGUCUUCAGCUGACGACACGGUCCUCGGGUGUUCCUCUUCGCUGCAAAGAAAUAAGGUAUUAAUGUUAAAUAAAAAAACAUUGUCAAAUUUCAAUAUAAAAUUAACAAUACAAAAGUGUAGUUAUACCUGGCUGUGAUCCCGAGGCACCAGUACCGUCGGUCGAUGUCGUGUCGAUGGUGUCGGUGGGCCGGUGCCGCCGCCUAGCACUAGCUGGUUGCGCCACGGAUGACGCAGAUGACACAGGCGCCUGGGGCGCCCCGGGACCAACCACCACGUGGUCCAACAAAGCAGGAGCAGUGGCAGCAGAUGCCGACUGAGCCAGGGGAUCCGAACUCGGUGCAGUCGUCAUCGACCUACCACGUCUAAUCAAGUCUGACAUCUGCACAUAUAAUUUCAUUCAGAAUGUAAACUAAUUAAUUAAAAGCAUAGCCUGACCUAGGGUUUGGAAUUUCGGAGUAUCCGGGACUCCGAUCAACGAUCGGUCGAAUCCUAAACGAUCCUAGAAACACAAAGGUACAACUACGCGAGUUUCAGUUCGAUCCAACGGUCCGAACAUAUCAAACCUGGAAAUCGCACAAUAGGCGAAAUUCGAUCAAGACUCAAACGGUAACCAAAUUCAAAUCCGAGCAAACCUACGCGCUCGUGACAAACAGGGGAUCGCUCUGGGACACAAUGCCCCACUGCCACAGCAUCCCACGCGCCGGCAGCGCGUGGGUGUCCAAAGCGAUAACAUUCGCCGGAAAAUUCUAAAAACUAACGGCCAAGGUUCCUACCCUAGGUUGAAAACAAUAUUUGGCGCCACUUUUGUUCUCGGACCUACCCCGAAAAAUGGCCGGAAGUGGCCGGAUUUGAAAUUGCCAAACCGGCCAAAACCUAGGGUUUUAAUUCCUAUUUCCUAUACCCAUCAGCUAGAGCACAAAAAAUAGUCGAGAAAUCAUACCUCAGGCGUCGGAAAUGGUGGCCGGAGGAGAGAGAAAACGGCCGGCGAGGAAUCGGUGAAAAACCGACGAUGUGCGACGGCAGGCUCGACGGCGAAGGCAGGGGAGGCUAUGGCAGGAGCGGCGGUGGCUGAGGUGACGGCGGAGAGAGAGGGCUGAGGUGACGGCGGAGAGAGAGGCAAACGGAGGAAAAAACCAGAAAUGGGGAAGAAGGAGGCAUCGCGACGUUUCUGCAAAUUUUUACGACUUUGCGCGACGAAUCACAUCAUUCGUCGCGCAAAAUGCUAUUAAUGAAUCUUGCGCGACGCUAUAUCCGUCGCGCAAGAUCUGUCAGAACGCCAAAUUCUGAAAGUGGAUUAGGGUCUGUAAGUUUUGCGCGACGAAAUAGACAUACUUCGUCGCGCAAAAGGCUGUCUUUCCGCCAAAAUUUUGGGAUUUAGGGUUUAGCGGGAGGCUGAAACUGAAGGGUUUGCGCUUUUGCGCGACGAAGACGGUAAACGUCGCGCAAUGGUAACCUUGCGCGACGGAACGUAUUAUAUUCGUCGCGCAAAAGGCUAUCUUUCCGCCCAAAUUUUGGGAUUCAGGGUUUAGCGGGAGGCUGAAGGGUUUGCGCUUUUGCGCGACGAAGACACUAAACGUCGCACAAAAGGCUGUCUGCUGAAAUGAAUGGUUUCUGCUUUUGCGCGACGAAGACAAUAAACGUCGCGCAAAACGUUGUCGUUCCGCCAACAAUUUGGGGUUUAGGGUUUAGUGUGAAAACUGGCGCCCAGAUUGCGCGACGAAGAGUACAUAUUUCCUUCGCGCAAUCUAUUUCACUUUCACUUUGCGCGACGGAUAUGUUGGUUCGUCGCGCAAUCUUCAAGAUUUUCAUUGAAAUUUUCACUAAGUGUUCAAAGGGGAUGGAGGUGUGAAAACUGGCGCCCAGAUUGCGCGACGAAGAGUACAUAUUUCCGUCGCACAAUCUAAUUCACUUUCACUUUGCGCGACGGUUAAAUUGUUCGUCGCGCAAAAUGUAGACCCUAAACCCCCUUGUAAACCCUAAACCCUGAACCCUAAGCCAUAAACCCUAAACCCUAAAAUAGUUUCAAUGAUCCAACCGGCAAACUUAUUGUUUGAAACUUGGAGAUCAUAUACGCCAAAAAUCAAGAAGACCAAACAUUCAGAUAUCAGGGAACGGGACUAAAUAUUUCGACGGUUAUAAAUGAAAAGUCAUGAUUUAACGGUUAUUGUAACUCCGAUUUUGAUCAAUUUUGACAGCAGCAUUUGUUGACCCUAUAUGAAUACAAUGACUGAAUUUGAUCUUCAAUUUCAGAUUUUUACACUAGGGGAUACCACAUAAACGUGAAGUUACAUUUGCACAAAUGUAUAAACAAAUUUUAGGGUUUUUGGUGAAUAUAUGAUUUUGAUAGCACAUGCAGUCUACGAAACAAGUUUCAGUCAUCCAGCCGUCAAACUUGUUUUUUUAGACUUCGAGAUCAUAGACAGCAAAAAUCGGACAAAAAAAACAUUCAGAGAUUAAGCAACGGGGUAAAACUUUUCGACGGUUCUAAAUAAAAAGUGAUGAUUGAACGGUUAAUUUAACUCCGAUGUUGAUGAUUUUUUGCAGCUACAGUCCUACACUCCAUAUGAAUACAAUGAACUACUUCGAUCGCCAAUUUUAAAUAUAUAUGUGUGUAUAUAUUAUACUAUAACGUUACCUAAUAUAUAUUUGCGCGACGAAAGUUUGCUUAUCGUCGCGCAAAAAUGCCAUACGCGACGCAUGUAUAUAUGCGUCGCGGAAACUAUGCGCGACCAGUUGUAUUCGUUGCGCAAACAUUACGCGACGCUUAUGUAUGCGUCGCGUAUGGUAUGUUUGCGCGACGAUAUGGAGCCCUUCGUCGCGCAUGGAUUUGGCGCCAUAAAUCCUCAUUGAUUUCAAAUUGUGUAUGCUUUGUAUUUUUUAGAAAGGUUUUGUAUUCAUCAUUUUUUAUGCUUUGUAUUUUGUGGAAAGGCUUUGAAAUAUUCAUUUCUUUUGUUAUUUUUAUUGAAGCUUUAACUUGUUCUGUUCCGCAGAAAAUUCCAAUGAAGUUUGUGAUGAAAUAUGGAGAAUGAAUACACAACUACAUAUGGACAACUACACAUAUUCAAAGAUUUGUAUUACACAAAAUUAAUACACUAACAUAAUAAAUUUACAAAUAAAUUCAUUAUUCAUCAUCUGAACUAUAAUAACUUUCGUUAUCGUCGCUAGCUUUAACUUGUUCUGUUCCGCAGAAAAUUCCAAUGAAGUUUGUGAUGAAAUCUGGAGAAUGAAUACACAACUACAUAUAGACAACUACACAUAUUCAAAGAUUUGUAUUACACAAAAUUAAUACACUACAUAAUAAAUUACAAAUAAAUUCAUUAUUCAUCAUCUGAACUAUAAUAACUUUCGUAUCGUCGCUAUCAUCACUCUCGGUCUCCCAAUCUUCUUCCUCCUCCUCCUCUAUAACUGCAUCAUCGGCGUUGCUAGGGCCCACUGCAACAUCGUAUCGGGGAAGAUCACCGAGGUCAAUUGUAAUUGACUGAAUCGGUAUUUCGACUGAAGACACUCCUUCUAUUUGAAACGGUUCUUGUAUAACAUUUGUAUCUCGAAGUGUUUCCGCAUCAUUUUCCAUUGAAGAUUCUAAACGAUGGUCAGCCACAUUGUCGACGUCGUUGUCACUUGGGUCUAGUUCUGGUAUAUUAUACACGUUCCUAUGAUCCAUCUUCUGCACAACUUUCCACCCGUUCCCGGCUUUAGGGUCAUCUAGAUACACAAUUUGGGACGCCAUGUUUGCCAAAAUGUACGGGUCGUCAUCAUACCAAGUUCUGUUAAUAUUCACAGACAGUACUCCAUGGUCGAUUUUAACACUUCCCGCCCUAUUUGGGUUGGUAUCGAACCAUCGACACUUAAACAUGAUGACUUGGUAUCGAUCUUUGUAAAGCAAUUGCACGACAGUUGUCAGUUUGCCAUAGAAAUCAAUGUCUGUACUUUCGCCUCCACCUGGGACAUGAACACCGCUAUUUUGCGUACACAACUUGUCAUCUCGUGCGGCCCCUAAAAAUUUGACGCCGUUAACAUUACAACCCGAGAACAAUUCAGCGCGAAUUGGGCCGAACGCCAAGUUAUAUAACUCAUCACUGUAAGUGGGGGAAUUCGAUGAUUUCAAUUUAUUCACCUAAUAGUAUACAAAACCAUUUACAUGUUAGUCUGACAAAAUUAAAUACUAAAAUUUAUAUUUGUCAAUUACAAAACACUUAUAACUUACAGAAUCCAAAAACCAUUGUGGAAAUAAUUCACGGUGUUUCCGGGCAACCAAAUGUGAUGGAUGUUCUCGCUUCAUCAUCUGUUCAUGCUCAUCUAAGUAGGCCAUUAUCUCAUCACAAUUGUUCAGUACGAACCAAUGCGCUACCUCCAUGUCAUUUCUAGAAAACGACUCUCCUCGUCCAGGAUCUCCAAAUGGUCGUGCGCUUUGGGCAAAAACAGAAAGUUUUUCAUUUCUCAUACCUCCGUCAUUAUUGCGGUGAGGACGAUUGAAAACCGUCUCCACAUCUUUUAAAUACAUUCCACAGAAAGUAAGCGACUCAUAUUGAACCCAAGCCUCUAUAAUUGAUCCUUCGGGCUUUGCCCUGUUGCGUACACUUUUUUUCAGCUCUCCGAGAAGCCUGCCAAAAUAAAACGAUAUGAUACAAAUUAGCAAAGUGUCGAUAAUGAUGCAUACACAAAUGAUAAAGAUUAUAUACCUUUCUAUUGGAUACAUCCAGCGAUAGUUGACAGGACCAGCAAGCAAUGCCUCUUCUGGCAAGUGAACCAUCACGUGCAUCAUACUUAUAAAGAAAGCUGGAGGAAAUAUCAUCUCAAACUUGCAUAGGACUUGGACAAUGUCAUGGCGCAACUGAAACAUGUCUGUCCUUCGCAAUGUUUUUGCCGUCAGUUGGGAAAAAAAUCUGGAUAACAACAUGAUUGGCUUCACCACAUCUUCCGGCAGUAAGUGUCGAAUACCCACAGGAAGUAGGCGUUGCAUGAACACAUGGCAGUCAUGGCUCUUAAGUCCAGUAAAUUUACCCCCAUCGACAUUCACGCAACGUGCGAUAUUAGAAGCAUACCCAUCGGGAAAUUUGACAGACGAUACAAACUUUAGAAACUCCUUUUUGUCAUUCGGUUUCAUAGAAAAGAAUGCAAGAUCCCUUCUAGCUUUAUCACUGUCCCUAUUCAUCCAUAAACCCCUUCGUAUGCCCAUUCUUUCCAAAUCAAGACGAGCUUUGAUCGUGUCCUUCGUCUUCCCCUCGAUAUCUAGAAUCGUGCCCACCAAUGUGUCGAAAACAUUUUUCUCAACAUGCAUCACAUCUAGAUUGUGCCUCAAUUUCAGUUUCGACCAAUAUGGGCGCUCAAAAAACAUAGACUUGUGCGUCCAGUUCAAAUGUGUAGAAGGUCGGGUCCGACUAACUGUUUUCCCGAACGGAGCAAAAUCCAAACGGUUCAGCUGUUCCAAGAUCUCAUCACCGGACCAUUCUCUAGGUCUGAGGCGACGCUCUGUGUUCCCGUCGAACUCUUUAUCUUUUUCUCGCCACUCGUGGUCCCAUGGCAACCAUCUCCGAUGACCAAGGUAACAAACUUUUCCCGCGUGCCAACCAGAAGUUACAUCUUCCUUGCAUACAGGACAUGCCAUAUAACCCUUUGUGCUCCACCCAGAAACCAUUGCAUAUGCUGGAAAAUCAUUCACAGUCCACAUAACUGCUGCUCGCAAAGUGAACAUCCUCCCAGUUGAUUUAUCGUACGUGCGAACACCGUUUGUCCAUAAAUCCUUCAGCUCAUCAACCAGAGGCCUUAAGUACACAUCAAUUGACCUGCCAGGAUCCUCAGUUAUCAAAACAGUCAUCAUCAUGUAUUCUUUUUUCAUGCAUUUCCAAGGCGGCAAAUUAUAUGGGAAUGCGAAAAUCGGCCAAGUGCUGUGGUGUUGGUUUAGAACCCCAUACGGAUUGAAUCCGUCAGUGGCAAGUCCCAAUCUAACAUUUCGGGGAUCAGCAGCAAAUUCGGGGAACGUUCGAUCGAACUCUUUCCAUGCCUCCCCAUCUGCAGGAUGCCGCAUCACAUCAUCGUCUACCCGUUUUUCCUUAUGCCAUCUCAUGUCUGUGGCAGUAUGCGUUGACAUAUACAAUCGCUGCAACCUAGGUUUAAGGGGCAGAUAACGCAUGACUUUUUGUGGUAUCUUAGUCGUUCUAUUCUGGGAUGUCAGUUUGAACCUCGACUCAUUGCAUAUAGGGCAUGUAUCCAACGUUUCAUGCUCUUUGUAGAAUAACAUGCAAUUGUUUUUGCAAGCGUGGAUUUUUUCAUAACCCAAUCCAAGACCGUGCAACACCUUCUGUGCAUGUUUAUGGUCUUUCGGCAAACAAUUGUCCGUCGGAAGCAUUCUCUUGAAAACCCCCAAAAAGUAAUCAAAACACAAGUUCGACAUACGAUACUUUAUUUUUCCGUGCAUUAGCUCCACAAUGGCAGUGAGAACGGAAAACCUCUCGCACCCCGGGUAUAACUCUUGGUUGGCAUUUUUUAACAGUUUUUCAUACUGUUCAAACUCCGCACUGUCUAUUGGUGUAGGCACGUCAUCUUCCCCUUCCUGAUUGAUGUUGGUCGAUGCGAAUGGAAAAGCAUCCUGUAUAAUACCCAUGACUUGAUCAUUAGGAUCCACAAUAGGUUCAACAUUGUCCACUCUCGGGGCAUUUGAAGACGAAGCAUGGUCUACUUGUUCGCCGUGAAGGUUCCAAAUGCUAUAUGUUUCAAUCAUUCCAUUCCUUACUAAAUGAAAUCCAACAUUUUCAAUUGUCUCCCACAACGUGUUGUUACACCUCCUACAAGGACAACGGAUUCUAGUUGCACCCGGGUUGUGUCUACGUGCAAACUCAAUAAAAUCCUCGAUUCCAUCCAAGUAUUCGUCUGCGCAUCUAUUCGGGUUCUGUAUCCACCUUCUGCUCAUAAUUCCUGAAACCACAAUCACGACACAACAAUCACAACAACUUCAUACGAAGUUAUAAUGUCACCUUAUGCCUCCGGUAAGGGCCCUAUCCCAUUCGGGAAUGCAUAGUCCUGUCACGUAACCUACGGCUACAUGAGAUUAGAUUUCGACGUGGAUUAAUUUCAGCAGCAUCUCGACACAGUUCUUGAAGUGGGCAUAGGUAUAAAUACCUACGUACCACCCGAAGAACGUACCGAGAUGACACCGAAAUCUCCACAAUCGAAACCUAAUCCUGUAGCCGAAGAUUAUGUGACAACACUAUGCAUUACCAAACUGUCCAAAUAAUGGGACAAUUCAAGAAUUAAUUGGACCGCAGUCAUGCAUUACGCAUCCAUGCACGAAAUUCAACUAAUCUCGAACGGGAAACUACGUGUUACUAAACAUAAAAAUAAAAGUACGAAGUUAAUUUCAAUUAACUUCGUACAUCACAACACAUUGUGCUAUGUCACGCACAAUUUCACAACAUUAUACACAUAUAACUUCACAAAAAAAUUACAAACAUAACAAACAAACUUUUACAAUAACAUACCUUCUCAAUCGUUCUCCACCAAUCACAAAUAUCCCUAACGAUAACAAAAUUAAUAGCGUUACUACGAAUUUACAUUAAUACAUUUAAACUAACGACAAAAAAUACAUACCCAAUGAACGUACUGAAUUCACAGUAGAGCAACGGCAGAGAGAGUGAGAGAGAGGUAGAAUGCAGUGGGAGAGUGAGAGAGAGGCAGAAUGCAGAAACUGCAUUCUGCCUCUGCAAUGGAACUGGCUAAAAUGAAGAAGAAGGACUUUGCGCGACUAACAAUCCAAUCCGUCGCGCAAAAUGCCGUCGCGAAAACCCACUUUUCCGUCGCACAAAAAAACAUUUCCGUCGCGCAAUUACCUGCCGACAUCAGGUUUUUUGCGCGACGAAUACAAUUAUCCGUCGCACAAACAUCCGUCGCGCAAAUAACAUUAUUCGUCGCGCAAGGUUUAUAUUACGUCGCGCAAAUAACACUUAUUUCGUCGCGCAAGAAAUUACACUUUACGCGACGAAGGUAAUUCCGUCGCGCAAAAAAGUUUUUUCCACCCUGCAUUUUGCCGCCAAAAUUAAGUAACCCUCGUUUUCUUACGCGACGGUACAUAUUUCCGUCGCGCUAAGGCGUCUUUUGCGACGAAAAUGUUCGUCGCGCAAGAUUCUGGCGCCAAAAACAUAAACUGGGGAUUUUUCCCCGACCUUUGCUCGACGAAAUUAGUUUUGGUCGCGCAUAGAUUGUUUGCGCAACGAAGAUUGUUCGUCGCGCUAGUGUUCUGCUGUUUGCGCUACGGUAUUUUUUUUUCGUCGCAAUAGUGAUUUUUGCGCGACGAAAAUAUAUUCGUCGCGCAAACGUCCGUCGCGCAAAUAGUAAAUCGUAGUAGUGUGAUUUGGUUUAGACUUGGUUUAAUUAUCAUUGUUGUGGUUGGUUCACCAAAAAGAUUUGGCUUAGAAUUACCAGUUUUGUUGUUGGUUUAGUUAUGCUUGGCAUUUGAGGAUCCUAUGCUUACUUGUAUGGGUAAUACAUUUUAUUGAUCGUUUCAUAUACUAAUUAUGAACUUUUAGUUCCAUUGUGCAUUUAAGAGUACACAUAUUUCAUAUGUAAUUCGAAAGUUUGUCGCUGAAAUUUCUGAGAAUUUGAAACUAGAUAAGCACACCUUGCACAAAGUUCAUAUAUUUUCUUCCAGCAAGUCUGUCUAUUAACCCCCCUUAUCUGAAAUUAAUUGUUAAAAGUUCUGAUUCAUCUUUAAUCAUUGUCUUACCCUUGUUGAAUAACACUCCUCAUUCUAAUUUAUAUUCGAAGUUUGAGGUUUCAAUUUCAAUUGUGGGCUUUGAUUUUACAGAUUUUGUUUGUCAAUUUCAAUUUGGACAAAGCAUAUGCAAACAAAGUAAGGCAUUAUCUAUUAUUUGGAUCAUUUCCAUAUGUUUAUAUGUUUUUAAUAUCAUUUGCCUAUGUAGUUGACAUGUUAUAACAUUUUCGUAGUGUUGAAUAUAUAUAUAUAAUAAUUUUAUUUUAGUGGAUGUGAGAUCUCAGUUUGUUGCUUUAUAUAAUUAUUUCUUUGCAAUUUAAUUUUUUUUAUCAGUCAUACUAUUGUUGACGGCUAAAAACCAUCAAGAAACAACUCUUAAGUUUUUUAAAAAAUAAAUAAAUAAAUAAAGAUUUGUUGAUGCUUAAAAAGCAUCAAGAAAAGAUAGUUUCUUGACGGUUUUGUGACGUUUCAUAACCGUCAUGAAACAUUACAUUUUGACGAACGUCUUUCUGAUAGUGGCAUCCGUGACGCUUUCCGAGCCAUCAAUUAAGGGCUAUCGUGAUGCUUUUUAGUUGUCAGCAAAAGGUGUUUUUCUUGUACUGUAUUCACUCAAAAUCGUUUUUCAUUUAGGGUUGCUAGUGUGGUUGAAUGCCAUUUGUUUUGUUAAUGAAUAUUAUACAUUAUGGAUUUUUGUAGAAAUGUCGCUUGAAAUUAUACCUCAGUUUCAAUUUGUCACCUUAAAGAAAAAUUUAAGAGAAAUGUCACCUUAAUUUUUCAAAAUCCACGAUUUGUCAUCUCACUUUAACAUCAUCCAAUUUUCCAUCUAUUUUAAGGGUAUUUUAGUCUUUUCAUUUUCAAGGGAAAAAAAGAGAGGAAGAAAAAGACCUCUCUCUUACUUUCUCCCCCAACCCAACCCCACCCGCCCCCCAAAACACAUCGCAUAGGACCGCCUCCCCCUUCCCCACAUUUCUUUUUUCUUUUUGGCCUACUUUUCCACUAUGUUUAUGUUGAAGGAUCUAAAGUUUUCUUGGUCACCAUCUAUUACGUAGGCUACCGACUUGUUGGUUUGGGUGGGUUGAGGGAAUUUGUGUGUGGAGGGCAGGUGUUCAUGUUGUGUGCACCAAGACCUUAUCGUUGAUGAACUAUGUGACGGCACACACACAAACUCGUUGAGAAUAAAACAAACAUACCACCAAGAGAGUAAAACAAACACACAAGGACACAAAGAUUUAUAGAGGUUCGGCCUCCUGCCUACGUCUUUUUGGUGAUUCACUCGAGAAAUUCACUAGUAUGUAAAAAUAACUUUGGUUACAACUGAACCCCCUUAGCCCUCACAAGAACCUUAGAUCUCUUUUCUCUCACCCUUGCUCAAACCCUUUGAUGCCCUUGUAGACACUCAAGAAUUCACCCUUGAAUUCUAUCUUGUGUUACAUCUUCUCUUCUCCCUUUUGUUAACCUAACCCUAAAAGUCCUAUUUAUAAUGCAUAGGACUUAAGUUACAAGUUAACUUGGAAUAGGAAACAUAAAAUACCCCAAAAAUUGGAGAAAAUCUGUCCAAAUCUAGCCUGCAAAAUCAUCCUUCUGCCGCUCGAGCUGCCGGUGGCGCUCAUGGGAUGGGGGAAUUGGAGAUUUUCUUUUCAAUUUUAAUUGUUUAAAAGAUAUACAAUUUUUUAUUAUAAUAAUUUUUCCAUUUUUAAAAUACACUUGAAAAUAGAAAGCUUAAAAUGCCCUUAAAAAUAGAUGGAAAAUUGGAUGGUGUUAAAGUCAGAUGACAAAUCAUGGAUUUUGAAAAAUUAAGGUGACAUUUCUCUGAAAUUUUUCUUUUAAAAGUGACAAAUUGAAACUGAGGUAUAAGUUCAGGCGACAUUUCUACAAAAAUCCCUAUACAUUACAAUAUUAUAACAAUAAAAUUGGCUAAAAUUGAUAUGUUCCCUCUUUUCUUUUCUUUUUCUCUUUUCCUUUUCAUUUUAUGCUUUGUUGCUAUUGCUAUGUUUAUCCUACAAAUAUAGCAACUUCUCCACCAUUCAUUUGUUAGUGACUACGAUGCUUAGUAACUUCUUCAGCUCCCCUUAUUUCCAUGUACUAACCAGGGACACCAGGUCAGCAUCUUCGGUAAGAAUCCUAACUCAAUCAAACAAUGACAUCUGUAAAUAUUCAAAAUUGGAAUUUGCAUUGUGAUAGUUGAAAGCAUCCUUGUCCCAAAAAAAGCCAAAAAAUAAAAUAAAAUUGAGAGCAUUAAGUCCUUUUCAAAUUAUGCUAAUAUGCAAAAUUGGAAUUUUGAUGGAGUUGCUUCCUUGACUUUUCCACCUUUGUAUCCAGUCCACUUUGCACAAGGAGCCAAGUUUGAGAGAUAGUUUUCUGUAUUUACACCAUCCAGGAGAAAAUUAAAAAACUAUUUCAUGCCAAACUAACUACGGAUUCUUGCAAAGGACCCAUUAGUGUAGUGGUUUGGAGUAUUUACUCCCUCAGGCAAGGUCUUGGGUUCGAGUCCUAGCAUUCAUGUUGUGUGUGUGAGUUUAAUAUGCUAUCACCCCUUCCAAUAGGAAAGGACCUCAAAAAAAAAAAAAAAACUACAGAUUCUUUAAUUGAAAGAAACCCCAUAUUAAUCAUCCUUUGGCACAUAAAUGUUUGGUAAUUGGCAUUAAAGUAUCUAAAGGUUACGAAAUUAAAGAUUUUAAUGCAAACCUAAAAUUGGAAAAGAGGGCACCAAUUCAUGUAAAAUAUGGUGUACUUAGUAGAUCCAACAUAUUUUUUUAGCAACCAAGGACAAUCAUCAUUUUUUUUUUUAAGAACCAAGGAUAGCUUACAUUCUAGUUUGUCCAUCAUGUCAACACAUUUAUAAUUAAAACUUCUUUUUUGGUGAGGUUUCAAUUUUUGUCACUGUAACAAGACCACAAUUGCCAUUCAGUAUGCUAACAUUGUCACUAUGUUUGCCAAUUGCAUAUUAUCUAGAACAUAAAGGCUUUGGUGUUUUGUAUAUCCUCGGGGUGCCAAACCUGUCUUUAUAAAAAUGGUCCUUAUGAUACUACUUUAACAACAAAAAAAUAUAAUAAACUAGGCCUUUGUAGUCACUGAACGAAUGUUUUCUCAUAGAUAUGACUAUUUAAAUGUAAUUACGGGAUUAAAACAUUAUAAUAAAUUGGAGUGAACCAUAACAUUAUAUAUGAUCCAAUCCUUUUCAUAUAUUUUUGUUCAAGACUUUGUUUUAGAAUGCUCUUUUACUAAUUUGGUACAGGUCCCUAAAAUCUACGCCUUUAUGAGGCAACGUCUUUAUUUCUUUGGUUAUUCCAGUUUAGAAUAUAUUUGUACAAAUGAGAUGACUCCCAACAUAAAGUCACAUUCAACCAAAAAGCAUGAAGUCACACACAAAAAGAACACGGACAAUUGCUAAGUUUAUCUUGUAUCCUUAUUUUAUUGAUCCAACCCAAUUGAAAAAUAAAAAAGAUGAUAUAAUAUAUUGUUCACUGCUUACAUCCAUGAGUAAAGUCCUCCAUUUGAAAUUGCGUGAUUAUACAAAAUUGGAAUGAAAAAAGAAAAUCCUACAACUAAAUUUGAUAUAUUCCUUUUCAUUUUAUGUUGGAUGUUAAGUUUUCUUGUUUCUUGUUGAAAAGAAAAAUGAAAAGAAAUAAAUAAAUUACACAGCUAGCAACUUCUCCACCUUCCCUUCUUCCCAUGUACUGACAACAAGGGAGGCCUUCAAUCCAAAAUAAAGACAAGGGAUGCCAGGUCAGCAUCUCAGAUAAGUAUCCCAACCAAAACCAAUCAAAUAAUGACAUAUGUAUCUCUUUUUGUGUUUUGUUCUAUUUCUCUUUGAAUUAACUGCGAAGUUUCAUAAGCGUGUCCUCCUUUUGAAAUUGUGUAUUAUUCAAAAUUGGAAUUUGCUGGUCAUACUUGAUAUAAGCUAAAACAGUUUCCAACAUCUUGUACCAUUUUUUUCCAGUGUGGGUCAUAACUUGAAGAAGCCCACCGACAAUUUCUCAAAAGCUAUUACCAUCCAACUUUGAAAAAUAAAAGUUUCAAAAGUUACCCCAAACAACAGCCCUUGAAAGAGAGUUUUCCAAGGCUAAAGAUUACAAGGAUGUUAUUGGCACAUGCAUUAACGUGUGACAAGAAGUUAGUUAUAUUUAUAAAGUAAAAGAACGAAGUACAUAACAUGUAAGUUGAUGCCAAAUAUUUGAUCAACAGAGCUAAACAUAAAACCACGACAAUAUAACGUUGUUCACCAAAAAUUGUGUUUCGUUGAGGGUCAGUAGUGUAGGUUUCAAGAUACGAUUUAUUUUGUUAAAGAAUAUUCUGAUAUUCUAACAAUAAAAUUGGCUCAAUUUGAUAUGUUUCUUUUUUUUUUUGUUUUUGUUUUCCCUUUCAUUUUAUGCUUUGUUGUGCUAUUGCUAAGUUUAUCCUAGAGACCAGGGAUGCUUAGCAAGUUUCUUCACCUGCCCUUCUUCCCAUGUACUAACUAGGGAUACCAUGUCAGAAUCUUAGAUAAGAAUCCCAACCCAAUCAAACUAUGACAUCUGUAAGUAUUCAAAAUUGGAAUUUGCAUUGUGAUAGUUGAGUGGAAGAAUCGAUUAAGGCUUGAGUGGAAGACAAACUUCAGUGGAGGAAAGUAAUUAAUCUCACAAGACAUAGCCCAUCAGUUGGCUCAUUUUUCUUGAGUGUGUAGUCCUGGCCUUGAGGCGAGGCCACAUUGCUUUGGAGAUUUCUUUCUACUUGGUGAAAUUAUAAUUUAGAAGAAGCAAACUGCGUUUUGCAAUUUGUGCGAUUCAAGCAUAUCUGACACUAGUAAUUAGACCAUAAUCUUUGUCCGACCAGAAAAUAAGAAAAGUUGUCUUGUACCAUUUCUGCCAGUGUGGGUCCCACCCACCCCAUACGAGUAAUUUGAAGAAGUCCACCGACAAUUUCCCAAAAGCUUUGGCGUCCAACUUUGCCGACCCCAUCCCCAUGUGAGGCCAUAGAAAAGUUUUCAGCCACAAUCAAAGAAGGGAACAGUCCUUGAAAAGAGAGGGUUUUCCAAGGCCAAGAUUACAAGUUCAUGUUAUUUACAGUCUCAAAAAGCUUCCAUACUUGUUUACAAACCUGUAUUUUCAAGUUGUGCUAGCCUAGCUAUUUGCAAAUCUUGGAAUAUUUUACUUCAUCCAAAUCCCUUGCAGUCUGCAGAGAAGAUAAAAGACAUGGCUUUGAUUGGAGAGGCUCUUAUCUCUGCUUCCGUCCAGGUGUUGUGCGACAGAAUUACUUCACCCGAGUUCGUUGACUUAUUUUGGCACAAGAAACUCGAUGAGCCACUCCUCAGGAAGCUGAGGACGACACUGUUGGCCUUGAACUUGGUGCUCAAUGAUGCAGAGGGGAAGCAACUUGUGAACCGAGAUGUGAAAAAGUGGCUUGACGAGCUCAGACAUGCUGUCUUUGAUGCGGAGGACUUACUGGAUGAGAUUGACACUGAAGCUUUGCGAUGCAAGCUGGAAGAAGGUGAAGAUCAAACUCACAAAUUUACCAAUAAGGUGCGGAACUUGCUCUUUUCUCCUCGUAGUCAUUUUUAUCAGAGCAUGAAUGAUAAGAUAAAAGAGUUACUAGCAAGGUUAGAAAACUUUGUACAACUGAAAAGUGCUCUUGGUCUGGGAGAAGUUGCUGGGAGGAAGGUUUCGCAAAGAACUCAAACAACCUCCUUGGUUCUUGAACCUUAUGUAUAUGGUAGAGAUGAAGUCAAAGAAAAGUUAUCAAAAGUGUUGCUAUCUGAUGAAGCAGGCAAGGAUCCUGUGUCUUUCCUCACCAUUGUUGGAAUGGGUGGGGUUGGCAAGACAACCCUUGCUCGAAUGCUUUACAAUGACGAUAAGGUGAAAGGGCAUUUUAAACUUAAAGCUUGGGCUUGUGUUUCAGACUACGAUGAUUAUAUUAAAAUUACUAAAACUCUCCUUGAGGCAGUCACUUCAAAGCCUUGUAACACGGCAAAUCUGAAUUUGCUUCAAAAAGAUCUAAGAGAGCAAUUGAGGGGAAGGAAAUUUUUAUUUGUGUUGACCUAUGGAAUGAGAAUAAUGAGGAUUUGAACUACCUUAGAGCUCUUUUUAUUACUUUAGGAACAAUGGGAAGUAAAGUCAUUGUAACAACACGGAACAAAAAUGCAGCAUCUGUCAUGCAAAAUGUUCAUAUUCAAUACUUAGAACCAUUGUCGUAGGAGGACUGCUGGUUAUUACUUGCAAAACAUGCAUUUGGAAAUGAAAAGUGUAGUGCACAUUCAAACUUGGAAGACAUUGGAAAGCAAAUUGCACUCAAGUGCAAAGGGUUGCCUUUAGCUGCACAAACACUUGGGAGUUUGUUACGUUGCAAUAUGGAUUUCGAGUACUGGAAUAGAAUACUAAAUGAUAGUUUUUGGGACCAACCCUAUGAUAAAACUAACAUUCUUCCGGCUCUAGGGUUGAGUUACCAUUAUCUUCCUACUCAGUUGAAACGAUGCUUUGCUUAUUGUUCAAUUUUUCCAAAGGAUUAUGAGUUUGAAAAGGAAGAUAUAGUUCAAUUAUGGAUUGCAGAAGGUAUAAUUCCACAAGCUGAGAAUGGAAAAAGGAUGGAAGCAUUGGCUAGAAUAUACUUUGAUGAGCUGUUAUCACGAUCGUUGUUUCAAAAGUCAAGUAAAUUCAGCUUCAUUAUGCAUGAUCUCAUUAAUGACUUGGCUAUGUUCAUGUCUCAGGGGUUUUGCCUUAGGCUCGAAGAUGGGGUAUCCCGUGAAGUUAAAAGAGCUCGUCAUUUGUCAUAUGCUAGGGGAGAAUUUGAUGCUGCUCCAAGAUUUGAACCAUUAUAUGAGGCUAAAUGUUUGCGGACCUUCCUACCUACCAUUUGUUGUGGGCAAAUCUACUGGAUCAGGCAUAAGAGAACUGAGGCAGUUCCCGCAACUUCGAGGAAAACUAUCAAUUUUGAAGCUACAAAAUGUAGUUGAUGCGAGGGAUGCACUGCACGCCAAUAUGAAGCACAAGAAAGAUCUCAAGGAGUUAGAGCUUUCAUGGGGUGCGGAGGAUGCUGAUGAUUCCCAAAAGGAGAAAGAUGUACUCGACAAGCUCCAGCCUUGCGUGAAUUUGGAGAAAUUAACCAUCAAAUUCUAUGGUGGAACUAAUUUUCCGAAUUGGUUAGGAGACUCGUCUUUUUCUAACAUACAAGUCAUGCAUCUCAGUGACUGUAGUUAUUGUUGGUCGCUCCCACCAGUUGGACCGCUACCGGCACUCAAACAGCUCUGUAUAAGAAGAAUGAAGUUUGUGAAGACGAUUGGCGUUGAAUUCUAUGGCAGAAAUGGAGCUUAUCUGACUCAGCCAUUUCGAUCUCUGGAGAAGCUAGAGUUUAGGGAGAUGCCAGAGUGGGAGGAAUGGGUACCAAGUGGAAGUGCAAGUGGAGGUGAAUAUGGUCCAGACUUUCCUCGUCUCCAGGAGCUGAUUCUAUACGAGUGUCCGAAGCUAAGAGGAAGUUUGCCUUGUGAGUUGCCUUGCUUGAAGAAGCUUACGGUGUAUGGGUGUAAGGUUUUACAUGAUGGAAGGGCCAUUACCGCAACUACCAAUAGUCUUAACUAUAAAUCUCUGGAAGAAUUGAAUAUAAGUGGUGGAUGCCAAACUCUGUUAUCAUUAUUAGAGACAAAGCUCCUGUCCGGACUUGAGAUUCGAAAUGUUGUUGACAUACAGUGCUUGCCCAACUGCAGUCGUCUUCAACAUUUGACUCUUUCGAAUUGUCCAACGCUGUCAUCAUUUCCCAAAGAUGGCCUACCCACUACAUUGACAUCACUUUAUAUAAACAAUUGUAGGAAAUUAGAAUUCCUACCUCAUGAGAUGUUGGCCAAAUUAACAUCGCUUGACUAUUUGUGCAUACAAAAUAGCUGUGAUUCAAUGAGGUCCUUCCCGUUGGGCAUUUUUCCCAAAUUGACGAGGCUUGAAAUUCGUGGUUGUGAGAAUCUGGAAUCCCUUUCCUUGAUUGAAGAAGAAGGAGCUGUUGAGAAUCUCAGCCAUCUCAAUUACUUGCAAGUCUAUAACUGUCCAAAAAUGGUGUGUUUUCACGAGGGAGAAUUGCCCACUCCCAACCUGAGUCACUUUGUAGUCGGUGGUUGCGAGAAUUUGAAGUCAUUGCCCAAAAGCCUUCACACCCUCACUGCCCUUCGAUCUUUGUCGAUAUGUAAUCUUCCGAAUCUGGAGUCAUUUGCAGAAGAUGGGGGUUUGCCUCCCAACCUCCGACAAGUAAGUAUUAGGAAUUGUGAGAGACUGAGGGCUUCAUCAGUGGGUUUGCAAGCACUUGACUCCCUUGAGAUCAGUGGAAGUGACCAUGUAUUCUCUAUCACACUCUUCACAUCUAUUCUCUAUCAACUCUGAAAUCUUUGGACGGAAAGGGUCUUGGACACCUCACUUCUCUUCAAGAGCUAGAUAUUAACAGGUGUCCAAGUCUGGAAUUCCUGCCAGGAGAGGAACUUCAACACCUCACUUCUCUUCAAAAUCUAUACAUUUGGAACUGUCCCAGUCUUCAAUGCUUGCCAGAAGAGGGUUUUCCAUCAUCUCUUUCUCAUCUGAGUAUCCGCCGGUGUCCUACCCUGGAGGAAAGGUAUAAGAAUAAAACGGGACGAGAUUGGGCCAAGAUAUCUCACAUUCCUUGCAUCGAGAUAGGCAACGAAGUGAUCAUAUAAUAUGAGCUAUUCCAUAUUUCACGCUCAACCCUCAACUCUCAAAUCAAAGUCAGGUGAGGUAUGUGCCUUCUCUUACUUUAAAAAACUGCUGCUCAAUAACACUCUUCGCACUCUAUAUAUUAUGGCCUGUCAGUCUAAAAUUCCUGCCAGGAGAGGAACUUGAACGCCUCUCUUCACUGCAAAGGCUACAUAUUUGUGGGUGUGACAAUAUCCAAUUCCUGCCAGAAGAGCGUUUGCUGCAAUCUCUUUCUUAUCUGUGCAUCGACCAUUGUUUUGCCAUGUAGAAAAGGUAUCUCACAUUCCUUGCGUCAAGAUAGGUGAAGAAGUGAUCAUAAGAUAUGAGCUCUCUCUCCCUCUCGCUCACAUACAAAGUACUUAAAACACUCAAUCUGAUUUCUAUUAUUAUUUUGCUCAGUAAAUUUUGUUUAAAUUUGCUUUGUUUCUCAUUGCGCUUGUUCUGCUUAUCACAACUUAUAUCCUAUUUAAAUCUCAAAUGCUGAAUAGUUAGCAGUCUUUUCGCAGGACAGCAUAUCUUCUCUUGGAGAGCUAUUCAUUUGCAAGGUUUCUUUAUGUGUCAUUUCCAGAGGAGGGUUUACUAUUUAAUAGAAAGGUUCACCUGGAAUAUCUCAAAUGACACAUUCCCAAAUACAGGCAUUGAAUGCACAACAUUUUGAGGUACUAUUUUUGUAAUAAAAAUGUACUUGAGUCUCAUUUGAGCUAGUUUAAAUUGUAUUCAAUGUCUAUGGAUAACCUGUGAGCUUAAGUUGUAAGAUAAAACUCACAGUAUAUUAUUAGGGUUUAGGGUUCAACAGGUGAGCUUAAGUUGUACUUUCCUAGGUACUGCAUGUAUAUUAUCUUAGUAUCAACACUUGGUCUUAUGUGGACGAGAGAGAACAUUUGAGGAAUUACAAAAUCUUCUUAGUGAAUUAAGCUUGUUUCAGCUCUGUUUGUCAUCCCUCACAUUUUCUUUGUUAAGCCUUGAUUUUUUAUUAGACAUACGAAAAAAUGCUUUUAUAAGACAGGAGAUGAAUGCUUUUAUAUGUUGAUGUCGUAGUCAGUCUUCAACCACACUCUGUUUUUAGAAUUCAUUUAUGUUACUAGUUGAGAGCUGCUGUAUUUUAUAUUUCGUUCCUGUAAUGUUUGGAUGUUUAGCUUGAGCAGUCUAGCUUAUCCAGUAGAUAACUUGUCCCCUGUUUUGUAAUGUUUUUGUUUCCUCUAAUGAAAGCAGGUUUUACUUAUCUUGAACUGCAGAAGCCUACUUUUUGACAUAGGUGGCAUGGCACAAACUCGCAUCCGCAUUUCCAUCCCCAUUGGCAUGCUGUCUCAUCUUUUCUAUUCUGUUACCAGCUUGAAGCUUGUGUGGACAUGUUAUGCUCUUGUAAUUCUGAUCACAAACAUCACUUGACAAAUGGAAAGUCACAAUCAGAUCUUUCAGGUGAUCUGGAGGUUUACUUUCUAACAUUUGUUUUCGUGGGGGGGAGACAACAAUACAGAAUUUAAAAUUUCUGAUAAUCAAUAGUAGUUUGCAUAUAUCAGCUGGGACCUGUAUGACUGUAUUAUGUAAUUAAUUAUUUCUCUUAUUGUUUGGGUACUGUUAAAAGGAGUUAGCCACACAACAUAAAAAAGGAGGUCUCUUAUUUCAUACAAUUUUUCAAAUGUGAUCAUUAAUCCGUUUCUUUUUCAACAAUAGAGGAAUGUAUACUAAUCGUCUGGUCCAUCUGCUGCUUCACUCCCUAGUAGCUUCAUCUCCUGUCCUUUGCUUUAUUUCUGUUGAUGAAUGUUUUGUCUGGGUUAUUUAUUUUCAUUUCAUGUCCAUUGCUUUAUUUCUGUUUGGAUUCUUAAUUAAAUCUGUCCUGGACUUGAACAAGGGUUAGGUUAGCUGUAUAAUUUGCGGUUUUAUAUACACAACUGUCUACAUUGAUUAAAACCAGCAUUAUUCUAAGGUUCAUUUAGAAUGUAUUAUCACCAAAAUUAUAAAGAAUACUUCUAUUACAAUUAAUUUGUUGAUUCUAAUUUGGACUUGUAGGAACAGACCAAACAUGUUCAUGCGUGGCAUUGCUCAAGUCAUCAUCAUUCGAGACAGAGAAUAAGCCUUCAAGUGUCUGCUGAGUCAAUGAACCUUUCUAGAUAUCUCAAGUGUAAUGGAAAUUGAUGAGUUACAAAGGAUUUGUAAACAUUUUCUACUGGAGGCUAGAAAUGCUUCAAAUAAAUGACCGUGUUGCAAUUAUUUUGUAGGAUCAAAGACUCUGCAAAGAGGUAAGAAAGUCAUCAUCAAGUAACUUUGCUCUUCAAACUUUUUAUUUUUAUUUUUAAAUAUCAGUAAUAACUGGGAAAGCUUGCAUCUCCUUAAAUUGCUCAUUCUUACAUCUUUUAUAGUUUGUUGAUCUUGGGCAAGUGGAGAGAGAGGCGUCAAGUGAUACGCAACAACCAUUUUCUGUGAGCUGAUUUGAUAAAGAGAAAUGGUAUGCUUUCUUGUCUUAAGCGGUGUGUUCUGCAAUUAUUUGAAACAAAGGAUGCCGCACUUCAAGUUCGAGAAAAUCAGGUAUUUUAGUAUUUUAUUCUUGAGAAAUUUGAUUUAUGUAGAAACUUGAACAUGUAAAUAAAAUAAAUAAAAUAUAUUAUAUGCUGUUAAUGAGUUAAUAUGGUGCUUGCUUCUAGUUGGAAAUUUAUGUAGUCAUCUACCUAUGAUCAAAUAAAGAUGAAGAAUAAAAUAUAAUUGAGAGCAUCUUCCUCUCCCCUGCUUUGCUCAUCCCUUGUUCUUCCACUUCAGCCCCACUAUUACACCAUUUUUUCAGCCACAAUUAUAAUAGCUCCAUGAGCAUUAAGUCCUUUUCAAAUUCUGCUGACAUUCAAAAUUGGAAUUUGCUGGUGAUAUAUGAUAGCAUCUUUGUCCGACCAAAAAGAGAAAAAAAAAAAGUUGAUAGCAUAUUGUACCAUUUUGGCCAGUGUACGCAAUAUUAUUGCAUCCAACUUUGCAUAUUAACAUCAGUGGCCACAGUUCCAUGAUUUGAGUGCACAGAAAAGUUUCAAAAGUUGUCCCACAAAGAACAGUCGUUCAAAGUGAAAGAGAGAUUUCAAAGCUUAAUUACAAGUUCAUGUUAUUUACAAUAUCAAAAAGCUUUCAUACUUGCUUACAAACCUGUAUUUCCAAGUUCUGCAAACCUUGGAAUAUCACUUCAUCCAAAUCCCCUUCCAAAGCAGGAAAAAAUGGCAGCAGCUUUGAUUGGAGAGGCUCUCAUCUCUGCUUCUAUCGUGGUGUUGUGUGACAGAGUUACUUCAGCCGAGUUCAUAGACUUAUUUCAGCAGAAGAAACUUGAUGAAACACUCCUCAUGAACCUGAAGACGACACUGUUGAUUUUGUUUGCGGUGCUCAAUGAUUCAGAGGAGAAGCAAAUUGUGAACCCUGAAGCUUUGCGAUGCAAGCUGGAAGGUGAGGAUCAAACCCACAAUAAUUAACCAAAAAGGAUCUUUUUGAUUGUUUGAAAGGAGGGUCUUGAUGAUUUGAAAGGAGAGGGUUGCUUUAUUUCUGUUGGAUGCUUAAUUAAAUCUUAUUUGGAGUUGAACAAGGAUUAGGUUAGCUGUAUAAUUAGUGGUAAACGCCUUUUUCUAAGGGUCAUUUAGACUCCUAUUACGAUUAAUUUGUUGUUUCUAAUUUGGACUUGUAGGAACAGACCAAAUAUGUUCACACGUGGCAUCGCUCAAGUCAUCAUCAUUUCAGACUGAAAAUCAGCCUUCGAGUGUCUGUUGAGUCAAUAAACCUUUCUAGAUAUAUCAAGUGCAAUGGAAAUUCAUGAGUUACAUAGAGAUUUUUAAACAUUUUGAAGAUUGCAACACCUGCAAGUGAGAUAGGCGGUGACGAAAUCAGAGCUGAUUUUGAAGCCUCUGAUGCCCCUGUUGUUGCAAGUUGCACCUGAGAACAAGUUUUUUUUUUCUUUGGGGUAAAAAACUGGCAACAUGUUCGGAGCUGACAAUUCAAUCCCUGAUGAACUAGAGAAGCAAAGCUCCGGUAAGGAAAUUGGUCAAGGUUGUGACAGGGAUGAUUGAUGGUGAAAUGGAUGCUAUUUCUUAUUGCAGCCUGUUCUCAAAGUUCUUGUUGGCAAAUGCAAUUGAUGGAGUAUUUUGAUUGGGAGGAGAGAUAAUGACAUGGCUUGACAAUUCUAGAACAGCCCAUCAUUAAUCCCAGAAAAAAUCCCGUUUCUGCUAAACAAUCACUUAUGGCAAGGCCAACUCUGUAAAUGGAAUUUGUGAUCCCUUCAAAUUGUACACAUUUUUUCUUUUUGAGGAAUUUAAUCAAACAGUAUUCUAAUGCAUUAUGAUAGCACUACACGCUUUUGUUGUAACAAAUUACAAGGAGGAAUUUGGAUUGAGUUUCUUGUAUAAGCACACCUUACACAAAUUUCGUAUAUUUUCUUCCAGCAAGUCUGUUUAUUAACCCCCUUAUCUGAAAUUAAUUGUUAAAAGUUUUGAUUCAUCUUUAAUCAGUGUCUUACCCUUGUUGAAUAACACUCCUCUUUCUAAUUUAUAUUUGAAGUUUGAGCUUUCAAUUUCAAUUGUGGGCUUUGAUUUUUCAGAUUUUGUUUGUCAAUUUCAGUUUGGACAAAGCAUAUAUGCAAACAAAGUAAGCAUUUUAUGUUAUACUUUUGAACUAGGUGUUGAUUUGAUUUAAUCAUAAGUUUUGCUGGUGCAUUUACUAGGCUAAUCAUUCAAUACUUUUGAUCAUAGAACUUCUUUGGUUGAUAUUAUCUUUGUUAAGUUUAACCAUAACUUUAGAGAGGGGACUUCAACAGAUUUAUAAUCUCAUCAUUAUAGUAUUAAAAAUUAGAGAUUAUUUAAGGCAUUGUCUAUUAUCUGAAUUCUGCUUACUUUUAGUUCAUAUGUUUACAUCUUAGCAUAUUCAUGUGAUUAGUGCGGCUCAUACCACAAAGGCAAUUUUAGGCUCAUCAAGUGCUAAGCAAUGUCAAGCUUCCAAAUGACAAGUUCUCUACAUAGUUUGAGACCUACACUUACUAGAUAUUAGAUCAUUUCGAUCAUUUCCAUAUGUUUAUAUGUAAUUGACAUGUUAUAACAUUUUUGUAGCGUUAUAUAAUUAUUUAGCAAUUUAAUUAUUUCUUUGCAACUUAAUUUUUUUUGUCAAUCAUACUAUUGUUGACUGCUAAAAACCAUCAAGAAAUAGUUCUCAAGUUAUAAAAAAAAAAAAAUUUUAAAAAAGAUUUGUUGAUGCUUAAAAAGCAUCAAGAACAGAUAGUUUCUUGACGGUUUUGUGACAUUUCAUAACUGUAGGGGGCUUUUUCUUCCGACAGCUGUAAAUGGGCUGGGCUGCCGUAAAGGGCAGACUGAUGAAAUUGUCCCCUUUUGUAUGAGCUCAAAAAUUAAGCCCCAAAAUACUUUGAAAGGGCAGCAGAGCCUUAGGAAGUAUUUUGGUUACCCUCACCAACUAAAACAACAACAACUUACAGGUAAUUACUUAAUGCUUAUGGAUGAACUCUUGAGCUUGGCAUGAGAGACAUAUGGCAUGGAAGCAAAAUCAACAUGAGUUUAGCACUGAGGGGAAAUUUAGGCUCUCUUGGGGGAAAAAGGGAAGUGUUAAGGUGAGAGAGGAGAAGUUUGUAGGAGAUUUAGCUAAGAAAGGAGAAAUAUAGAACAAUGCUCUUUUGGCAGCUUGACAGAUGCUCUGUUUGCCAGAAAAGGAAGAUGGAGAAGAAAUGUGAAUAGUGCAAGAGUUUGCUAGAUUUUUGCAGGUAAGAGAGGAAGCUUGCUCUCUGGGUCUGAGUUGAGUUUUUUUGUGUGGAAGAGACCUCAUUUUAUAGCCCUUGGAAACCAUCACUUCCCAAGAAACCCUAAUGGCUUCUACCCAUUUUGGCCAAGCUUUUCCCUUCCUUUCUCAUUUCCUUCCUUGACUUUACCCCUCUUGAUGAAAUCCCCUCUGCCUAUUUGCACCAUAUCAGAGUUUUUUGAAGCUCAAGGCCCCUUUUUCCCGCAGUUGUCUCAAUGGGAGACUUCCAUUCCCAGUCAUCUCCUUUAUUGCUUUCCUUUCUUUUUUUCAUGGCCAAGUUUGGUGGGGAAAGGAGUUGGGAUAUAUAUGCUGGUUUGAAGGGUGCUUCUCUUCCUGGCAUCUUACACACUAAUACCCCUUGGUUCCUUGAAUGUUUUGGCUUUGAAACUUGCUCUCCCCCCCCCCCCCCCCCCCCCCAUGUACUGGAACCUACCAGCAGCUCUAUUCAAUGAAUCUUCAGACCUUCUCUUCGUGGCUUUUAUUUUUUAUCAACGGGCUGGGGCUUUUGUGGCUCAUUGUGGCAAUUGUAUGGGCUAAGGUGGUUCAUUAAGUAAGUGGGCUAUUUUUAUUAAACAUUAGGCUUUUUGGUUGAGUCACUAGGCUAUUUUGAUUGGGCUAUUGGGCUAUUUUUUUCCUCUCUUGUGCUCACCCACAUGUUUGGACCAAAGAAAUGAGCUUGAGUCCUGAGGCUCCCAAGCGACCCGAGACUUUCCAUUUCUGGCCCAUCAAUGGGCCUCAUGUUGAUUUAUUACCAUCCAUACCACAACCCACUCAAGCAGGCUCCGGGCAUUUGAAUGACUUGGGCGCACUUAGGCUUGUAGUGUGGUUGGGUGCGAAAUAACGAUUUCGUGCUUGGCAUGUUUUAAUUUUAUCAUCCUUGGGAAAGGCUGCGAUGUUUGAUUUCGGCAUGGGCUUGUAGAGCUGGUAUGCUUUAUUUCAACUCCUAGCAUGACGAAUUAUUUAUUUAGCAUGGCACGUGAAUUACAACUCGCAUGUGGUGGGUUUUUGUGUACUACACCUUACGCCUCUUCUUAAUAGAACAUCGUUUUGGGCUGAUAAUUUAUUCGGGCCAAACCGUGAAUUUUUUGGGUCUCAAUAAUAACCAUCAUGAAACAUUACAUUUUGACUGACGUCAAGAAAUGGGGUAUCCCUUUCCUGAUAGUGGCAUCCAUGAUGCCUUCCAAGCAGUCAAUUAAGGGCUAUCGUGAUGCAUUUUAGUUGUCAGCAAAAGGUGUUUUUCUUGUACUGUAUUCACUCAAAGUCGUGUUUCAUUUAAGAUUAGUAGUAUGGUUGAAUACCAUUUGUUUUGUUAAAGAAUAUUAUACAUUAGGGAUUUUUGUAGAAAUGUCAUUUGAACUUAUACCUUAGUUUCAAUUUGUCACCUUGAAGAAAAAUUUAAGAGAAAUGUCACCUUAAUUUUUAAAAAUCCAUGAUUUGUCAUAUGACUUUAAAAUCAUCCAAUUUUCCAUCCAUUUUAAGGGUAUUUUAGUCUUUUCAUUUUGAAGGAAAAAAAAGAGAUGAAAAAAGAGACCUCUCUCUUACUUUGUCCCUCAACCCAACCCCACCCGCCCCCCAAAACACAUCACAUAGGAUUGCCUCCCCCUUCCCCACUUUUCUUUUUUCUUUUUGUCCUACUUUUCCACUAUGUUUAUGUUGAAGGAUCUAAAGUUUGCUUGGUCACCAUCUGUUACGUAGGCUUCCCAAUUGUUAGUUUGGGUGGGUUGUGGGAAUUUGUGUGCUCGAAACCCGAGACGAAUCUUGUGGAAUUCCCGACAUCACACCGAUGCCGGGCCCACUUCUGAACUAAAUUCUCUUUUCCAAAAUUAAGGAAAAAGAGUACGAGGCUUUCUGCCGAAAUUUCGACAGAGUAUUCCCUAUAAAUUUAACAUUUCAGCUUUGGUGGCCGUUCUCUCAUUUCAGCUUUGGUGGCCGGAUGAGAGAACGGUCGGCUAAAACGUGGCCAGCUGGCACUGCCGUCGCGAGAGAGAGAGAGAGAGAGAGAGAGAGAGAUUUUUAUCAAAUCAUUUUUGCCAAAAUUACGAUUAUGCAACUGAGGGUAUUUUGAUCGUAUCUUUUUCAUUAUAACUCUGAUUCAAGCCCACUACGUGUUUACGGACUCAUCUCGCCGUGCUCUAUGCAAUUGUAUAGUUGAAAUUCCCAAAUUCCACCCCAGUCAAAAAUUCAACUUUAAACCCUACAAAAUAUUAUAGGGGCAAAAUGGUCUUUUAUCUAAUUAAAUUAAUAAUUGAAAAUUUAUUUAGGACCGGGUUGUUACACUGUCGUUGAUGGACUGUGCGAUGACACUCACACAAAGUCCUUGAGAAUAAAACACACACACACCAUGAAGAGAGUAAAACAAAUACACAAGUACACAAAGAUUUAUAAAGGUUUGGCCUUCUGCCUACGUCCUCUUGGUGAUCCACCCGAGAAAUUCACUAGUACGUAAGAACAACUUUGGUUACAACUAAACCCCCUUAGCUUUCAUAAGAACCCUAGAUCUCUUUUCUCCCACCCUUGCUCCAACCCUUUGAUGCCCUUGUAAACACUCAAGAAUUCACCCUUGAAUUCUGUCAUGUGUUACAUCUUCUCUUCUCCCCUUUGUUAACCUAACCCUAAAAGUUAUAUUUAUAAUUCAUAGGACUUUAAGUACAAGUUAACUAGGAAUAGGAAACAUAAUAGACCUCAAAAAUUGGAGAAAAUAUGUUUAGAUCUCGUUAGGAAAUUGCACAACACGUGCGAUCCGCUCGAGCGCCUGCAAAAUGAUCCCUUUGUCGCUCAAGCUGCCGAUAGCUCAUGGGAUGGGGGAAUUAGAGAUUUUUUUUUUUUUCAAUUUUAAUUGUUUAAAAGAUAUACAAUUUUUUAAUAAUAAUUUUUCCAUUUUUAAAAUACCCUUGAAAAUAGAAAGAUUAAAAUGCCCUUAAAAAUGGAUGGAAAAUUGGAUUGCGUUAAGGUCAGUUGACAAAUCAUGGAUUUUGAAAAAUUAAGGUAACAUUUCUCUUAAAUUUUUCUUUAAAGUGACAAAUUAAAAUUGAGGUAUAAGUUCAAGUUACAUUUAUGCAAAAAUCCUUAUACAUUAUGAUAUUCUAACAAUAAAAUUGGCUAAAAUUGAUAUGUUCCCUCUUUAUUUUCUUUUUCUCUUUUCCUUUUCAUUUUAUGAUCCAAUCCUUUUCAUAUAUUUUUGUUCAAGACUUUGUUUUAGAAUGCUCUAUUACUAAUUUGGUACAGGUCCCUAAAAUCUCGGAGCCGCCUUAGUACAUUCAUAAUGUACAUGUUCAGAGUUCAAGAAUAAUGUAUAGAAUGUGAAAUUGACGAUGCCGGCCUUUAUGAGGCAACGUCUUUAUUUCUUUGGUUAUUACAGUUUAGAAUAUUUGCACAAAUGAGAUGAUUCCAAGCAUAAAGUCACAUUCGACCAAAAAGCAUGAAGUCACACACAAAAAGAACACGGACAAUUGCUAAGUUUAUCCUUGUACCCUUAUUUUAUUGAUCCGACCCAAUUGAAAAUUAAAAAAAGAUGAUAAAAAAUAUUGUUCACUACUUUAAAAUCUAUGAGUAGAGUCCUCCAUUUGAAAUUUCGUCAUUAUACAAAAUUGGAAUGAAAAAAGAAAAUCCUACAGCUAAAUUUGAUAUAUUUCCUUUUCAUUUUAUGCUGGGUGUUAGGGCUUGUCAAUGGGCCGGGCUAGGCUAGCCCGGCUCAAAUUUAAUGGGCUUGGGCUAGGCCGGGCCAAGCUUUAAAGAGGAGAGAGAAAAUAUCCGGCCGAGUUUUUUAAGAAAAUUCAAAGCCCAAGCCCGAAUCACUGCUGUCUAGCCCGGCCCAAAUUUAAUGAGCUUGGGCCAGGCCGAGCCAAGCUUUAAAGAGGAGAGAGAAAAUAUCCGGCCGAGUUUUUUAAGAAAAUUCAAAGCCCAAGCCCGAAUCACUGCUGUCAUUUCAUUGAUUUGUGACGAGCACAACCACCAAAUCAGAAUUUACUCACGAAAAUAUCAAGUAUGUCUAGCAAAUUUCAAUUUUGAAUAAUACACAAUUUCAAAAGGAGGACAUGUUGCAAGACAGCAUACCUUCUCUUGGGGUGCUUUUCAUUUUGCAACAUUUCUUUACGUGUAAUUUCCAGAGGAGGGUUUAUCAUUGUAUAUAGCUUUUCGGGUGGUUUGUCUACAAAACAAAUGUCACAAAGAAGGAGGAGAAACGGAAAAGAUUUACUUGGAAUGUCUCAAGUCUCCUUUGAGAUAAAGGCAUCGAAUGCACAACAUUGCUUUUGUGCUAUUUCAUAAUUAAAGUGUGCUUCCCAAGUCUCCUUUGUGUUUUGUAACUUGUAAUGUUUGUUUUUUUGUUUCCCCUGUUUUCCCUCUUAUAAAAGAAAUACAGGUCCAAACCACACGGAUCUACUUGCAUAAUAAUGGACCAAAUUUAUGAUUUUUAGAAAGAACCUUCUGCCGGUGGAAUCUUGGGCUACUGUUGUGGCUCUCCUCUGUGUGCCUCCUUUUUAGAACGGUAAAAUAUUCAAAAUACUAGAAAAUGUUCGUGAUUAAUAUAAAUAUUAAGAAUUGAAAUUAUUAAUUAAAUGAGGAUAAUAUGGUAAAUUCACACUUUUUUAUAUUAAAAAAAUUAAAAUUAAAAGAAAAAUCAGAUAAUUGAUAUUAUUUUUAUGGAACACAGCUACUCAUUAUCUUUUUUAAUUCUAAAAUAAAUUUAAAUUAAAGAAAAAAACCCCUCUCACAGGCACGGAAGCGCGUGCUCAGAGGCUAGUUAAAAAUAAUGAACUUUGCUUCUGAAGACGUCUAUACCAGACCCACUCAACCUGCUUUAUGAUUAUACAAAGAACAAACUCGUCCUUAGACUCAUUUGGUUAAACUUAGAAAAUAAUGAAACAAAAAUAUGCACUCCCACAAGUAACACAGCCAGGAUUGAAAACAACUGGACAAAGAAAGGCAUGUUAAAACAGAAUUUUCAACAACUCAUCACCAUUAGACAAGAAAAAGAAAAAUCAAUACAAAAACAGAAAGAACAGAGAAUAAAUGUGGUGGAAGAAAAACGUUGAAGCCAUUUGUGAAUCCAACAACACUACCACUCUGUUUCUCUCCUUUUGUUCAGGCGGAUCUGCAUAUAUCCUAAGGCGUAUUACGGAAACAACUUCUUGCCGUUAUACUUGAAUGUUGUGGAUGCUUCAACGUUGCCAUCUGGGUGGAGUGGAUUUGUCCAAUUCACCUUCACUAUGGUAUAUACGUCCAAAUUGUUGUUAUUUGAAAGGCUUCUAAAUUUUAACAUUUUGAUUUUUAAAUUUUGUUUAAAUAUUUCGGCCCACUUAGUUCUUCUCAAAAUAUGUCAUCAAUAUCGUUGAAAGGUUGAACUUAGUGAAUUAUUAUAGUGCAGUACUGUAGAAUAGACACAUGAUAUAAUUUGUCCACAUGUUAUAAUAUAAGUAAAUAUUUAUUGAUAUUAUUUCUAAAAAUAAGAAAUAUCAACCAUUAUAUCCUCCCAUAUUAUAAUACAUAUACAAAUUAUACCACAUUAUCAUACUCUAAUACCAUUUUAUAAUUUCUCGUACUUAGAGCGAGUCAAUGACAUUACAUAAUAUAUAAUUGUUCAUAUAAUGGGGCAACUAACGUGAUCAACAAGUUGUGGUGAUUAAUUUAACAUAAUAAAAAAUAUACCAUUUACUUGAGUGAUGUAACAAUUUGUUCUUUUAAAUUGGAUUGCCAUCACUUUAAUAUGAUAUGUUUCUUAUUAUAGUGUCCCAUGUUAAGUGCUUCAGCAUUGUUUGUGGUGUGUACACAAAUUUUCUUAUAAAAUGUUUUAAUGCUUCUCACAUGUAUAUCAGAUAUAGACAGUUGAUGUGACUUAGAAAUCAAAUUGUCAAUAAAGCAAAAAAAUAUAAUUGGUGAUUGAGGUCCAAUUUAAUAGAAAAUAGUCUUAACUUGUAUAUUAGAGGUUUCAGAUUCGAAUCCUCACUGCAUUAUUGUUGUAUACGUACACGAGAAAUCCUCUUCUCCAAUAAUUUAGACUAUCACUUAUACUAAAAAAAUAUAUAUAUAUAAUGACUUUUACGGAUGCAAACAUAAAAUUACACCAAACAAUAAUGGAAUAGAAAGAUGCAAGUUAUUUUUUUUUUUUUUACAUCUAAAGUAUACUUUAUAUAUAUAUUUAUUAUGGGUGUUAUAACCGUUUAAUUUUCAGUUUUUAUUUUCUAUUUAUUGUUUUAAUUUUUAUGGUUUAAUGUGUAUGAAGAUUACAAGUAUUGGAUGUCUACCACUCCUCCUUCACAUCUGAAACAAACCACCAUCUCAUUUCUGUAUUUUCAUACUUUCAUAUAUUUUCUACUUUCCAGAUUAUUAUUUUUGGGCAACGGUUCUGUGACUUGCAGAUUUCUAUCCGAUUGUUAACAUGCUCAUAGCGGACCUUGAGCUUGCGUAUUGGGGAUCGUAUCUUGGAGCCUUAUAGACCUUUAUUACCUGCAUGUAGGGAGGUUAUAAAUGCUUUAGGUCAGCAUCUUUGACGUGCUUUUGCUUUCUUUUUUUUUUUACUUAUUUCUUCGUUUCUUUAUUUUUACUUUACUUUUAAAUUUUUAUUUUAUGUAUUAUUUAUAUUUAAAAGUUUUGAAUAAGAGUUUUACAGAAAAGGAAAAACACAAUUUCAAAUAACACAAAUUUCUCGUUUUUGGUUCUUAAAAUAAAUGAAUUUUUUACUUAUUUGUGAACUGAAAUGCCUCUAAAAAAAUAAUGAUAGUUUGAAGAAUUUGAUAGAAAUUAAAAAAUAUCCUCAAAUUACUUGGAAUUGAAGACCACAUAGGCAAAAACACCAUUUUGGACAAAGGCUGGUGAUAAUAGUCGAUAUCAUCUUUAAGUACUUUAAUAUGAUAUGUUUCUUAUUAUAGUGUCCCAUGUUAAGUGUUUCAGCAUUGUUUGUGGUGUGUACACAAAUUUUCUUAUAAAAUGUUUUAAUGCUUCUCACAUGUAUAUCAGAUAUAGACAGUUGAUGUGACUUAGAAAUCAAAUUGUCAAUAAAGCAAAAAAAUAUAAUUGGUGAUCGAGGUCCAAUUUAAUAGAAAAUAGUCUUAACUUGUAUAUUAGAGGUCUCAUAUUCGAAUCCUCACUGCAUUAUUAUUGUAUGCGUACAUGAGAAAUCCUCUUUCCUAAUAAUUUAGACUAUCACUUAUACUAAAAUAUAUAUAUAAUGACUUUUACGAAUGCAAACAUAAAAUUACACCAAACAAUAAUGGAAUAGAAAGAUGGAAGUUUUUUUUUUUUUUCCUACGUCUAAAGUAUACUUUAUACAGUCCCGAUCUCUUGGACCACAGGAGUCCAAGAGAUUGUGGUCACCCACCGUUGGAUAUUAAUCCAAUGGUUCAAAAUGAUAUAUAUAAAUGCAAUAUGACAUAAAUGAUUAUUACCCGAUCCAAGUCAACCGUUGAAUUUACAUUCAACGGUGGGUGACCAUAAAUCUCUUGGACUACAGGGGUCCAAGAGAUCAGGACUGAUACUUUAUAUAUAUAUAUAUAUAUAUUUAUUUAUUAUGGGAGUUAUAACUGUUUAGUUUUCAGUUUUUAUUUUCUAUUUAUUGUUUUAAUUUUUAUGGUUUAAUGUGUAUGGAGAUUACAAAUAUUGGAUGUCUAUAAAGGGCCACUCCUCCUUCACAUCUGAAACAAACUACCAUCUCAUUUCUGUAUUUUCAUACUUUCAUAUAUUUUCUACUGUCCAGAUUAUUAUUUUUGGGCAACGGUUCUGUGACUUGGAGAUUUCUAUCCGAUUGUUAACAUGCUCAUAGCGGACCUUGAGCUUGCGUAUUAGGGAUCGUAUCUUGGAGCCUUGUAGACCUUUAUUACCUGCAUGUAGGGAGGGUACAAAUGCUUUAGGUCAGCGUCUUCGACGUACUUUUGCUUUCUUAUUUCUUCGUUUCUUUAUUUUUGCUUUACUUUUAAAUCUUUAUUUUAUGUAUUAUUUAUAUUUAAAAGUUUGAAUAAGAGUUUUACAGAAAAGGAAAAAUACAAUUUCAAAUAACACAAAUUUCUCGUUUUUUGUUCUUAAAAAAGAAGAAGCAUUGAUUGGGGAGUUAUGGUAAACUCAAUUUCAAUGGUUGCGAUGAGAGGCGGUGGCGGCGAGGAGAGGACGAAGGCUUUGCUGCCGACGGGGUGGUGUGGGUGGGUGGAGACCUCGGCUGGCUGCUUGGUCCUGGGUUCUCCUUUAAUUCUCUGUUUUCUUUUUUCUUUUUCUUUUUCUCUUAGAGUUAUUGAUGUUAAGUGAAUGGACAGAUGCCAAAAUAGGGACAGAAGUAGGGGUGGGCAUCAAUCCGGCCGAUCCGGUCAAUCCGGCCGAACCGAUUAUAUUGGAUUGGUUUGGUUUGGUUUUGACCAAAGAAAAAGUCAACAUUUUGAAAAACCGAACCGAACCGGUUUGGUUUGGUUCAGCUGUGGUUUGAGAGUUUUAAAAACUGUCCUAAACCGAACCGGACCGAUUAUAAAUCAAUUUAUUAUUUAUUUAAUUUAGUUUACAUGUGGCAAGGUUUGUGUGCGUUUUGUGAGUCCGCGUAUCUGAAUGUUGGUGCACGUUUUGAUCUUCUAAUUUGCAUAUCCCAGUUAUUUGUGUGUGCUUGUAUUUCCCUCUCUUUCUAUCUCUACUAUGUGUGUUUGCUCUUUGUGUUGUGUGGCUCUUCUUACUCUAUCUAUCUUAAUUAAUGGGUCCAUUUCAUAAUUUCAUACGCAUUCAAACUCCACCUCUGUGAUAAAAACAUUUACCUCUUUGUGAUAAAAGCUUUUCAUUUGUUUGUAUUUCUCUUUGGCUUUUUGACUCACUCACUGUCUUUCUUUCUUUUAAUGCUACUUGUGAUGAAUGCAAUGAGUAAAUUUAAUGCUACUUGGUUAAUGCAAAUUUUGUAUAUGUUUGUUUUGAUGGAAAUUGUGAACUUAGAUGCAUGCUAGACAUUGGACAACCUUUGAAUAAAUGGAAUGAUGUUGUAUUAGCCUUUGAUGGAAUGAAAUGAAAUGAUAUAAUGGCAAAAUGUUAGCAUUAUAAUGUAAGAGCAGGUUGAAAAAUGCAUGGUUUUGUGUUAGGCACAAACCGGCCGAACCAAUCCGAACCAAACCGAUUACAAGUGGUUUGGAUUGGUUCGGUUUCCAUUAUGAUUUUAGGCUAAUCCGAACCAAACCGGACCGUUAUUUUCUUAUUGGUUCAGCUGUGGUUUGAGAGUAAAACCGAACCAAUCCGGACCGUGCCCACCCCUAGACAGAAGAUGUGAACCCAAUUAUAUACAGCUGAUUACAUAAAGUAACAAAUUAAUUAAUACUUGAGUGGAGGACAGGCUUGAGUGGAAGAAUUGAUUAAGGCUUGAGUGGAAGACCAACUUCAGUGGAGGAAAGUAUAGAUAAGGAAAGCAUGCCUCGUUUAACGGCUUUAUCUAAUAAAGAUUAGUUGUUGGCACUUGGAGUUUCUUAGGAAUGCUGGUUUUGUUUCCUUGGUGGACUUGAAAGGUGGUGCGUUGGCUCGGACAUCUCCCUAGUAAUUAAUCGAAGGUGGAAUCUUACAAGACAUACAGCUGCUCAUUAGCUGAAUAUCUCGCUCUCUUUAAAGAGAUCGAAGCAAACUGCAAUUUGCAAUUUGUGUGAUUCAAGCAUGAAUAUCUGAUAUAGUAACUAUACCAUUUGUUGGUUUGAUAAGAAAAGUUUGGUUAGCGAGGAUGAAACCAUAAAGUUCUCCAAAACACACAAAAAACACGAACAAUUGCUAAGUUUAUUCUUGAGUUCACACAUAUUUGUACAAAUGAGAUUACUCCAAGCAUGACUAUACCAUUUGUUGGUUUGAUAUGAAAAGUACGGGCAACGAGGAUAAAACCAUACAAACACACACAAAGAACGUGGACAAUAUACUAAGUUUAUCUUUGCGUUAUUGAUCCGACCUAACUGUAAAAUAAAAAAGAUAAAAAUAUAUAAUGUUCACUACUUAGAUCUAUGAGCACUAAAGUCCUCCUUUUGAAAUUGCACAAAACAUCACUUUUGGUCUUUGGUAAAUUUUUAAAAUAAAUGAAUUUUUUACUUAUUUGUGAACUGAAAUGCCUCUAAAAAAAUAAUGAUAGUUUGAAGAAUUUGAUAGAAAUAAAAAAAUAUCCUCAAAUUACUUGGAAUUGAAGACCACAUAGGCAAAAACACCAAAUUGCAACCUCACUUUAAUGAUAAAAAUGGUAAACUACAAAGACAAAAAUGACGUUUUGCCUUAUACAUAAUUGGAAUUUGCUGGUGAUAAUAGUCUACCAUCUUUUGUCGAUUUGCUGGUGAUAAUAGUCUAUCAUCUUUUGUCGGUCCGACCUAAAAAGAAGAAAAAGUUGAUGGCAUCUUGUACCAUUUUUGCCAAUGUGGGCCCAAACAAUUUGAAGAAGUCCACCGGCAAUUUCUCAAAAGCUAUUGUGUGAGUGUGAAGCUAAACCAAUAUUAUUUUGCAUAUACGACUCCACAUCCCCAUGUGAUGUGAGGCUACAAAAGUGUUUCCAAAACGAAAUAUGAUAUUUCAAAACGAAGCUAUGUAUAGAGUCAUUUGUAUUUGCUUUCACAAUAACAUUUGAUUUGUGAAAGCAUUUUAUAUUUAUACAUUCUGAUAUUCUAACAAAUAAAUUGACUAAAUUUGGCCAACAGGAUUUAGCCGAAUAGAAAAGUCCUUAUUUAUAGACUAGUGGUUUCAAAUUUAAAGUUUAGACUAUCGCAUGUAUUUAAAAAAAAAAAAACAAUUGGCUUAAUUUGAUAUAUUUCCUUUUUUUCCUUUUUCAUUUUAUACUGGGUGCCGUUAUUAAGUUUUAUCCUUAUUUUUUGUUGAAAAGAAAAUUGAAAAAAAAUAAUAAUUCCUACAGCUAGCAACUUCUCCACCUUCCCUUCUUCGCAACUAGGGAUGCCAUUGCAAGGUCACCAUCUCAGAUUAAGUCCUCCUUUUAAAAUUGUGUCGUUAUUCAGAAUUGGAAUAUAAUCCUGUACCACUUUGGCCACUUUUGAAGAUGUUCACCGACAAUUUCUCAAAAGCUAUUAAGCUGUACAUCCACAAUAUUAUUGCAUCCAUCCCCAUGUGAGGCUACAGAAAAAUUUUGAAAACGAAACUGGAUAUUUUAUCUCUAACAACAGCUUUCAUACUUCGUUUACCCUGUGUUUCCAAGUUGUGCUAGCUAUUUGCAAACCUUGGAAUAUUACUUCAUCCAAAUCCCUUGCAGAGAAGAGCAAGAUAUGGCUUUGAUCGGAGAAGCCCUCAUCUCCGCUACCAUCCAGACGUUUUGUGACAAAAUUGCUUCGCCUGAGUUCACCGACUUAUUUCGGCAGAAAAAGCUCGAUGAACAACUCCUCAACAAGCUGAAGACGACGCUGUUGACCUUGUCCGUAGUGCUUAAUGAUGCAGAGGAGAAGCAAAUUAAGGAACCUUUAGUGAGAGACUGGCUUGACAAUCUCAGACAUAAUGUCUUGGCUGCGGAGGACUUACUGGAUGAGAUCGACACUGAAGCUUUGCGAUGCAAGCUGGAAGAAGGUGAAGGUCAAACCCACAAUUUAACCAAGAAGGUACGUGAUUUUUAUCAACGCAUGAAUGUUGAGAUGAAAGAUUUAUUAGAAAGAUUAGAACAAUUUGUACAAGAGAAAAGUGCUCUUGGUUUGAGAGAAGGUGCUGGGAGGAAGGUUUCACAAAGAAGAACAACUUCCUUGGUUCAUGAACCUUGUGUCUAUGGUAGAGAUGAAGUCAAAGAAAAUCUGUUACAAAGAAGAGGAUUUGCCGUCAUCUCUUUCUCAUCUGAGUAUCUCGCGGUGUCCUGCCCUGGAGAAAAGGUAUAAGAAUAAGACGGGACAAGAUUGGGCAAAGAUAUCUCACAUUCCUUGCAUCAAGAUAGGAUACGAACUGAUCAUAUAAUAUGAGCUAUUCCAUAUUUCACUCUCAACCCUCAACUCUCAAAUCAAAGUCAGGUGAGGUAUGUGCCUUCUCUUACUUUAAAAAACUGCUUCUCUUCUUCUAAUUGAAUACAAAAACCAAAACACAUAUUCUCUUUCUCUUCCAAAAACCCAAAUACAUGUUGAACAUUGCCAAAUUUGAUCUCCAAAUUCCUAAUUAUUUCACGCUUUUUGUUAUUUUGUUGCUUAGUAAAUUAUGGUUGCUGGUCACAAAUUAUAGUCUGUUAAUAGGUUCAUGCCAUGAAUUAAUCUUUGGACUUUCCCAGGUACUGCAGGUUUGUUAUUAAUGUUGUGGCCUGAUAUUCGUCGUAUCAAUAGGUUGUCUUACGUUGAGGAGAGAGAUCGAUCAGCAAUUACAAAAUUGUUAGUGAAUUUAGCUUGUUUAUCAUCUCUCUCCUUUUGUUUGUUAAGUUUGGUUGUUCUAGGUUAAACCCUUGUCCCCGCAUUUCACAGCAACUCUAUGUUAUUCCACUCUGUUUAGUUUCAUUUAUGUUGUGAUUCGACUGCUGCUGUAUUUUAGAUUUCGUUCAUGUAAUGCUAGGAUGUUUAAUCUCUUAUCUGUGGUGGUAGUUGAGUAGUCUAGCUAAUCCAAUGAUAACUUGUCCCCUGUUUUGUAUUGUUUUUAUUUCUCUGGUAAUGAAAGCACGUUUCUUAUAAAUAAAUAAAAAAUAUUUCAUUGAUAUUCAUUGCUUAUUUUGAACUGCAGAAGCCUACUUUUGUCAGAGUCAGUAGAUGCCAGAAUGAAGUCAUUGCCUAAACACAUUGGCACCCUCACAGCCUUCGACAUUUUGGGAUAUAUGAUCUUCAAAAUCUUGUGUCAUUUGCCUCCCAACCUGCAAUAUUUUCAUAUUUUAAAUUGUGACAGACUGAGCCCUUUGGUGGGAGAUUACUGGGGUUUGCAAGGACUUGGUGGCAAUAUCUUGUAGACGUUUCUCAAGGAACAGCUGCUCAAUACCACUCUUCACACUCUAUAUAUUAUGGCCUGUCAGUCUAUAAUUCCUGCCAGGAGAGGAACUUGAACGCCUCUCUUCGCUGCAAAGGCUACAUAUUUGUGGGUGUGACAAUAUCCAAUUCCUGCCAGAAGAGUGUUUGCUGCCAUCUCUUUCUUAUCUGUGCAUCAACCAUUGUUUUGCCAUGUAGAAAAGGUAUCUCACAUUCCUUGCGUCAAGAUAGGCGAAGAAGUGAUCAUAAGAUAUGAGCUCUCUCUCCCUCUCGCUCACAUACAAUGUACUUAACACAAACACUCAAUCUGAUUUCUAUUAUUAUUUUGCUCAGUAAAUUUUGUUUAAAUUUGCUUUAUUUCUCAUUGCACUUGUUCUGCUGAUCACAACUUAUAUCCUAUUUAAAUCUCAAAUGCUGAAUAAUGAGCAGUCUUUUCGCAGGACAACAUAUCUUCUCUUGGAGAGCUAUUCAUUUGCAAGGUUUCUUUAUGGGUCAUUUCCAGAGGAGGGUUUACUAUUUAAUAGAAAGGUUCACCUGGAAUAUCUCAACUGACACAUUCCCAAAUACAGGCAUUGAAUGCACAACAUUUUGAGGUACUAUUUUUGUAAUAAAAAUGUACUUGAGUCUCAUUUGAGCUAGUUUAAAUUGUAUUCAAUGUCUAUGGAUAACCUGUGAGCUUAAGUUGUAAGAUAAAACUCACAGUAUAUUAUUAGGGUUUAGGGUUCAACUGUUCAACAGGUGAGCUUAAGUUGUACUUUCCUAGGUACUGCAUGUAUAUAAUCUUAGUAUCAACACUUGGUCUUAUGUGGACAAGAGAGAACAUUUGAGGAAUUACAAAAUCUUCUUAGUGAAUUAAUGUUGUUUCAGCUCUGUUUGUCAUCCCUCACAUUUUCUUUGUUAAGCCUUGAUUUUUUAUUAGACAUAAGAAAAAAUGCUUUUAUAAGACAGGAGAUGAAUGCUUUUAUAUGUUGAUGUCGUAGUCAGUCUUCAACCACACUCUGUUUUUAGAAUUCAUUUAUGUUACUAGUUGAGUGCUGCUGUAUUUUAUAUUUCGUUCCUGUAAUGUUUGGAUGUUUAGCUUGAGCAGUCUAGCUUAUCCAGUAGAUAACUUGUUCCCUGUUUUGUAAUGUUUUUGUUUCCUCUAAUGAAAGCAGGUUUUACUUAUCUUGAACUGCAGAAGCCUACUUUUUGACAUAGGUGGCAUGGCACAAACUCGCAUCCGCAUUUCCUUCCCCAUUGGCAUGCUGUCUCAUCUUUUGUAUUCUGUUACCAGCUUGAAGCUUGUGUAGACAUGUUAUGCUCUUGUAAUUCUGAUCACAAACAUCACUUGACAAAUGGAAAGUCACAAUCAGAUCUUUCAGGUGAUCGGGAGGUUUACUUUCUAACAUUUGUUUUCAUUGGGGGGAGGACAACAAUACAGAAUUUAAAAUUUCUGAUAAUCAAUAGUAGUUUGCAUAUAUCAGCUGGGACCUGUAUGACUGUAUUAUGUAAUUAAUUAUUUCUCUUAUUGUUUUGGUACUGUUAAAAGGAGUUAGCCACAAAAUAAAAAAGGAGGCCUCUUAUUUCAUACAAUUUUUCAAAAGUGAUCAUUCAUCCGUUUCUUUUUCAACAAUAGAGGAAUGUAUACUAAUCGUCUGGUCCAUCUGCUGCUUCACUCCCUAGUAGCUUCAUCUCCUGUCCUUUGCUUUAUUUCUGUUGAUGAAUGUUUUGUCUGGGUUAUUUAUUUUCAUUUCAUGUCCAUUGCUUCAUUUCUGUUUGGAUUCUGUCCUGGACUUGAACAAGGGUUAGGUUAGCUGUAUAAUUUGCGGUUUUAUAUACACAACUGUCUACAUUGAUUAAAACCAGCAUUAUUCUAAGGUUCAUUUAGAAUGUAUUAUCACCAAAAUUAUAAAGUAUACUUCUAUUACAAUUAAUUUGUUGAUUCUAAUUUGGACUUGUAGGAACAGACCAAACAUGUUCAUACGUGGCAUUGCUCAAGUCAUCAUCAUUCGGGACAGAGAAUAAGCCUUCAAAUGUCUGCUGAGUCAAUGAACCUUUCUAGAUAUCUCAAGUGUAGUGGAAAUUGAUGAGUUACAAAGGAUUUUUAAACAUUUUCUACUGGAGGCUAGAAAUGCUUCAAAUAAAUGACUGUGUUGCAAUUAUUUUGUAGGAUCAAAGACUCUGCAAAGAGGUAAGAAAGUCAUCAUCAAGUAACUUUGCUCUUCAAACUUUUUAAUUUUAUUUUUAAAUAUCAGUAAUAACUGGGAAAGUUUGCAUUUCCUUAAAUUGCUCAUUCUUACAUCUUUUAUAGUUUGUUGAUCUUGGGCAAGUGGAGAGAGAGGCGUCAAGUGAUACACAACAACCAUUUUCUGUGAGCUGAUUUGAUAAAGAGAAAUGGUAUGCUUUCUUGUCUUAAGCGGUGUGUUCUGCAAUUAUUUGAAACAAAGGAUGCCGCACUUCAAGUUCGAGAAAAUCAGGUAUUUUAGUAUUUUAUUCUGGAGAAAUUUGAUUUAUGUAGAAACUUGAACAUGUAAAUGAGAGAAAAAAAAAUUUAUAUAUAUAUAUAUUAUAUUGUAUAUGCUCUUAAUGAGUUAAUAUGGUGCUUGCUCCUGGUUGGAAAUUUAUGUAGUCAUCUACCUAUGAUCAAAUAAAGAUGAAAAAUAAAAUAAAAUUGAGAGCAUCUUCCUCUCCCCUGCUUUGCUCAUCCCUUGUUCUUCCACUUCAGCCCCACUAUUACACCAUUUUUUCAGCCACAAUUAUAAUAGCUCCAUGAGCAUUAAGUCCUUUUCAAAUUCUGCUGACAUUCAAAAUUGGAAUUGCUGGUGAUAUAUGAUAGCAUCCUUGUCCGACCAAAAAGAAAAAAAAAAAAAGUUGAUAGCAUAUUGUACCAUUUUGGCCAGUGUACGCAAUAUUAUUGCAUCCAACUUUGCAUAUUAACAUCAGUGGCCACAGUUCCAUGAUUUGAGUGCACAGAAAGGUUUCAAAAGUUGUCCCACAAAGAACAGUCGUUCAAAGUGAAAGAGAGUUUUCAAAGCUUAGUUACAAGUUCAUGUUAUUUACAAUAUCAAAAAGCUUUCAUACUUGCUUACAAACCUGUAUUUCCAAGUUCUGCAAACCUUGGAAUAUCACUUCAUCCAAAUCCCCUUCCAAAGCAGGAAAAAUGGCAGCAGCUUUGAUUGGAGAGGCUCUCAUCUCUGCUUCUAUCGAGUUGUUGUGUGACAGAGUUACUUCAGCCGAGUUCAUAGACUUAUUUCAGCAGAAGAAACUUGAUGAAACACUCCUCAUGAACCUGAAGACGACACUGUUGAUUUUGUUUGCGGUGCUCAAUGAUUCAGAGGAGAAGCAAAUUGUGAACCCUGCUGUGAGAGAGUGGCUUAACAGCUCAAGCAUGCUGUCUUUGAUGCAGAGGACUUACUUGAUGAGAUUGACACUGAAGCUUUGCGAUGCAAGCUGGAAGGUGAGGAUGAAACCCACAAUAAUUAACCAAAAAGGAUCUUUUUGAUUGUUUGAAAGGAGGGUCUUGAUGAUUUGAAAGGAGAGGGUUGCUUUAUUUCUGUUGGAUGCUUAAUUAAAUCUUAUUUGGAGUUGAACAAGGAUUAGGUUAGCUGUAUAAUUAGUGGUAAACGCCUUUUUCUAAGGGUCAUUUAGACUCAUAUUACGAUUAAUUUGUUGUUUCUAAUUUGGACUUGUAGGAACAGACCAAAUAUGUUCACACGUGGCAUCGCUCAAGUCAUCAUCAUUUCAGACUGAAAAUCAGCCUUCAAGUGUCUGUUGAGUCAAUAAAACUUUCUAGAUAUAUCAAGUGCAAUGGAAAUUCAUGAGUUACAUAGAGAUUUGUAAACAUUUUGAAGAUUGCAACACCUGCAAGUGAGAUAGGCGGUGACGAAAUCAGAGAUGAAGCCUCUGAUGCCCCUGUUGUUGCAAGUUGCACCUGAGAACAUGUUUUUUUUUCUUCUUUGGGGUAAAAAACUGGCAACAUGUUCGGAGCUGACAAUUCAAUCCCUGAUGAACUAGAGAAGCAAAGCUCCGGUAAGGAAAUUGGUCAAGGUUGUGACAGGGAUGAUUGAUGGUGAAAUGGAUGCUAUUUCUUAUUGCAGCCUGUUCUUAAAGUUCUUGUUGGCAAAUGCAAGAGAUGGAGUAUUUUGAUUGGGAGGAGAGAUAAUGACAUGGCUUGACAAUUCUAGAACAGCCCAUCAUUAAUCCCAGAAAAAAUCCAGUUUCUGCUAAACAAUCACUUAUGGCAAGGCCAACUCUGUAAAUGGAAUUUGUGAUCCCUUCAAAUUGUACACAUUUUUUCUUUUUGAGGAAUUUAAUCAAACAGUAUUCUAAUGCAUUAUGAUGGCACUACACGCUUUUGUUGUAACAAAUUACAAGGAGGAAUUUGGAUUGAGUUUCUUGUAUAAGCACACCUUACACAAAUUUCGUAUAUUUUCUUCCAGCAAGUCUGUCUAUUAAACCCCUUAUUUGAAAUUAAUUGUUAUAAGUUUUGAUUCAUCUUUAAUCAGUGUCUUCCCCUUGUUGAAUAACACUCCUCUUUCUAAUUUAUAUUUGAAGUUUGAGGUUUCAAUUUCAAUUGUGGGUUUUGAUUUUACAGAUUUUGUUUGUCAAUUUCAGUUUGGACAAAGCAUAUGCAAUCAAAGUAAGCAUUUUAUGUUAUACUUUUGAACUAGGUGUUGAUUUGAUUUAAUCAUAAGUUUUGCUGGUGCAUUUACUAGGCUAAUCAUUCAAUACUUUUGAUCAUAGAACUUCUUUGGUUGAUAUUAUCUUUGUUAAGUUUAACCAUAACUUUAGAGAGGGGACUUAACAGAUUUAUAAUCUCAUCAUUAUAGUAUUAAAAAUUAGAGAUUAUUUAAGGCAUUGUCUAUUAUCUGAAUUCUGCUUACUUUUAGUUCAUAUGUUUACAUCUUAGCAUAUUCAUGUGAUUAGUGCGGCUCAUACCACAAAGGCAAUUUUAGGCUCAUCAAGUGCUAAGCAAUGUCAAGCUUCCAAGUGACAAGUUCUCUACAUAGUUUGAGACCUACACUUACUAGAUAUUAGAUCAUUUGGAUCAUUUCCAUAUGUGUAUAUGUAAUUGACAUGUUAUAACAUUUUUGUAGCGUUAUAUAAUUAUUUAGCAAUUUAAUUAUUUCUUUGCAACUUUAUUUUUUUUGUCAGUCAUACUAUUGUUGACUGCUAAAAACCAUCAAGAAAUAGUUCUUAAGUUAUAAAAAAAAAUUAUAAAAAAAAAGAUUUGUUGAUGCUUAAAAAGCAUCAAGAACAGAUAGUUUCUUGACGGUUUUGUGACGUUUCAUAACUGUAAGGGGCUUUUUCUUUCGACAGCUGUAAAUGGGCUGGGCUGCCGUAAAGGUCAAGACUGAUGAAAUUGUCCCUUUUUGUCUGAGCUCGAAAAUUAUGCCCCAAAAUACUUUGAAAGGGCAGCAGAGCCUUAGGAAGUAUUUUGGUUACCCUCACCAACUAAAACAACAACAACUUACAGGUAAUUUCUUAAUGCUUACAGAUGAACUCUUGUGCUUGGCAUGAGUGACAUGUGGCAUGGAAGCAAAAUCAACAUGAGUUUAGCACUGAGGCGAAAUUUAGGCUCUCUUGGGGGAAAAAGGGAAGUGUUAAGGUGAGAGAGGAGAAGUUUGUAGGAGAUUUAGCUAAGAAAGGAGAAAUAUAGAACAAUGCUCUUCUGGCAACUUGACAGAUGCUCUGUCUGCCAAAAAAGGAAGAUGGAGAAGAAAUGUGAAUAGUGCACGAAUUUGCUAGAUUUUUGCAGGUAAGAGAGGAAGCUUGCCCUAUGGGUCUGAGUUGAGUUUUGUUGGGUGGAAGAGACCUCAUUUUAUAGCCCCUGGAAACCAUCACUUCCCAAGAAACCCUAAUGGCUUCUACCUAUUUUGGCCAAGCUUUUCCCUUCCUUUCUCAUUUCCUUCCUUGAGUUUACCCCUUUUGAUGAAAUCCCAUCUGCCUAUUUGCACCAGAUCAAAGUUUUUUGAAGCUCAAGGCCCCCAUUUUCUUGCAGUUGUCUCAAUGGGAGACUUCCAUUCCCAGUCAUUCUCCUUUAUUGCUUUCCUUUCUUUUUUUCAUGGCCUAGUCUGGUGGGGAAAGGAGUUGGGAUAUAUAUGCUGGUUUGAAGGGUGCUUCUCUUCCUGACAUCUUACACACUAAUACCCCUUGGUUCCUUGAAUGUUUUGGCUUUGAAACUUGCUCCCCCCCUCCCCCCAUGUACUGGAACCUCCCAGCAGCUCUGUUCAAUGAAUUUUCAGACCUUUUCUUCAUGGCUUUUAUUUUUUUAUUAACUGGCUGGAGCUUUUGUGGCUCAUUGUGGCAAUUGUAUGGGCUAAGGUGGUUCAUUAAGUAAGUGAGCUAUUUUUAUUAAACAUUGGGCUUUUUGGUUGAGUCACUAGGCUAUUUUGAUUGGGCUAUUGGGCUAUUUUUUCCUUUCUUGUACUCACCCACAUGUUUGGACCAAAGAAAUGAGCUUGAGUCCUGAGGCUCCCAAGCGACCCGAGACUUUCCAUUUCUCGGCCCAUCAAUGGGCCUCAUGUUGAUUUAUUACCAUCCAUACCACAACCCACUCAAGCAAGCCCCGGGCAUUUGAGUGGCUUGGGCCCACUUAGGCUUGUAGUGUGGUUGGGUGCGAAAUGACGAUUUCGUGCUUGGCAUGUUUUAAUUUUAUCAUCCUUGGGAAAGGCUGCGAUGUUUGAUUUCGGCAUGGGCUUGUAGAGCUGGUAUGCUUUAUUUCAACUCUAGCAUGACGAAUUAUUUAUUUAGCAUGGCACGUGAAUUACAACUCGCAUGGGGUGGGUUUUUGUGUACUACACCUUACGCCUCUUCUUAAUAGAACAUCGUUUUGGGCUGAUAAUUUAUUCGGGCCCAACUGUGAAUUUUUUGGGUCUCAAUAAUAACCAUCAUAAAAUAUUACAUUUUGACUGACGUCAAGAAAUGGGGUAUCCCUUUCCUGAUAGUGGCAUCCAUGAUGCCUUCCAAGCCGUCAAUUAAGGGCUAUCGUGAUGCAUUUUAGUUGUCAGCAAAAGGUGUUUUUCUUGUAUUGUAUUCACUCAAAAUCAUGUUUCAUUUAAGACUAGUAGUAUGGUUGAAUACCAUUUGUUUUGUUAAAGAAUAUUAUACAUUAGGGAUUUUUGUAGAAAUGUCAUUUGAACUUAUACCUUAGUUUCAAUUUGUUACCUUGAAGAAAAAUUUAAGAGAAAUGUCACCUUAAUUUUUAAAAAUCCAUGAUUUGUUAUAUGACUUUAAGAUCAUCCAAUUUUCCAUCCAUUUUAAGGGGAUUUUAGUCUUUUCAUUUUCAAGGAAAAAAAAGAGAUGAAAAAAGAGACAUCUCUCUUACUUUGUUGCCCAACCCAACCCAACCCCACCCGCCCCCCAAAACCACAUAGGAUUGCCUCCCCUUUCCCCACUUUUCUUUUUUCUUUUUGUCCUACUUUUCCACUGUGUUUAUGUUGAAGGAUCUAAAGUUUGCUUGGUCACCAUCUGUUACGUAGGCUUCCCAAUUGUUGGUUUGGGUGGGUUGUGGGAAUUUGUGUGUGGAGGGCAAGACCCUAUCUGACAGGACCUGCCUCGAAUUCCUCGAAACCCGAGACGAAUCUUGUGGAAUUCCCGACAUUACACCGAUGUCGGGCCCACUUAUGAACUAAAUCCUCCUUUCCAAAAUUAAGGAAAAAGAGUACGAGGCUUUCUGCCGAAAUUGCGGCAGUGUCUUCCUUAUAAAUUUAACAUUUCAGCUUUGGUGGCCAUUCUCUCAUUUUAGCUUUGGUGGCCGGAUGAGAGAACGGCCGGCUAAAACGUGGCCAACUGGCAUUGCCGUCGCGAGAGAGGAGAGAGAGAGAGAGAUUUUUAUCAAACCAUUUUUGCCAAAAUUACGAUUAUGCAACUGAGGGUAUUUUGAUCGUAUCUUUUUUGUUAUAACUCCGAUUCAAGCUCACUACAUGCCUAUGGAUUCAUCUCGCCGUGCUUUAUGCAAUUGUAUAGUUGAAAUUCCCAAAUUCCAUCCCAGUCAAAAGUCAACUUUAAACCCUAUAAAAUAUUCUAGGGGAAGAAUGGUCUUUUAUCUAAUUAAAUUAAUAAUUGAAAAUUUAUUUAGGAUCGGGUCGUUACACUGUCGUUGAUGGACUGUGCGAUGACACUCACACAAAGUCCUUGAGAAUAAAACACACACACACCGUGAAGAGAGUAAAACAAAUACACAAGUACACAAAGAUUUAUAAAGGUUUGGCCUCCUGCCUACGUCCUUUUGGUGAUCCACCCGAGAAAUUCACUAGUAUGUAAGAACAACUUUGGUUACAACUAAACCCCCUUAGCUUUCAUAAGAACCCUAGAUCUCUUUUCUCCCACCCUUGCUCCAACCCUUUGAUGCCCUUGUAAACACUCAAGAAUUCACCCUUGAAUUCUGUCAUGUGUUACAUCUUCUCUUCUCCCCUUUGUUAACCUAACCCUAAAAGUUAUAUUUAUAAUUCAUAGGACUUUAAGUACAAGUUAACUAGGAAUAGGAAACAUAAAAGACCCCCAAAAUUGGAGAAAAUAUGUCUAGAUCUCGUUAGGAAAUUGCACAACACGUGCGAUCCGCUCGAGCGCCUGCAAAAUCAUCCCUUUGCCGCUCGAUCUGCCGAUAGCUCAUGGGAUGGGGGAAUUAGAGAUUUUUUUUUUUUCAAUUUUAAUUGUUUAAAAGAUAUACAAUUUUUUAAUAAUAAUUUUUCCAUUUUUAAAAUACCCUUGAAAAUAGAAAGAUUAAAAUGCCCUUAAAAAUGGAUGGAAAAUUGGAUGGUGUUAAGAUCAGAUGACAAAUCAUGGAUUUUGAAAAAUUAAGGUAACAUUUCUCUUAAAUUUUUCUUUAAAGUGACAAAUUGAAAUUGAGGUAUAAGUUCAAGUUACAUUUCUGCAAAAAUCCUUAUACAUUAUGAUAUUCUAACAAUAAAAUUGGCUAAAAUUGAUAUGUUCCCUCUUUUAUUUUCUUUUUCUCUUUUCCUUUUCAUUUUAUGAUCCAAUCCUUUUCAUAUAUUUUUGUUCAAGACUUUGUUUUAGAAUGCUCUAUUACUAAUUUGGUACAGGUCCCUAAAAUCUCAGAGCCGCCUUAGUACAUUCAUAACGUACAUGUUCAGAGUUCAAGAAUAAUGUAUAGAAUGUGAAAUUGACGAUGCCGGCCUUUAUGAGGCAACGUCUUUAUUUCUUUGGUUAUUCCAGUUUAGAAUAUUUGCACAAAUGAGAUGACUCCAAGCAUAAAGUCACAUUCGACCAAAAAGCAUGAAGUCACACACAAAAAGAACACGGACAAUUGCUAAGUUUAUCCUUGUACCCUUAUUAUCCGACCCAAUUGAAAAAUAAAAAAAGAUGAUAAAAAAUAUUGUUCACUGCUUUAAAAUCUAUGAGUAGAGUCCUCCAUUUGAAAUUUCGUCAUUAUACAAAAUUGGAAUGAAAAAAGAAAAUCCUACAGCUAAAUUUGAUAUAUUUCCUUUUCAUUUUAUGCUGGGUGUUAGGGCUCGUCAAUGGGCCGGGCCAGGCUAGCCCGGCCCAAAUUUAAUGGGCUUGGGCCAGGCUGGGCCAGGCUUUAAAGAGGAGAGAGAAAAUAUCAGGCCGAGUUUUUUAAGAAAAUUCAAAGCCCAAGCCCGACCCAUGAGCCCGGCUUGAGAAAGCCCAUCGGGCCGGCCCGGGCCUAAACAGGCCCUACUUCGUUAAAAAAAAAUCAUAAACUUAAUCAUAAGGUCAUUUUAGUCCAAAUUUGAGAUUAAACUCACUUAAUUCCAAUAUUUUCACUUCAAACCAAAUUCAUAAAACACCCAAUAAAGUCACACAGCUUGUAAGAUUUUCCACAAAAAUAAUAAAACCAAGUACUAUUUUUGAGGUUAUUACAUAAUUAGAUCGUAAUAUGUUUUAAGAAAUAAUUUUAAAAAAUAAUAUUAAUAAGUAUCAAAAAAAUAAUUUUUUAAAGGAUGGUAUGAAUAAAUAUGCAAAUAUUUGGUGAUGUGUUCAAGAAAAGGAUGAUUAUAUUUGGUGGUACGAUUAUGUUUCGUGAUAUGAUUAUAAUUAGUGAUGUGAUAUGUUGUUCAUCUUAUAUAUAUAUAUAAUUGUUGAAUUAAUAAUUGACACAAAUUAAUGUGUUAAUCAUCCAAUUAUAAACUAGGAAUGAAUAAAGAAAAGUAAAUGAAAUGAAACAAAUUAUAUAUGUGAUUUAAGUGAUAUAAUCCUAAACCUAAACUCUUAUUUAUACAUAAUUAUAUAUGUAUGCGGGCCUAACGAGCCGGACUUUUGUGGGCGGGUAGGGCCGGGCUUUAUUGGGCUUAAUCGGGCUUUAUUGGACUUAAUCGGGCUGGGCCUAUAGGUCGGACCGAGCUUCAGACAUCCAAGCCCACGCCUAGCCUCGCCCGCCUUGGGCCGGGCCAUUCUUUUUUUGGGGUUCUAUUUCUCUUUGAAUUAACUGCUGAGUUUCAUGAACAUGUCCUCCUUUUGAAAUUGUGUAUUAUUCAAAAUUGGAAUUUGCUGGACAUACUUGAUAUUUUCGUGAGUAAAUUCUGAUUUGGUGGUUGUGCUCGUCACAAAUCAAUGAAAUGACAGCAGUGAUUUUGCAAGACAGCGUACCUUCUCUUGGGGUGCUUUUCAUUUUGCAACAUUUCUUUACGUGUAAUUUCCAGAGGAGGGUUUAUCAUUGUAUACAGCUCUUCGGGUGGUUUUUCUACAAAACAAAUGUCACAAAGAAGGAGGAGAAGCGGAAAAGAUUUACUUGGAAUGUCUCAAGUCUCCUUUGAGAUAAAGGCAUCGAAUGCACAACAUUGUUUUUGUGCUAUUUCAUAAUUAAAGUGUGCUUCCCAAGUCUCCUUUGUGUUUUGUAACUUGUAAUGUUUGUUUUUUUGUUUCCCAUGUUUUGUCUCUUAUAAAAGAAAGGCUUUUUAUCACAAAUGGUCCUUCAGGUUUACAAAAUUAUCACAAAUCGUCCUUCAAGUUUUUUUGUGACACUAAUAGUCCUUCAGGUUAUCAUUUACCCAUCAAAAUGGUCCUUCUGUCAGUUUCUGUCAAAACUGACGUUAAAUUCCUGUGCUCAGCCUGCUUUUGAAAUGAUAAUCUCAUCUUUUCCACUCAACCUUCAACCAAACUCAACUGUCAGAACCCUUUCCCUCCAUUUCCUCAUGGUCCUUCCAGUUUGGCGCCCCUGUAAUAUAUAACCAAUCUUAAAAAUUAAACUUCUGAAGAAAUUGAAACAAUCCAAGCUCAAGAGAAAGACCAACAAUUGAGAACUGCAGAGAAAGAUCAAACUCAUGGAUCAAUAUGGUAAAGCCAAAUUGAAAAACAUAAUUUGCUAAAGAUAAAGCCAAACUGAAAAACCAAACUGAAAAACAUAAAGAUAUCAUUGACAAAUAUAAAAAGUUAAAAAAUAUUGCACAAUCAAAAUACAACCACAUGUUUCACAAAACAAAACAAAACAACCACAUUUGCAGACAAGCUGUAGUUUACACUUUAACAAAGAUUAAAAAACUAACCUGUAUACUUUGGUUGUUUCCCCCCCUUUCGAAAGAACUCCUCGGACUCAUCCAUCUAGUCACUUUUGUAAGAAGAAUAAUGCGUAUUUGACUCUUACGAACCCAGAUAUUCCUUUUGCAGACCAGCUUUAUCAAUUAAAAACCCAAAAAACCUUAAUUGUGCAGGGCCCGAGGAUGAAAUGGAGGGAAAAGGUUAUAUAUGCGGUUUAGAGCGCCAAAAUGGAAGGCCCGAUGAAGAAAUGGAGGGAAAGGGUUAUUUCAGUUGGGUUUGGUCGAAGGUUGAGUGGAAUGAUGCGAUUAUCAUUUCAAAAGGCAGGCUGAGCACGCGACUUUAACGUCAGUUUUGACAGAAACUAACAGAAGGACUAUUUUGAUGGAUAGAUGUUAAACUAAAGGACUAUUAGUGACACAAAAAAACCUAAAGGAUGAUUUGUGAUAAUUUUGUAAACCUGAAGGACCAUUUGUGAUAAAAAGCCUAAAAGAAAUACAGGUCCAAACCACACGGAUCUACUUGCAUAAUAAUGGACCAAAUUUAUGAUUUUUAGAAAGAACCUUCUACUGGUGGAAUCUUGGGCUACUGUUGUGGCUCUCCUCUGUGUGCCUCCUUUUUAGAACGAUAAAAUAUUCAAAAUACCAGAAAAUGUUCAUGAUUAAUGCAAAUAUUAAGAAUUGAAAUUAUUAAUUAAAUGAAGAUAAUAUGGUAAAUUCACACUUUUUCAUAUUAAAAAAAUUAAAAUUAAAAGAAAUAUCAGAUAAUUACUCUUAUUUUUAUGGAACACAGCUACCCAUUAUCUUUUUUAAUUAUAAAAUAAAUUUAAAUUAAAAAAAAAAUCUCUCUCACAGACACGGAAGCGCGUGCUCAGAGGCUAGUUAAAAAUAAUGAACUUUGCUUUUGAAGACGUCUAUACCAGACCCACUCAACCUGCUUUAUGAUUAUGCAAAGAACAAACUCGUCCUUAGACUCAUUUGGUUAAACUUAGAAAAUAAUGAAACAAAAAUAUACACACCCACAAGUAACACAGCCAGGAUUGAAAACAACUGGAAAAAGAAAGGCAUGUCAAAACAAAAUUUUCAACAACUCAUCACCAUUAGACAAGAAAAAGAAAAAUCAAUACAGAAACAGAAAGAACAGAGAAUAAAUGUGGUGGAAGAAAAACGUUGAAGCCAUUUGUGAAUCCAACAACACUACCACUCUGUUUCUCUCCUUUUGUUCAGGCGGAUCUGCAUAUAUCCUAAGGCGUAUUACGGAAACAACUUCUUGCGGUUAUACUUGAAUGUUGUGGAUGCUUCAACGUUGCCAUCUGGGUGGAGUGGAUUUGUCCAAUUCACCUUCACUAUGGUUAAUCAACUAGACAGACAUAAGUCAGAAACAAUAGGUAUAUACGUCCAAAUUGUUGUUAUUUGAAAGGUUCUAAAUUUUAACAUUUUGUUGUAAAUGUGGAGAGAAAAAGUAGAGAAUUGGAAUAGAGAGGAGAGACUGAUUUUCUCAUUCAUAUGUUCAGAUGAAUGUCUUCAGUGUAUAUUUUACAAGUAGGGGGAGGUAUCUAUUUAUAGGCUAAGGUUUUGGUAAAAUACAGGGAAGGAAAGUUCCUGGAAGAUGCAAGGAAACUUCCUCUGUGGGCUCCACCUUCAAACUUUUACAACACUCCCCCUUGGAGACCACAAAUGAUAUGGAAUAUGCCUCGUUAAAAACCUUGCCAGUAAAAACCCAGUGGGACAAAAACUGGUCAAAGGGAAAAAGAGUACAUAAUGAUGUGUAACAUAAAAUUCUGUGUAUAUUGACGCGCGUGCGACACUGCCUCGUUAAAACCUUGCCAGGAAAAACCCAGUGGGAUGAAAACCUGGACGAAGGAAAAAGAGUACAGUGUUUGAAGAUCUUUAUUGAUAGCAUGCUCCCCCUGAUGCUUGGUAAAAUAUCUUUAAGUCAUACUGUUGAUCACCUUUCUGAAUAUCGUAGUUGACACUGCUGCUGUGAGUCAAUCUUGAGCGACACUGCCUCGUUAAAACCUUACCAGGAAAAACCCAGUGGGAUAAAAACCUGGAUGAAGGAAAAAGAGUACAGUGUAUGGAGGUCUUUAUGAAAAACCACGCUCCCCCUGAAAAAUAUCUCCCCCUAAAAAAUUUCAUGACUAGCUUUUCCAGUAUGCGACCAUAGAAAUUUUCAUAGUAUACUCUAAACCCUUGAGCGACACUGCCUCGUUAAAACCUUACCAGGUAAAACCCAAUGGGAUAAAAACCUGGAUGAAGGAAAAAGAGUACAGUGUGGAGCUGACCUCUAUCUGGUCUAGUAUACUUCCGGAAAAACAUUUAAGGUGUCCAACGGAUAAUCCUCAUAAAAAUGCUUCAAUACUUUCUUAGUAUAAGCAAGAAUCUCGUUGGCAUAAUGCUCGAUCUUUAAGUCGAGACAAAUAUUUCGUGACUUCUGCAGAAGCUUUAAUGUGUUGCAAACACAUUAUAAACAAUGUACUCACUGAGGUAAUUUAUGCAUAUUAAUAUUGAGUACAAAUUUUGUGCUUCAAGCACAUGUCCUUUAGGGACUUGCUUUAUGCAAUGUCAAUCCUCUCAACGGAUUUUGUUUAAAAGGGGAUUAAACUUUAUGACACAUUAUAUAGCUUUAACCCAGCUAUUUAUACAUCUUUAGGGAAUCACUUCAAGUGAUAUGCUCUGUGCAUUUAAUAACCCUUAAAGAUAACAUGUUGGUCUCCGUAAUUGUGCAGUAAGGGGGGAGGCACAAUUGAAUCUGUAAAUAUGGAAAAGACCCAACAUUCAUUGUUUCUGCCAGAAACAUUGUGUCAUACAAAGUAGGUAUAUUCCCUUUUAUUCCGAACACCCAAGUAUAAGUUUCAAUAUUAACAUCUUUUGGGGUUCGUACUGUGGGUUUGUUCUUUCACGUUCAUUCUCAUCUAUAAUGGAAUUACCUCUUUCCAUUUUGGCCAAUGAUAUUGUCGACAUCUAAUAAUUGAACGUGGUUCCAAUCAACACAGCCCAUUGAUGAUUUGAGUAGCUACUCCAAAACCAAAAAUUGUCAUUCAUCAAUUCAUUAUCCCACCAUUCUCAUGUGCAUGCGCAUGCAUCAAUUAUAAGCAUUUCUUUGCUUUUGGGUACCCAAGCCACUUCAGGGGGCUUUUAUUAUGUGAGAAUGUGGAUUAUAACCUCCAAUGGAGCGUUAUUUUGCAGUAGGGCGUGGAUAAUCUCCAUUUAGGGAGUUGGAACAUUUAGAACCCAUAUAUCUGUCAUGCUGCAGGCAUGCCACAGAUUAAUACAUACAUGUCAAUUAGUUUAUGGGACUUUAACCCAUAUGAUGGGACUUUAACCCAUGUAAUUUGCUACGCAUUCGGCGUGCAUAAUCUCAAUAUUGACAUGUCAAAGGAUUGUCCAUUCGGGACUUCAAUCCACAUCAUUUGCUACGCAAUAGGCGUGCAUCAUAUUGAUCACUGCUAUACCCAUAUUCUGUUCUUAUGGGACUUUAAUCUGUGCAAUGUAUUAUCAAUGUAUCCAACUUGCAAUCUGUAAAAUUUGCAUUAAUAAUACAUGGAUACAUACAAGCCAUUCUUUUGGGACGGACUUAUCUCCCCAUUUGGUUACCUUUCAAUAUAAAAUAUCAAAUAGGUAUAUAAGCAUAAAAUAACACAAGUAUUGCUUACAUCCUUAGGUGGGAGAAACUUUUCUCAAGUAUCGCUUGAUGAUCUUGUUAUAUCCUGCAAGAGCAAAAAUCACAAUUCCUUUCUCUGUCAAAAACAAAUAAGAGGAAUAGGUAGAACCGGUGAAUUUCAAAUUAACCAUAGGAAAAUUGCGAGAUUCUCGGGAUGCUUUUGAAAAAGUAGCUCCGUGAAAUCCGUAAAGCAAGAUUGGCUUUGAAAAUAAUACUUGAAAACGCCGAAAGUGCCGACAGGCAUUAUUAGAGGCCACGUGAAGUUUUGGACUUCUAGGAAAGAAAAAGAUAAUAUGGGGAUUCGAGAAGAUAUUGGGGUCUUGAAAAACAGUAGCCAUAUUUCCUCCUAUAGAUAUGGCCUUUGCAACAAUUGCGCACCUUCUUAAACUUGCACCUGUGGUUUUUACGCCUUUUCAAAAUGACGGUUUGGAACCUUGUGCCUUAUAGGUUCAAAUAACCACAUUGUUUCUCCCAAAUUUCAUAUUUUAUCGCAUGGUAGCCCGAAACUUUUGGCCUGGGCACAAAUUCAGAAUUUAUUUGCCCUUUUCAAAUGGACAUGAAAUAUGAAUUGAGUAAAAGCCAUGAUAAUAUCGCAAUAUAGUAGUGAAGAGCAUUAACUACUAUAUACCCACAACUUCAAGUUCAGGAUCUCUCAUAUAUUUGGAUCCAUGGGUUUCCGGCCCAGAUAUAACAAAAUAUGUGGGGAGCCUCAAUUCAUCAUUUGAGGUUCAUACUGAUAUUAUCCAUUUCACGGUGUAUUCUUGACAACCGGAAUUCACAAAAUAUAUUUCUUCCUUGAAGUGUCGAUUAUAACAAAAUCGAACUUUAAAUUCAUCAUCUUCUUAUGCCAAAGAAAUAUGUGGCAUACCACAAUUUGCAAUAAUACCUCAAGGGUUGUCCAUUUAAUUGUUGGAACUUCAGGUUCUCAACACUGUUAGAUUUUGAACUUCUGGCCAAAAUCACAUAUUCUCAUGGUAUGGACAUUCAAUCCCCUUAGAUUUUGAACUUCGGGCCAAAAUCACAUAUUCUCAUGGUAUGGACAUUUUUACAAUUUUCUGUACAUAUUUCUGGACUUCAAGCCCUUACAUAAUUGUCCAUAUUUUGAGGAACUUCUGGCAUCUCAUUUAAUUGCUCAUCCAUGAGUUUAAGGAACUGCAGGUUCCCUUUUGAAUGGUGAUGGUUUACCCAAAAUGGUAAAUACUUAUGCAUACAUCACUAUUCAUGUAUACGGCACUAUUUAUGUAUACAGUACAUUUGCCAGUACAGUUAUCAUCCAUGUGUACGGCAUUAUGAACAAAUACGGUACUGUUACAUCAUUAAGGAACCCCAUGUCCUUAUUUACAUGUCAGGGAUCAAGGACCCUCAAGUCCGAUCACAUGUUUACAAAUAUAGUACCGGAGAGACUGCCAGCUCUCAUAUUAACAUCAUCAUCAAGGAUCUUCAAGUCCUGAUGUAAUUGUAUGAUGAGGAUCAAAGAACUUCUGGUCCUGAUCUGUAUACUGUAAAAACUCAUCAUACAGCACAUUUAAUCCAUAGAAUAAAUUGCUGGUAAAUAAAUUACUGGUAUGGACGAUAAACUCGCACCAUACUUUAAAUAAAUAUUGCCUUACAUACACUUACAGCAUCAAUAAUUGAUAUCCAUCCAUGAUCCACCUGUAUAAAUGUAUAUAUAUAUAUGUAUAUAUAUAUAUAUUAUUUUUAUUUGGACUUAAACAGAAACAGGCAUUUUCUAUAGCUGUAAGUAUAAUUGUACCUGCCUACGCUGAAGAUUCCUUUCAUUGUUGCAGGAUGGUGGGCAUUCAGUUUAAAUAAAGCAAACACACACAUUUCAAAUUUUAAUUGAAUUUCAAAUUAGCAGUUUACUUACAUGCCCAUCCAUGACGUAAAAAGCAGAGACAAGUGAUUGUCUUUCGACAAUGACAUGAUAUCACAGUAGUGGGGAUAACGCUAUGAUAUUGGCCGAUCGGCUUCGCUGUAUCCCUGCACACCUUUAAUAAUUAUAUAAUAUUAAAAUAAUAUAAUUAUGUACCUGCACUAUAGACCUGCAUCUUAAGCUUCUUCCCUUUAUGGGGUCUGCCGCUUUGCCUUUUGUUUCCUUUGCUUUGCUUUCCACUGAAGCAAGUUGGCCAGCACCAAUAAUGCCGCCCACAAUGCAAAAAUCAAGUUGGCCAGCACCAAUAAUGCCGCCCACAAUGCAAAAAUCAAGUUGGCUACUUUUGCCUGUUGCUUUCUCAAUUUCCUCCACCCUUUCAUUGUCUUUUCUUCUUUCACUACUUCUCAUCUUCUGCCUCUCUCUUGCCUUUUUUUUUUCUUUUUUUUUUUUUGUAUUCGAUUUUCUGGCAAGCCUCCAAAGACAGCAACGACCAAGUUGCCUUGUCAUGGCUGGCGGCCAUUGCAAAAGCCUUUUCCAUGAAGAAAUGGACUUGGACACGAGGCUGGUUGAUUAUGUAGUUGGAGAUGAAGAAAGCAGCUGACAGUCUAGGGAGGGAGCGAACCAGAGAGUUUGUUACUCCACUGGUGUGGUUGGGAGGUAGGGAUCGUCUGUGGUUGGUACAGAGUUUUCUUCCUCAGCUCAAGCAAGGCAAUAGAGGUAGGUUUGUUUGCUCAGCUCAGCUCAACCUGUGCUCUCUGUGUUUGUUUGCUGGGUUAUCUGGGAGAGUAAUUUUCUUCGGGUUCGGUUCUGGUAUGCUUUUGCAUAUAGAAAACAGAGAACCCAGAAAGGAAAUCCAAGAGAGAGACUUUGGUUGAGAAAAUGGCAAUUUUUGAGAAAAAUGGAGAUGCUGAGGUUGGUUGGACAACACCGAAUGGAAGUUGUUGGGCUCGGAGCAGAGAAUUGGUUCUCUAGAUCGGAGGUUUUGUGUGAAAUUUUACUGGCAAGCAAUCCGUGUGGCUCUGUACAAAACUGGGUUGGUUUUGGGUGGGCAAUCUGGGCUUGGUUUCGAACUGGGUGUCUUGAUCAAUUUCUGGGAUCAAGAAAUCAGAGAUUUCAGCCGGUUAAAGACUCGUGCUGAUAUCGUGUUGUAAAUGUGGAGAGAAAAAGUAGAGAAUUGGAAUAGAGAGGAGAGACUGAUUUUCUCAUUCAUAUGUUCUGAUGAAUGUCUUCAGUGUAUAUUUUACAAGUAGGGGGAGGUAUCUAUUUAUAGGCUAAGGUUUUGGUAAAAUACAGGGAAGGAAAGUUCCUGGAAGAUGCAAGGAAACUUCCUCUGUGGGCUCCACCUUCAAACUUUUACAACACAUUUUGAUUUUUAAAUUUUGUUUUAAUAUUUCGGCCCACUUAGUUCUUCUCAAAAUAUGUCAUCAAUAUCGUUGAAAGGUUGAACUUAGUGAAUUAUUAUAGUGCAGUACGGUAGAAUAAGCACAUGAUAUAAUUUGUCCACAUGUUAUAAUAUAAGUGAAUAUUUAUUGAUAUUAUUUCCAAAAAUAAGAAAUAUCAACAAUUAUAUCCUCCUAUAUUAUAAUACAUAUACAAAUUAUACCACAUUAUCAUACUCUAAUACCAUUUUAUAAUUUCUCGUACUUAGGAGGUAUAGAGCGAGUCAAUGACAUUACAUAAUAUAUAAUUGUUCAUAUAAUGGGGCAACUAACGUGAUCAACAAGUUGUGGUGAUUAAUUUAACAUAAUAAAAAAUAUACCAUUUACUUGAGUGAUGUAACAAUUUGUUCUUUUAAAUUGGAUUGCCAUCACUUUAAUAUGUUAUGUUUCUUAUUAUAGUCUCCCAUGUUAAGUGCUUCAGCAUUGUUUGUGGUGUGUACACAAAUUUUCUUAUAAAAUGUUUUAAUGCUUCUCACAUGUAUAUCAGAUAUAGACAGUUGAUGUGACUUAGAAAUCAAAUUGUCAAUAAAACAAAAAAAUAUAAUUGGUGAUCGAGGUCCAAUUUAAUAGAAAAUAGUCUUAACUUGCAUAUUAAAGGUCUUAUAUUCGAAUCCUCACUGCAUUAUUGUUGUAUGCGUACACAAGAAAUUCUCUUCCCCAAUAAUUUAGACUAUCACUUAUACUAAAAAUAUAUAUAUAUAAUGACUUUUACGAAUGCAAACAUAAAAUUACAUCAAACAAUAAUCACUACUACAAAAAAGCAAAAAGACGACGGUAAAUCACCGUCGUGUAUUGGGGUUUUCAAUGGUCGUGGAAUCCACCGUCAUCUUUUCCCUCAUAAACCACGACGCUAAAUAACCGUCGUUGUUAAAAUAUACAACGUCAUCAACAAAUACAAAACGACGUCUUUGUACUGCAAAAAGAUCUAAAAAAAGCAAUCGAGGAUGAUAAUAGACGACCAACUCUCUAAAAAAACCGUCGUUAAAAAGAAAAAAUAUGACACAUAUUAAGAGAACAAGGCCGCAAGAUAGACAUACAACGACGAAAAUAAAAAUACGACGACGUUAAAUAUAAUUUUCACGACAAUAAAAAAUAUGACGUCUUUAAAUACAUUAGAAGACGACGUUAUUGAUACAUACUACGUCGCAUAUAUAAAAACAACCGUCGUAAAAUUAAUUUUCCACUUCGAUUUUUCGAUAAAAGAUGACGUGGAAAUAGUUGUCAGUGUCAUUAUUUACGACGUAUGUGUUUAUAGAUUAGACGUUGAAAAACUAAACAACGUCGGUUACAAAUAUAUGAGAGUCGUAUUACAAAAUUUAUACGUCCUAUUUUCAGAAACAAACAACGACGAUAAAUAUUAGACGUUGUUAAACAAAACAACGUCGGAAAAAUAAAAACAGACGUGUUUAGUCUGCUAAAGUUCUAGAAAAUAGUCGAGGAUGAGAAUAGACAACCAACUCAAAAAAAUCACCGUCGUUAAAAAGGAAAAAUCUGACACAUAUUAAAAGAACAAGGCCGCAAGAUAUACAUACAACGACGACAACUAAAAUACUACGCCGUUAAAUAUAAUUUACACGACAAGAAAAAAUAUGACGUCUUUAAAUACAUGAGAAGACGACGUUAUUGAAAUCUACUACGUCUCUUAUUUACAAAAAACCGUCGUGAAAUAAAUUUUCCACUUCGAUUUUUCUAAAAAAGAUGACGUGGAAAUAGUUGUCAGUGUCAUUAUUUACGACGUACACAUUUAUAUAGUCGACGUUGUAUUUAUAUGUAUUCAUUACUCACGACGCACUUAAUAAUAUAGACGACGUUGAACUUCUAAACAACGUCGGUUCCAAAUAAAUGAGAGCCGUAUUACAGAACAUAUAGACGGCGUAGAUUAUGAUGAGAGCCGUAUUACAAAUAACGUCGUUUAAUUGUUAUUAGACGGCGGUUAUAAUGAAUUUCCGUCGGAAUUCAUUUCGUUCCUCUUCGUUUAUAAAAGAACUUGCGACGUGGAAAAUGUAUGAUGACGUCGUAUUUUUUAACGUUCAGAUUAUAUAUCUCGUUUUUAGACGUCGGUAUUAUGGGAUUGGAGUCGUGUUAUUUUGAAUUACAUGGCGGUUCUUAAUCCUUCACCGACGUGAUAUCCUGAAUAAUUGCUUCACAAUAGCGUCGUGGUUCUUCAUUGUUACGUUGCUUUAAGACGUCGGUAAAUAUGCUGAAUAACUGAUUCACAAUAACGUCGUGUUUUAUUUGAACGUAGAAAGUGAAGAAAUCACAUUACAAUAUAUUACAAAAUUAAUGUCAUACACUGCCAAUUACAUAAGCAUCAUUCAAUCCAUAUAUCUUCACACCCAUCUCGAAUAUUUUGACCGCCUAACUCACCCACCAGUUCAUCAAAUGUGUCAACAUUUGGCAUCCCUCUAGUAAAUGGCUCACACUCAAUUAUCACAUCACCUAAGACUUCAUCACCAAUAACAUCAUUAUAUUCUCUAUUAGGCAUUGAUAACACUACCGACCAACCACGAUGCAUCGGGUCGUCAACAAAAAAUAUUUGUUUGACUUGAGAAGCCAAAACAAAUUGGUCAUUCCUAUGUCCAAUUUUACUCAAAUCUACAAGGGUAAAUCCAAGUUCGUCGACUACAAGACCAGAACUAUCUAUCCAAUCACACCUAAAGACUGGGAUUGUAAACUUUUGGUAGUCAAGGUCCCAAAUUUCUUGAAUGACACCAUAGAAACCCAUAUUUGAGAGAAUUGGGUUUUUAUCCUUGGCACUAGCAACUUGCAUGGUAUGUGCAAGUAAAUAAACUCCACUAUUUUGAGUUGUCCGCACAUCAUCUUGUGCCUUGAUAUUGAAUUUAAUACCUUUAAUAAGAUAGCUCCUAUAUAAUGGCACUGACAUGUUUGGACCAGCUGCUAGCCACCUUAAAUUUUCUGAUACGCCAUGAUUGUCUUCCUCAAGUUCACUUUGAACCUGCAAAUUAAUCAUAUCUUAAUUCAAUCUAACAUAUAAAUAAGAAGAAAAUUAAAAGAGAAAUAUGUUAUUCAACAACAUAUACCUUGAAGCGUAGCCAUUGAAUGAAAGUGCUAUUGUGCUUAUCCUGCAGCCACUUUGUUCUCUUUCUAAAUUUUGGAUAAGCAGUCUUGAUGUGGAUCAUAUGUUGCCCACAUGACACGAAAAAUUCAAGCAUUACGAUCCUAAAUAUAGAAGAUAAACAUAAGAAAUAAUUUAAAAUGGAAACUUAAAGAAUAAAGCUCAUACGUACUCGAUAUAAGGUAGGACUUCCUCCGUAUUCUCCAAGACAUAUAGAUGUGCUUGAUUCAACAGGUCCUGAUCAACUACGCUCACUGUGCAACCUGAUAAUGGCUUUGAAAGCCCCAUCUUUUGGCUUGAAGGCACUCCAACUGUACUAACAUCAGAUAAAUGCUGAGUACAACACUCUACCGCUUCUUCAGCUAUAUACCGCUCAGCAAUGCAACCUUCGGGACGAGUACGAUUCUGAACAUACCCCUUCAGCACUUUCAUAUAUCUUUCAAACGGAUACAUCCACCGAAAAUAUACUGGCCCACAUAGACGAACUUCUCUGACAAGAUGUACUACUAGAUGAACCAUGAUAUCAAAGAAUGAAGGGGGAAAGUACUUCUCAAGCAAACACAGAGUAACUACUACAUCUUCUUCCAACUUAUCUAGCUUGGAAACAUCAACAGUCUUUGCACAUAUAGCAUUGAAGAAGAAGCACAAACGAGUUAUUGCAUACCUUGCAGGCUUCUCCAAAACAGAACGAAUUGCCACAGGGAGCAAUUGUUGCAUUAAGGUAUGACAAUCAUGUGAUUUAAGGCCAAGAAGUCUUGAAUCUUGUAAAGAUACAAGAUUUUUAAUAUUUGAAGAAUAACCUUCAGGGACCUUCAUACCAUAGAAAGAAUUGCAAACCUCUCUCUUCUCUACUCUUGACAAAUUCCAAGGCCCAGGAGGCAAACGAGUACGUCUUUCUCCAUACUCGGGUUGCAAAUCAGUUUUGACCCCCAUGUUCAAUAAAUCUAAUCGAGCAGCAAUCCCAUCUUUAUUUUUUCCAGGGAUCUCCAGCAAUGUACCAAUGAUACUAUCACAAACAUUCUUCUCAAUGUGCAUAACAUCUAGGGCAUGCCUUACAGGAAGGUAUUUCCAAUACUCGAGAUCAAAGAAUAUUGAUUUCUUCUUCCAACAAACUCUGUCACCAUUUUCAACCAUAUGCAGCACUUCUUCUCCGGUUAAUGGCUCGGGAGGUAUGCCAUAUUCAGGUUUCCCAUUAAAAGCUGCACGUUGCCUCCUAUAUGGAUGAUUGAUUGGUAACCAUUUUCUAUGCCCAAUGUAACAAAUUUUGUGGCCAUUUUUCAACCUGUGACUAGGUGUAUCAUCGCCGCAUAUUGGACAAGCUUUAUAUCCUUUAACAACACAACCAGAUAAGUUUCCAUAGGCGGGGAAAUCAUUAAUUGUCCACAUUAAUGCAGCUCUGAGUGUAAAGUAUUCUCCAUUAUGUGCAUCAUACACUCCUCUAAUCCCAUCCCACAAAGAUUUUAAAUCAUCAAUCAAAGGCUCCAAGUAGACGUCUAUAUCAUUUCCGGGUUGUUUAGGACCGAAAAUCAAUAAGGUUAACAUCAUGAACUUUCGUUUCAUGCACAGCCAUGGAGGGAGAUUAUAUGUAACUAAGAUAACCGGCCAACAACUAUAUCUGCUACUUAGAGAACUGUGGGGAUUGAAUCCAUCAGAUGAAAGAGCCAAUCUCAAGUUUCUCGGCUCAUUACCAAACUCAGGCCAUUUAUCAUCAAGAAGUUUCCAAGACGGGGAAUCCGCCGGAUGAGACAUCUGACCGUCAAUUGAUUUUCUAGGAGCAUGCCAAGUCAAACUCUUAGCUGUCUCAUGUGAUUGAAACAUCCUUUUAAACCUUGGAAUUGGAGGAAAAUACCACACCACCUUCGCUGGCACACCCUCUUUCAAGAUUGAAUCUUUGCCUUCCUUCCACCUUGAGAUACCACAAGUAGGACAAUUAGUUGAAUCCUCAUACUCCUUCCUAUACAAGAUGCAAUCAUUGGGGCAUGCGUGCAUUUUCUCAUAACUCAGCCCCAAUGCACACAAAGUCUUUUUAGCCUCAUACAUAGAGGUUGGUAUUGUAUUUCCUUAUGGAAGCAAAUCGCCUUGAAGUAUCAAUAAUUCUGUAAAACAGACAUCACUCAUCCCAUGUUUUGCCUUCAAAUUAUACAACUUCACUAAUGCCGAUAACUUCGUGUACUUUCUACAACCAGGGUACACUGGUUGAUCUCCAUCCCCAAUCACAUUGGCAAACUCAUACGGAUCGGAACCAAAAUCAUUAUCAUCCAUAUCAAUUUCUUCAGACACAAAACUGUACCUACUAUGGCCAUCAUCUUCUUCAACAUUUCUACUAGCAUUAGUAGUUGCUUCCCAAGGUUCUCCGUGAAAUGUCCAAUUCUUAUAGCUUUGGUCAAUUCCAUUAAAGUAUAAGUGAUCCCUUAUAAUUCCAACCCCAAACAACUUCAAAUUAACACAUUUAACACAUGGACAACGGAUAUGUGUUGUAGUUAGAAGAUUUUCUACAGCAAAGUUCAAAAAUGCUUCCACCCCAAACUCAUAUGCCUUCGAUCUUCUAUCCGAGUGCAUCAUUGACUUAUCCAUCUCCGACACUAUAACCUAUUAUCUAUAAUAAAGUGAAAAUACAGGCAAUGACCAUCACUAUAGCAGAUUAUACAAAGAUCUAAUAGCAAGUAAUACACAACAAAGACGACGGGUUUUAAACAAAAACAGACGUAUUUGGCAUAUAUAGACGACGGAUUUUCAACAGACGUCGUCUAAUAUAAGUAAUACAAACGACGGUUUAUGAAAAAACCGUCGUGUAUAAGUAAUACAACGACGGUUUUUUCAUAAACCGUCGUGUAAUCGUCGGCGUAUGCCUAAAAAGGCGUCGUGUCUCAGUUUAUUUUCAAGAACCCAAAACCCAUUAAGAACACAACAUAUAUAUGAAACCAAGCAAGAAAACAACAUAUACAUGAAACCAAGCAUGAAAACAAUAAAUCCAUUCCCAAUUCAACAUAACAUAGGGUGAUUAAAAGAUCCGACAAAAUUAAAUCCAUUCCCAAUUCAACAUAACAGAUAAUGUAAUCCAUGAACCCAUUAAACAGAAAAUCCAUGAACCCAUACUUAUAAGCACAUUAUUAACAGAUCGCAAAGCAUAUACCUAAAACCCUUUAACAAAACAACCUAAUAUCAUUCAAUGAAUUUACAAGGGGAAGAUAGGGUUUGUACUUACAGGUUGGACGAGCUCACAGAUUCGACGGAGCAGAAGUGAGAGAGCAACUUUUAAUUAGAGCAGAAGUGAGAGAGCGAAAUGUUAUGUUGCGCGAAAUCUGAAAAUUUUAGGGUUCAGGGUUAGAAGAAUAAGAAUAAGAGCCAAAUAUAAAAAAAUUUAGGACGCGUGAAAAUUUUUAGAGCGCGCGCUCUUUAAAACUUCGAAAGAAAAACCAUGGCGAAAGUUCUACAAGAACCGACAUAAAUGUAAUAUUCCACGACGGAAACACUGAACGUAACGCCGUUUAUUUUGACGCUUCAUUUUUCGGAUUAAUUUUAAAUUUAUUUUCAAUAUUUUGAUAUAAAGACGACUGAAAAACCACGUCGGGGUUAAGAAAUUGAAAACGUUGUAAAUUAUAAUAGACGACUUACAUAUUAAAAUGACGUCGUUUAAAGUAGAAACUAUGUCGGAUAAUUUACUGCACGACGUAACAUAUGUAUUCCACGACUCAACCACCGUCGUUAACAAUUAAUACCCUAAACCCUUAAAACUAAAUUAUAUAAUUUUAAAAAUUAACUUUAUAAAAGGGUUUAUGGUUUUACAGCCUAAUAUAUACCCUAGACUACCCAAAAAUUAUACUUUAAAAAUAAACCCCAAUAAAUAACAACCCUAAUCUCUAAACCCUAGACUCUAAACCCUAAACCAUAAAACUAGAAGUGAUUUUAUGACUCAUCAAAACAAUUUUGUUUUGGAUGUUCAUUUUAAAUUUUUGUAAUUCAAAAUGAAUUUUUUCAAGGUUUAGGGGGAAGAAAAUAUAUCAAUGACUUCAUAGGAGUUGACUUUGCAUUUUUCUGAUUUAUUUUAAAUUUAUUUUGAAUAUUUUGAUAUAAAAAUAAUAAAAUAUUCUUAUCACAACAACAAACCACGUCGGUGUUGAUAAAUUGUAGACGUUGUAAAUUGUAAUAGACGACUAAGUUGUUAAAAUGACGUCGUUUAAAUGAGAAACGAUGGCGGAUAUUUAACUAUCCGACGUAAAAUAUAUAUUCCUCGACUUAACCACUGUCGUUACAAAGUACUACCCUGAACCCUUAAGAAAUUGAAGACGUUGUAAACCAUAAACGACUCCAUUGUUCAAAGAACGUCGUCUAAAUAUCCUUUUACGCCGGAUUUGUUUAAAACGAAACCACAAAAAACGACGGCUUUUGACUUUAUUACGUCGUUGGAAAAUUAUUACACGUCGGUUACGCAUUUUGUAUGUUUGUUUUUGUUUUUACUUUAAGAAAACCUCAACAAAUUUUUACAUUAUAUAUUAUAGACAAAAUUUGUACAUUAUACAUAAAUAUCAAGUGUUCAAUAAUUCCCCUAUUCCAGUUGAAUGCAAACAAACUCUGCCCAUUCAUUCCGGACUUCAUCAAUUGCUUCUUGGGGGUAUGGCUCUUCCUGUUUUCCCUUCGCAUACUGCAUAAAAACAAUGACUAUUAGGGUUUAUAAAUAAAAGGAAAUUCAAUCACAGACGACCAUAACCGACGUAGUAUAUCUAUUCAACGACGGUAAUUUUACAUGACCGUCGUUGAUAAUACAAAAAACGACGUAAAAUGUUUGAAGGUUAUUUCUUCUUACCUUCUUCUCAAACCCCAAGGAAGGAUCCAUGAUGAUGUCCUUCAUGAAGCGCAUCACGUAAUACCCGCAUUCGACAUUGCUGGGUUGCUUUGGUGUGCCUGACAGGGUUUUCCAAAUGACUGCCUUACGGCCUGAUCUGGCUAUGUGGGAAUUAUAAAUUUUUAUGGCACUGUUCACGAUGUCUUUGGCCUCUUCAUCGACCACACGAUUUCCUGGCAGAGGAUCCAGAAAAUAGACUGUUUCCCUCUUUGCUCUUACAAUCAGCAAGAUCCAAUGACGGCUGCACAAAAUUAAUAUAAAAACGACGGUUAUUUACAAAAACGACGUAUUAUAAUAUUUCACACGACGAAAUAAAGUAGCAAUCGACGACAUUAUAUAUUUAUAACGACGAUAAAUAACUACCGACGUGGUUAGUCGUUUCAAACGACUCAAUAAAAUAAAACACCGACGUGGUUAGUUUAUACGCUGUCAUUUAUUGAAAAUCAUAAAAACAAAAUCCUGUUAAGGAGACUAACCCUGGAUUGUAAGGCAUGAGGAAAAUCUGUUCACCGUCAGUCUUCUGAAGUCGUGAUGCUACAAGCCGUGAUCUGUCAGCUAUUGUGCCAGAGCUGGCACUAACUGUAGCAGGGUCGAUAAAGCCAACCAUUGUGCACAUAUUUGCUUGUUUUAAAACAUCGUGUAAGUACCUAAAUAUAUAAAAUAAUAUAAACAAGUCAGCGCAAAAAAAACACACGACGGUUAUGUAUAACAAAACGACGUAUUAUAAGGUUUCACACGACGUACUGAAAUAGACAACGACGUUAUAAUAAAUUUAUCACGACGGUACAUACUAACGACGUGGUUAGUUAGUUAAGACGACGCAAUAAAUAAACCAACGACGUAUUAUUUUAGAAUGACAAACCUCAUAUAUACAGCAAUGACUGUAGCUCCUAUUUCCUCCAUGCCUGCAAAUUGUGUAAUAUCUUCAGGCAGGAGGAAGGUAUCGCGCUCUAGACCAAACACCUCCUUAUCAAUUGUAAAGUGCAGGGUCUUAUCUUGAGUUACGAGUGUCGUUUCCACAUAACGACAAAGGGUUUGUAAAGAAGAUGGCGCCUCCAUAUUUGAAUAAUCAACAACUUUAGUAACCUGUUUAAAGAAAUAAAAAAAUGACGUGGUAAUUCAAUAAAAACGACGGUUUAAGGAAUAAAAUGUCGUUUGAAAACAAUUUAAACGACGGUGAAAAAACCGUCGUGGUGAAUUAUUUAUUACGUCUUAGAAAACAAUUCCGCCGUCUAAGUUGUAAACAAACGACGGUUUAAAGAAAAAUAUCGACGUCUGGAAUUUUGAAAACAAAUAAAAAAGGUAAAGUUAUGUGAACAUACCUGGUCGUCAUCUUCUUUCUCCUUUUCAUCUUGUUUUUCUUCCUUAUUCUCUUCAUAUAUGACGUCGGGAAUGAUUAACUCCGUCAUCUAAAAACCACAAAGUUUUAAAAAUAACGACGUUUAAUGGCGUGUAAAACAAGUAAACUAAAUACGACGUGGUAUUGAAAUACAAACGACGGUUUAUUUUUAAAAUCGUCGUGGUAUGUAUUUCAAACGACGGUUUUAUUAAAAAUAACGACGUCUAAUGGUUUUUAAAAAAACAGAGAAUUCAAAGUUCAGAUAUGUUACCUUUUCUUCCUGAUGUUUCCCAUUUUUGGCAGUAUCAUCCUCAAAAUGCUGGGAUCUCACAUCACCUCCAGAGCAGCUUGCUUUGUCAGACAUUGGAUUUUUGGGACUUUGGCUAAUUCUGGGUUUAAGCAUGCUUGGAUCAAAAUUGGGAAUUAAUUGGGAAAGCUGACUCAGGAAAUGCUCCCUCUCAGCCUCUACCAAUUGUUUCGUUCUAGCCUCCAUUCUUAAAGCCUCUUCCCUUGCCUUAGCCUCCAUCUUUUUAGUCUCUUCUUGAAGGAGAACUCUUAAACUGUCCUUCAAACGGUCGUCAAAGCUCACUCUCUGUGGUUUGGGUAAAUUGAAAUAUUGCUUUGGUGAGAUCCCAGCACCUACUCCUCUGACUCUGCCUGGAUGCUCGGGGCCCAAAGCCAUGGUCAGCACAUCAUUGCUGCCAGAGACGGUGACUUUGCCUUCCGAGACUUGUUUUUGCAAAUCAUCCUAAAACAAAGAUAUAUAAAAAAGUAAGAACAAAAACACACGACGGUUAUUUAUAUACAAACGACGUAUUAUAUAAUUUCACACGACUCAAUAACAUAUAAAUCGACGUUAUUAUAAUUUAUCACGACGGUAGUUAUACCGACGUGGUUAGUUCUUUAAAACGACGAAAUUAAUAAACCACCAACGUCUUAUGUAACAGAGGGAUGAUUCAAUAUUCACACCUUUAACGACGUUGUUUAAAACAUUUCGACGUAGUAAUUUAAUACAGACGACGCGAAAUUGAACCACCGACAUCUUAUGCUAUAAUUACAGAAAACAGAGUUCUGAUUCCUAUUUAGACCUUUAACGACGUGUUUUAAAAAAUGUCGACGUGGUAAUAUCAUUCACACGACGCAAAAUAUAACAUAAGACGUAAUAAGAAUUAUUCACAGUUUAAUAAAAAUUUAAAACAGAGUGAGUAGGCUUACAAUUAAUUUUGCUUUCUCUGCCACCUUUGGAUCAGGGAUGUUACCAUGUUUGUCAUGUCUAGCUCUCUUCCAUAAGGUAGAUCGAUCAAUUUCUACCCCAGGCAUGGUUUCCUCUAAUUGAUCCUCCAAACCGGCAUAUCCUUUUCGAGACAAUCGAUGAUUGUACUCGAGUUUCUCCCUAAUCUGUGCAUGUUGAGAAUGCACAGACUCAAAAUCUUUGGAUAGCCUUGAAGCUACAAAGGCAUCCCAUUGUGCUUUCUCUAUGAAUUUAUAUGUUUCAGGGGGUUGGCUUAAUCUCUCCCUGUCAUUGGUGUAUGGAAGGAUAUAAUGCCUCGUUAGUGUAGACUUGAAAUCCUUCCAUUUCUUGGCAGCAGAAGCUAAGACAGAGUUCUUGCCCCCUUGACCUACUACAAAAGCAAUGUCAACUGCUUCCCAAAUCUGCUCCUUUAUAUCCUUGGGGAUUUGAGCCCAUUUCAAGUCCACAAGUGGAACUCUGGAGCGUGCCAACACACCAAUAUAGGACUGCAUCUCACUAUGAGCUUGGCCAAUUCCUUUCCCCCUUUUAUUGUACUCAACAAUUGGCCUCAGUUUCUGCAGUUUUCUCUUCACAACACGAGGCAUUGUGCUCAUACCUCGACCAGCCUUUGAAUCAUCAGAUAUUGUUGUCCCGCUGGUUGGUUCUGUAUCAGCAGAUGAUGAAGCAAACUUCAUCUUCUUCGAAGACUUCAUUAUCUUCGAAGACUUCUCUUGAGGAGGUACUUGCUCCUCACCUCCAUUUUUCUUGGAGCCAGAAUCCUUACUUUAGUCUUGUUGAGAAACCAUUUUUACAGACAAAACUGCAAGUGAAAAUAUUUCAAGAAAAGAUUAAGAACACAAACGACGGUUAUUAAUAAAAUACGACGUAUGAUAUGAUUUUAAACGACGCAAUGAAAUAAUAUCAGACGUAAUAAAUUUUUAAAACGAAGGUAAUUAAACAACGACGAAAUAAUUGACUACAAACGACGAGAUAAUUAACUAUAAACGACGGAAUAUUUAUAUAACGUCGUGGUAUUGAUGUUCACACGACGUCAGUAGUAAUAUACCGUCGUCUAUAUAAGGAUCCAAAACCCUUCUUUCUUUCUCUGUGAAUGUUUGAUUGCAGAUUUGAUUUUUCUGAACCAUGGUUUUUGUUUUCUAAUUUGAUAAAAUACAAGGCCAAGAAAGAAAGUUUUGGAAUCUUAUAUAGACGACGGUAUUUUAAUAUGACGUCGUGGUAUUAACAUUCACACGACGUAAAACAAUAAGAUACUGUCGUCUAUAUUAGAUACCAACCCUAAUUUCUUUUUCUUUAUAUUUUAUCAAAUUAGGGAAAAACAAAAACCAUUGUUCAGAAAAAUCAAACCUGCAAUUAAACAAGCAAAUAAAAAAAAGACUAAAAUUUUAAAAACAACUUUGUCAAUUUUCAGACGACGCUAGAACGACUGACGAACCGUCGUGGUCUACAUAUUUAACCACGUAAAUAAGAAGCUACCGUCGUCUUAUUUAGUUAAGGUAGUUGUCUUCAAAGUUGGAAACUUUCCCUCUUUGUCUGUAUAUUUUAUCGAACUUGGAAAGAAGUAAAAUGAUUUUGGCCAGAAAAAAGGUAAAAAGAUUUUUCAAACAAAAAACGUAUGAGCAUGCAAAACAGCAACCAAAAUAGUGAAAAUGAAAGCUUACCUUUUGUGUGCAAUGAAAGCAAGAGGAAGACGAUCGAUGUUUAAAUUCAGAGACGACGAAGAAGACGAGAGGAAGACGAUGAGAUACUCUGAAAGUGCUCUGACAAGGAAAAAAGUCUAAAAGUUUUCUCUGGGAGAUUGAAAUUUUUAAUCGGGUUUGGAAAAAGUGCAUGUGUAAGUCAGGUAGACGAAAAGUUGCUUAUAUAUAAAACCAUUUCAAAAAAAUAAUACGGCGGUUACAUAUAACUACGACGUAUAAAUUACAAAAUACGACAGUACGUUUAACUUCGGACGUGGUAAAUAAUUACGACAGUAGUGUUAUAGGUACCGUCGUAGUAAACUCAAAAUUAAAGUACAUAAGUAAUAACUCGCGUCAUGGUAGAUCAUUUAACACGUCGGUUUUAUUAAUGUACCGACGUGGAUUUAUGUAAUAUACGUCGGUAAUACCGACGUUGAUUUUACAAUUUAAACGGCGGUUUUUUUGUAAGGACCGCCGUUGGUUUUAAAAAUUUAUUCUAUAAAUUUGUUGCUUUCAUUCAUUUUCGGUUUACAUUUAGGGUUCCAAGUUCUUCCUCUCUCAGAGACACUAUCUCUCACAUCUCAAAGACAGUAAUUUGGAUGUCUUUCUCAAAGAGAAAUUGAGCUUACUCGCAUCAAAUCUAUGUCCACAAGAAGAAGCUUGUCAACUAGCCUUCUCACUUCCUUGAUCAAGCCUGAUAGGACACUUAGUGCUUCUGAAUACUCCUUGCUUUCCAUCAAAAGAGAUGCAAGCCUGGCCUCCACUCGCUGUCGAAGGAAAGUUCGCUUCUCAGGGAAAUCUGAAGAUCAGAUGUGCCUGAUCCUCUGCUUGAUUUUCUUGGCUAAGAAGAUCCGUCAGAUUUGUGAUAGCCUCUUCCUUUAUCCGUAGAGCUUCAGAAGAAGAAGAUGGGUUUCAAGAAUGCGAUAAAGAAUAGAAAUGGCUUCAGAUGGCCUCUAAAGCAUGAGCAAUCGAAUCAGUGCUUUGAACUAUACUUUGAACUAUACAAGUCAAUGCUUUGAACUAUACAAGUCCUGCAGAAAGAUAAAGGACCAAACUAUUAAAGAAACCCCAAACUAACACGACGCAAUAUUUGUUUUGCGACGUGGAAUCUUUUCAUUUAACGUCGUUAGGUUUAAUAUAACCGACGUGGAUUUGAAUUUUUAAAUUAUGAAUAGCAUUUUUUUUCCCGUGACCUUUCAGUUUAUUUUUCAAUUACAGUGCGUUAUAAAUAGAGUUUUUUUUCCGGAGGAAAUUUAAAAUGAAGGAAAUUAAUGUUCUGGAAUAUGUAAAAUUUCUUUUUUGGAUGACAGAUUUAAAUAAAAUAAGAAUAUAAAAACAACGACUGUUUUUGUAUUACUGUCGUCGUUUUUCGUCGUCUUAAGUAAGACUAAGACAACGUAAUAUAUUUGUUGAGCGACGUUGAUUUGUGUUUUAAACGUCCUUAGGUAUAAUAUAACCGUCGUUGAAAAUUGUCUCUCUGAUUGCAAAUUUGCAACGACGUUAGGUAUAAUAUUUGUAGAUACACAAACGCACACACAUCAUCAACUUCCAAAAAAUUGUCUCUCUGAUUGCAAAUCUGUGUCAUCUGUUAAGAUUAUGAUGUGGAACAAAGUUCCAUUUGGUAAGAUUUCGUAACCCUUGGGAUCUCAGAAAAAUCUGAUUAUGUCGGCGAUUUUCUAUAUAAACCGUCGUGGUUAUUUCAAUUCUUGUCAUUAAGUAGAUCUACCGACGUAGGAUAAGAAAAUCAAAGAAAAAAAUUGUUAACAAAAAUUCUUAUUAAGACGACGGUUUAAAUUAAAGGUAAGACGUAUAAAAUGAAUAAAUACGACGUUAAAUUUUAUAGUACGAUUUAAAGAUAACGUCGUAGAACUAUACCAGAAUGACGUCGAUAUAUUUAUAUUUUUCGUCGUUGUACAUUAAUUUAAUACGGCGAUAUUUUGUAUUUUAAAGUCGUGGAUUUGUUUGUAAUUAUACAGCGUCUUAUACGAAAACCUCGUCGUGUUAUUUUAUGAGUAAAAACGGCGGCUUUUAUUGAAAUCGUCGUCUUUACUUUCUACGUCGGUUGAUUCAUAACUUCUGUCGUUCUUUGUUGGCUUUGAUUUUACACUGCGGAAAUCUGUUUCAAAUAGACGUCGGUUGUUUAAUUAAGUACGUCGUUGUUUUUGAACAGCCAUUUGAAUCUCCAUUUUUUAGUUGUCUAAGGUGGUAUUACACGACGGUGUUUUUAGAACCGUCGUCUUUUUAAAAACCACGACGGUUUUCACUGAGACCGUCGUUGUUUUCUGGUCGUCUUUUUCACUUUUUGUAGUAGUGAAUGGAAUAGAAUGAUGGAAGUUAUUUUUUUUUUUUCCUACGUCUAAAGUAUACUUUAUAUAUAUAUAUAUAUAUUUAUAUUUAUUAUGGAAGUUAUAACCGUUUAAUUUUCAGUUUUUAUUUUCUAUUUAUUGUUUUAAUUUUUAUAGUUUAAUGUGUAUGGAGAUUUCAAGUAUUGGAUGUUUAUAAAGGGUCACUCCUCCUUCACAUCUGAAACAAACCACCAUCUCAUUUCUGUAUUUUCAUACUUUCAUAUAUUUUCUACUUUCCAGAUUAUUAUUUUUGGGCAACGGUUCUGUGACUUGGAGAUUUCUAUCCGAUUAUUAACAUGCUCAUAGCGGACCUUGAGCUUGCGUAUUGAGGAUAGUAUCUUGGAGCCUUGUAGACCUUUAUUACCUGCAUGUAGGGAGGCUAUAAAUGCUUUAAGUCAGCGUCUUUGACGUGCUUUUGCUUUCUUUUUUUUACUUAUUUCUUCGUUACUUUAUUUUUACUUUACUUUUAAAUCUUUAUUUUAUGUAUUAUUUAUAUUUAAAAAUUUUGAAUAAGAGUUUUACAGAAAAGGAAAAACACAAUUUCAAAUAACACAAAUUUCUCGUUUUUUGUUCUUAAAAAAGAAGAAGCAUUGAUUGGGGAGUUAUGGUAAACUCAGUUUCAAUGGUUGCGAUGAGAGGCGGUGGCGGCGAGGAGAGGACGAAGGCUUUGCUGCCGACGGGGUGGUGUGGGUGGGUGGAGACCUCGGCUGGCUGCUUGGUCCUGGGUUCUCCUUUAAUUCUCUGUUUUCUUUUUUCAUAUUUUUCUUUUUCUCUUAGAGUUAUUGAUGUUAAGUGAAUGGACAGAUGCCAAGAGAAGAUGUGAACCCAAUUAUAUACAGCUGAUUACAUAAAGUAACAAAUUAAUUAAUACUUGAGUGGAGGACAGGCUCGAGUGGAAGAAUUGAUUAAGGCUUGAGUGGAAGACAAACUUCAGUGGAGGAAAGUACAGAUAAGGAAAGCAUGCCACGUUUAACGGCUUUAUCUCAACAAAUUAGGAAUGCUGGUUUUGUUUCCUCGGUGGUUGAAAGGUGGUGCCUUGGCUCGGACAUCUCCCUAGUAAUUAAUCGAAGGUGGAAUCUUACAAGACAUUCAGCUGCUCAUUAGCUGAAUAUCUCGCUCUCUUUAAAGAGAUCGAAGCAAACUGCAAUUUGCAAUUUGUGUGAUUCAAGCAUGAAUAUCUGACAUAGUAACUAUACCAUUUGUUGGUUUGAUGAGAAAAGUUUGGUUAGCGAGGAUGAAACCAUAAAGUUCCCCAAAACACACAAAGAGCACGGACAAUUGCUAAGUUUAUCUUUGAGUUCACGCAUAUUUGCACAAAUGAGAUUACUCCAAGUAUGACUAUACCAUUUGUUGGUUUGAUGUGAAAAAUAUGGGCAACGAGGGUAAAACUAUACAAACACACACAAAGAAAGUGGACAAUUACUAAGUUUAUCUUUGCGUUAUUCAUCCGACCUAACUGUAAAAUAAAAAAGAUGAAAAUAUAUAAUGUUCACUACUUAGAUCUAUGAGCACUAAAGUCCUCCUUUUGGAAUUGCACAAAACGUCACUUUUGGUCUUUGACAAAUUUUUAAAAUAAAUGAAUUUUUUACUUAUUUGUGGACUGAAAUGCCUCAAAAAAAAUAAUGAUAAUUUGAAGAAUUUGAUAGAAAUUAAAAAAUAUCCUCAAAUUACUUGGAAUUGAAGACCACAUAGGCAAAAACACCACUUUGGACAAAGGCUGGUGAUAAUAGUCGAUAUCAUCUUUUGUCGGUCCGACCUAAAAAGAAGAAAAAGUUGAAAGCAUCUUGUUACCAUUUUUGCCAAUGUGGGUCCAGACAAUUUGAAGAAGUCCACCGACAAUUUCUCAAAAGCUAUUGUGUGAGUGUUUUGAAGCUAAACCAAUAUUAUUUUGCACAUACGACCCCACAUCCCCAUGUGAGGCUACAGAAGUGUUUCCAAAACGAAACAUGAUAUUUCAAAACAAAGCUAUGUAUAGAAUAGAGUCAUUUGUAUUUGCUUUCACAAUAACAUUUUAUUUGUGAAAGCAUUUUAUAUUUUUACAUUAUGAUGUUCUAACAAAUAAAUUGACUAUAUUUGGCCAACAGGGUUUAACCGAGUAAAAAAGUCCUUAUUUAUAAACUACUGGUUUCAUAUUUGAACUCUAUGACAUUCUCUUUACCCUUAAAGUUUAGACUAUCGCAUGUAUUAUAAAUAAAAAAAAACAAUUGGCUUAAUUUGAUAUAUUUCAUUUUAUGCUGGGUGCCGUUAUUAAGUUUUAUCCUUGUUUCUUGUUGAAAAAAAAUUGAUAAAAAAUAAGAAUUCCUAUAGCUAGCAACUUCUCCACCUUCCCUUCUUCGCAACUAGGGAUGCCAUUGCAAGGUCACCAUCUCAGAUUAAGUCCUCCUUUUAAAAUUGUGUUGUUAUUCAAAAUUGGAAUAUGCUGGUCAUUCUUGAUAUAAUCUGUUCCACAAAAAGAAAAAGAAAAAAGUUGAUAGCAUCUUUUACCACUUUGGCCACUUUUGAAGAUAUUCACCGACAAUUUCUCAAAAGCUAUUAAGCUGUACGUCCACAAUAUUAUUGCAUCCAACUUUGCAUAUACGACCCCAUCCCCAUGUGAGGCUACAAUAUUGUUAAAAAAAUAUGCUAACAUUGUCAUUCAGUAUGCUAACAUUGUCACUAUGUUUGCGAAUUGCAUAUUAUCUAGAACAUAAAGGCUUUGGUGUUUUGUAGAUCCUCAGGGAGCCAAACCCGUCUUUAUAAAAAUGGUCCUUAUGAUACUACUUUAACAACAAUAAAGUAUAAUAAACUAGGCCUUUGUAGUCACUGAACGAAUGUUUUGUCAUAUAUAUGACUAUUUAAAUGUAAUUACGGGAUUAAAACAUUAUAAUAAAUUGGAGUGAACCAUAACAUUAUAUAUGAUCCAAUCCUUUGCAUAUAUUUUUGUUCAAGACUUUGUUUUAGAAUGCUCUAUUACUAAUUUGGUACAGGUCUCUAAAAUCUAUGCCUUUAUGAGGCAACGUCUUUAUUUCUUUGGUUAUUCCAGUUUAGAAUAUUUGCACAAAUGAGAUGACUCCCAGCAUAAAGUCACAUUCAACCAAAAAGCAUGAAGUCACACACAAAAAGAAUACGGACAAUUGCUAAGUUUAUCUUGUAUCCUUAUUUUAUUGAUCCAACCCAAUUGAAAAAUUAAAAAGAUGAUAUAAUAUACUGUUCACUGCUUACAUCCAUGAGUAAAGUCCUCCAUUUGAAAUUGCGUGAUGAUAUAAAAUUGGAAUGAAAAAAGAAAAUCCUACAGCUAAAUUUGAUAUAUUUCCUUUUCAUUUUAUGCUGGGUGUUAAGUUUUCUUAUUUCUUGUUGAAAAGAAAAAUGAAAAGAAAUAAAUAAAUUCCACAGCUAGCCACUUAUCCACCUUCCCUUCUUCCCAUGUAGUGACAACAAGGGAGGCCUUCAAUCCAAAAUAAAGACAAGGGAUGCCAGAUCAGCAUCUCAGAUAAGUAUCCCAACCAAAACCAAUCAAAUAAUGACAUAUGUAUCUCUUUUUGUGUUUUGUUCUAUUUCUCUUUGAAUUAACUGCAUAGUUUCAUAAGCGUGUCCUCCUUUUGAAAUUGUGUAUUAUUCAAAAUUGGAAUUUGCUGAUCAUACUUGAUAUCAGCUAAAAAAGUUUCCAACAUCUUGUACCAUUUUUUUCCAGUGUGGGUCAUAACUUGAAGAAGCCCACCGACAAUUUCUCAAAAGCUAUUACCAUCCAACUUUGAAAAAUAAAAGUUUUCAAAAGUUACCCCAAACAACAGUCCUUGAAAGAGAGAGUUUUCCAAGGCUAAAGAUUACAAGGAUGUUAUUUACAGUCUCGACAACGACAAGCUUCAUAUUUGUUUACAAACCUGUAUUUUCAAGUUGUGCUAGCCUAGCUACUUGCAAAAAAUAUCCAGUUGGCACAUGCAUUAACGUGUGACAAGAAGUUAGUUAUAUUUGUAAAGUAAAAGAACGAAGUACAUAGCAUGUAAGUUGAUGCUAAAUAUUUGAUCAACAGAGUUAAACAUAAAACCACUGACAAUAUAACGUUGUUCACCAAAAAUUGCAUUUCGUUGAGGGUCAGUAGUGUAGGUUUCAAGAUACGAUUUAUUUUGUUAAAGAAUAUUCUGAUAUUCUAACAAUAAAAUUGGCUCAAUUUGAUAUGUUUCUCUCUCUUUUUUUGUUUCUGUUUUCCCUUUCAUUUGAUGCUUUGUUGUGCUAUUGCUAAGUUUAUCUUAGAGACCAGGGAUGCUUAGCAAGUUUCUUCACCUGCCCUUCUUCCCAUGUACUAACUAGGGAUACCAUGUCAGAAUCUUAGAUAAGAAUCCCAUGCUUUGUUGUGCUAUUGCUAAGUUUAUCUUAGAGACCAGGGAUGCUUAGCAAGUUUCUUCACCUGCCCUUCUUCCCAUGUACUAACUAGGGAUACCAUGUCAGAAUCUUAGAUAAGAAUCCCAACCCAAUCAAACUAUGACAUCUGUAAGUAUUCAAAAUUGGAAUUUGCAUUGUGAUAGUUGAGUGGAAGAAUCGAUUAAGGCUUGAGUGGAAGACAAACUUCAGUGGAGGAAAGUAAUUAAUUAGACCAUUAUUUGUUGGUUUGAUGAGAAAAGUUUGCUGGUGAUAGUCCAUAAUCUUUGUCCGACCAGAAAAUAAGAAAAGUUGUCUUGUACCAUUUCUGCCAGUGUGGGUCCCACCCACCCCAUGCGAGUAAUUUGAAGAAGUCCACCGACAAUUUCCCAAAAGCUUUGGCGUCCAACUUUGCCGACCCCAUCCCCAUGUGAGGCCAUAGAAAAGUUUUCAGCCACAAUCAAAUAAGGAACAGUCCUUGAAAAGAGAGGGUUUUCCAAGGCCAAGAUUACAAGUUCAUGUUAUUUACAGUCUCAAAAAGCUUCCAUACUUGUUUACAAACCUGUAUUUUCAAGUUGUGCUAGCCUAGCUAUUUGCAAAUCUUGGAAUAUUUUACUUCAUCCAAAUCCCUUGAAGUCUGCAGAGAAGAUAAAAGACAUGGCUUUGAUUGGAGAGGCUCUUAUCUCUGCUUCCGUCCAGGUGUUGUGCGACAGAAUUACUUCACCCGAGUUCGUUGACUUAUUUCGGCACAAGAAACUCGAUGAGCCACUCCUCAGGAAGCUGAGGACGACACUGUUGGCCUUGAACUUGGUGCUCAAUGAUGCAGAGGAGAAGCAACUUGUGAACCGAGAUGUGAAAAAGUGGCUUGACGAGCUCAAACAUGCUGUCUUUGAUGCGGAGGACUUACUGGAUGAGAUUGACACUGAAGCUUUGAGAUGCAAGCUGGAAGAAGGUGAAGAUCAAACUCACAAAUUUACCAAUAAGGUGCGGAACUUGCUCUUUUCUUCUCGUAGUCAUUUUUAUCAGAGCAUGAAUGAUAAGAUAAAAGAGUUACUAGCAAGGUUAGAAAACUUUGUACAACUGAAAAGUGCUCUUGGUCUGGGAGAAGUUGCUGGGAGGAAGGUUUCGCAAAGAACUCAAACAACCUCCUUGGUUCUUGAACCUUAUGUAUAUGGUAGAGAUGAAGUCAAAGAAAAGUUAUCAAAAGUUUUGCUAUCUGAUGAAGCAGGCAAGGAUCCUGUGUCUUUCCUCACCAUUGUUGGAAUGGGUGGGGUUGGCAAGACAACCCUUGCUCGAAUGCUUUACAAUGACGAUAAGGUGAAAGGGCAUUUUAAACUUAAAGCUUGGGCUUGUGUUUCAGACUACGAUGAUUAUAUUAAAAUUACUAAAACUCUCCUUGAGGCAGUCACUUCAAAGCCUUGUAACACGGCAAAUCUGAAUUUGCUUCAAGAAGAUCUAAGAGAGCAAUUGAAGGGAAGGAAAUUUUUAUUUGUGUUGGAUGACCUAUGGAAUGAGAAUAAUGAGGAUUUGAACUACCUUAGAGCUCUUUUUAUUACUUUAGGAACAAUGGGAAGUAAAGUCAUUGUAACAACACGGAGCAAAAAUGCAGCAUCUGUCAUGCAAAAUGUUCAUAUUCAAUACUUAGAACCAUUGUCGCAGGAGGACUGCUGGUUAUUACUUGCAAAACAUGCAUUUGGAAAUGUAAAGUGUAGUGCACAUUCAAACUUGGAAGAUAUUGGAAACCAAAUUGCACGCAAGUGCAAAGGGUUGCCUUUAGCUGCACAAACACUUGGGAGUUUGUUACGUUGCAAUAUGAAUUUCGAGUACUGGAAUAGAAUACUAAAUGAUAGUUUUUGGGACCACCCCUAUGAUAAAACUAACAUUCUUCCGGCUCUAGGGUUGAGUUACCAUUAUCUUCCUACUCAGUUGAAACGAUGCUUUGCUUAUUGUUCAAUUUUUCCAAAGGAUUAUGAGUUUGAAAAGGAAGAUAUAGUUCAAUUAUGGAUUGCAGAAGGUAUAAUUCCACAAGCUGAGAAUGGAAAUAGGAUGGAAGCAUUGGCUAGAAUAUACUUUGAUGAGCUGUUAUCACGAUCGUUGUUUCAAAAGUCAAGUAAAUUCAGCUUCAUUAUGCAUGAUCUCAUUAAUGACUUGGCUAUGUUCAUGUCUCAGGGGUUUUGCCUUAGGCUCGAAUAUGGGGUAUCCCAUGAAGUUAAAAGAGCUCGUCAUUUGUCAUAUGCUAGGGGAGCAUUUGAUGCUGCUCCAAGAUUUGAACCAUUAUAUGAGGCUAAAUGUUUGCGGACCUUCCUACCUACCUCUUUAAAUCCAUAUAGAUUUUAUGAAAGAUUUUUUGUAAGUAAAAAAGUUCUACAAGAUUUGUUGCCAUCACUAAGAUGUUUACGGGUGUUAUCAUUGUCACGUUAUCAAAAUGUUACUGUGUUACCUGAUUCUAUUGCAAACCUCAUUCACUUGCACUACUUGGAUCUUUCCCAUACCGCAAUUAAAAGGUUACCUGGGGUACUUUGCAAUCUCUUCAACUUGCAGACAUUACUAUUGUCAAAUUGUUCCUCACUCCAUGAAUUGCCUGCAGACAUUAGAAAAUUGAUUAAUUUACAGAAAUUGACAUUGGGCGGUUGUAGUUCUCUUAAUAAAUUGCCUGCAGGCAUGAAGGAGUUGACUAAUUUGCAUCAUCUUGAUGUCAGUGGAACUGAAAUAGUAGAGAUGCCGGUGCAAAUGGGUAGACUGAAAAAUUUGAGAACAUUGACUGCAUUUGUUGUGGGCAAAUCUACUGGGUCAGGCAUAAGAGAACUGAGCGAGUUCCCGCAACUUCAAGGAAAACUAUCAAUUUUGAAGCUACAAAAUGUAGUUGAUGCGAGGGAUGCACUGCACGCCAAUAUGAAGCUCAAGACAGAUCUCAAGGAGUUAGAGUUUUCAUGGGGUGCGCAGGAUGCUGAUGAUUCCCAAAAGGAGAAAGAUGUACUUGACAAGCUCCAGCCUUGCGUGAAUUUGGAGAAAUUAACCAUUGGAUUCUAUGGUGGAACCAAUUUUCCGAAUUGGUUAGGAGACUCGUCUUUUUCUAACAUACAAGUCAUGCAUCUCAGUGACUGUAGUUAUUGUUGGUCGCUCCCACCAGUUGGACGGCUGUCGGCACUCAAAGAGCUCUGUAUAAAAAGAAUGAAGUCUUUGAGGACGAUUGGCGUUGAAUUCUAUGGCAGAGAUGGAGCUUAUCUGACUCAGCCAUUUCGAUCUCUGGAGAAGCUAGAGUUUAUAGAGAUGCCGGAGUGGGAGGAAUGGGUACCAAGUGGAAGUGCAAGUGGUAGUGAAUAUGGUCCAGACUUUCCUCAUCUCCAGGAGCUGAUUCUAAACGAGUGUCCGAAGCUAAGAGGAAGUUUGCCUUGUGAGUUGCCUUGCUUGAAGAAGCUUACGGUGUAUGGGUGUAAGGUUUUACAUGAUGGAAGGGCCGCUACCGCAACUACCAAUAGUCUUAACUAUAAAUCUCUGGAAGAAUUGGAUAUAAGGGGUGGAUGCCAAACUCUGUUAUCAUUAUUAGAGACAAAGCUCCUGUCCCGACUUAAGAUUGAAAAUGUUGACGUACAGUGCUUGCCCAACUGCAAUCGUCUUCAACGUUUGACUCUUUUGAAUUGUCCAACGCUGUCGUCAUUCCCUAAAGAUGGCCUACCCACUACAUUGACAUCACUUACUAUACUCAAUUGUAGGAGAUUAGAAUUCCUACCUCAUGAGAUGUUGGCCAAAUUAACAUCGCUUGACUAUUUGGGCAUACAAAGUAGCUGUGAUUCAAUGAGGUCCUUACCGUUGGGCAUUUUUCCCAAAUUGACGACGCUUCAAAUUCUUGGUUGUGAGAAUCUGGAAUCUUUUUCCUUGAUUGAAGAAGAAGGAGCUGUUGAGAAUCUCAGCCAUCUCAAUUCCUUGCAAGUCAUUAACUGUCCAAAAAUGGUGUGUUUUCACGAGGGAGAAUUGCCCUUUCCCAACCUGAGUCACUUUGUAGUCAUUGACUGCGAGAAUUUGAAGUCAUUGCCCGAACGCCUUCACACCCUCACUGCCCUUCGAUCUUUGAAUAUAUGGAAUCUUCCGAAUCUGGAGUCAUUUGCAGAAGAUGGGGGUUUGCCUCCCAACCUCCGAUCUUUUAUCAUUAGGAAUUGUAAGAGACUGAGGGCACUUGACUCAGUGGGUUUGCAAGCACUUGUCUACCUUCAGAUCGAUGGAAGUGACCAUGUCUUGGAGACGUUGCUGCUCCCUACCACUCUUCACACUCUCUGCAUCUCUGAUCUAUCAACUCUGAAAUCUUUGGACGGAAAGGGUCUUGGACACCUCACUUCUCUUCAAACUCUAAAAAUUUACAGCUGUCCAAGUCUUCAAUGCCUGCCAGAAGAGGGUUUGCCGCCAUCUCUUUCUCAUCUGAGUAUCCGCUGUUGUCCUACCCUGGAGGAAAGGUAUAAGAAUAAAACGGGACAAGAUUGGGCAAAGAUAUCUCACAUUCCUUGCAUCGAGAUAGGGGAAGAAGUGAUCAUAUAAUAUGAGCUAUUCCAUAUUUCACGCUCAACCCUCAACUCUCAAAUCAAAGUCAGGUGAGGUAUGUGCCUUCUCUUACUUUAAAAAACUGCUUCUCUUCUUCUAAUUGAAUACAAAAACCAAAACACAUAUUCUCUUUCUCUUCCAAAAACCCAAAUACAUGUUGGACAUAGCCCAACGCUGUACUUUCAUAGGUACUGCAUGUAUAUUAUCUUAGUAUCAACAGGUGGUCUUAUGUGGACGAGAGAGAACAUUGAGGAAUUACAAAAUCUUCUUAGUGAAUUAAGCUUGCUUCAGCUCUGUUUGUCAUCCCUCUCAUUUUCUUUGUUAAGCCUUGGUUUUUUAUUAGGAGAUGAAUGCUUUUAUAUAUUGAUGUCGUAGUCAGUCUUCAACCACACUCCGUUUUUAGAAUUCGUUUAUGUUACUAGUGGAGUGCUGCUGUAUUUUAUAUUUCGUUCCUGUAAUGUUUGAUGUUUAGUUUGAGUAGUCUAGCUUAUCCAGUAGAUAACUCGUCCCCUGUUUUGUAAUGUUUUUGUUUCCUCUAAUGAAAGCAGGUUUUACUUAUCUUAAACUUUUAUUUUUAUUUUUAAAUAUCAGUAAUAACUGGGAAAGCUUGCAUCUCCUUAAAUUGCUCAUUCUUACAUCUUUUAUAGUUUGUCGAUCUUGGGCAAGUGGAGAGAGAGGCGUCAAGUGAUACACAACAACCAUUUUCUGUGAGCUAAUUUGAUAAUGAUAAAUGGUAUGCUUUCUUGUCUUAAGCUGUGUGUUCUGCAAUUAUUUAAAACAAAGAGUGCCGCGCUUCAAGUUCGAGGAAAACAGGUAUUUUAGGUUAGCUGUAUAAUUCGUGGUAAAUGCCUUUUUCUAAGGUUCAUUUAGACUCCUAUUACGAUUAAUUUGUUGUUUCUAAUUUGGACUUGUAGGAACAGACCAAAUAUGUUCACACGUGGCAUCGCUCAAGUCAUCAUCAUUUCCGACAGAAAAUCAGCCUUCAAGUGUCUGCUGAGUCAAUGAACCUUUCUAGAUAUAUCAAGUGCAAUGGAAAUUCAUGAGUUACAUAGAGAUUUGUAAACAUUUUGAAGAUUGCAACACCUGCAAGUGAGAUAGGUGGUGACGAAAUCAGAGCUGAUCUUGAAGCCUCUGAUGCCCCGGUUGUUGCAAGUUGCACCUGAGAACAUGUUUUUUUGGGGUAAAAAACUGGCAACAUGUUCGGAGCUGGCAAUUCAGUCAGUGAUGAAGUUGAGAAGCAAAGCUCCAGUAAGGAAAUUGGUCGAGGUCGCCACAGGGAUGAUUGAUGGUGAAAUGGAUGCUAUUUCUUAUUGCAGCCUGUUCUCAAAGUUCUUGUUGGCAAAUGCAAGAAAUGGAGUAUUUUGAUUGGAAGGAGAGAUAAUGACAUGUCUUGACAAUUCUAGAACAGCCCAUCUGAGUUCUUUUGUCAGGCUGCAUCAUUCAAUCCCGGCAAAUAUCCAGUUUCUGCUAAACAAUCACUUAUGGCAAGGCCAACUCUGGUAAACAAUUACAUUUUUUCUUUUGAGGAAUUUCACUUUGUCAUCAAACAGUAUUCUAAUGCAUUAUGGUAGCACUACACGCUUUUGUUGUAACAAAUUACAAUGAGGAAUUUGGAUUGAGGAAUUUGGAUUGAGUUUCUUUUAUGCUUUGUUUAGAUUAAAAAUAUCAGUUUCCUGUGUUAAUAACAUUACAGUUUUAUGGAAUGGUUUAUCUUGUUUUUCUGGACAAAAAUAUUUAGAGAAAUUUUCAGUAUAGCUUGUCCUUUAGAUUAAUUUCUCCUGUAGGGUGUUAAAGUUUGAUCUUUUUUUUUGUUUUUUGUUUUUUGUUUUUUGUUUUUGUUUUUUUUUGGUAAAUAAGUUUGAUCUAUUUAAAUUGAAUAGGGUGUGCAUGAGACAUUUUUCUUGGAAUAAUUUUUUAAUUGCAGUGGCAAAAAAAGGAAAAUAGUAGUCUUCAAAACGAAUCUUAAAUCCAGUUUCCUCUUCUUGGUCGUCACUCUUAGAAAUUGCUAACCAUAUAUAGCCUGGAGUAAGCACUGCACAAAACGGCAUACCAUCACAAAUCCUAAUUCCAUACAAUCUGUUGAAGGAAAAUGUGAUCCUCCUAAUAUAAUUUCACCACCACUAAUUAAAUAACGGGGUUUUAUUAUUUUAGGUUCGACCCAUUCGAGACGCAAGUCUCUUAAUUACAAUCCCUUGCUUCAAGGGAACACCCUUUGAUUCCAUCAUAAAGAAACAGAACGUUUGUGUUUGAUUUUGCAACUGCUCCCAAGUCCAACCUCAGGAUGCCUACGUAUCCCUUGCGGGAAUCAAGCCACUCGUAGUUCAAAGAAUCGCAAUGAAUAAAUGACUCAUUGCGAGGGAAAUUUGAUUUGAAUUGUACUGAGAAGUGUUUGAGUGAAUUUAGCUGAAUAAACCAGGGAUUCGAUAUGGGAUUGCAUUUGGGAUGGUUGCAUCUAGAUUGAAUCUCUAGAUUGCCUACGUACCCUUUCAAAGGGAUCAAACCAACGUAGUUCGGAAUUUGGAAAUCAACGGGCAAGUGUGGCCCACUAAUUGAGAAUUUCUGUUUAAGAGACUUGGAUUUAAUCUCAUUAGAGUUUUCAUGGGUAGAUGACCCAUGGAAAAUUGGAUGGUUUUGUACCACUUUCGUUGUUGUCCAUGUCCAAGAAAAAUAAUGAGUAAUUUUAAUUAUCCCAUUAAUUUUUCCUAAACAUUGACAAUUGCGUUUGGGGAUUUCCAUAGGUAGAUGACCUAUGGGAAAAUUUGGAAAUUAAUGGAUAAGUGUGGCCCACUAAUUAAGAAUUUGUAUUUGAGAGAUUUAGAAUUAAUCUCAAUGAAAUUUUGCAUGGGUAGAUGACCCAUGGGAAAUAUUAGAAAUUAAUGGGUAAGUGUAGCCCACUAAUUGAGAACUUGAAUUUGAGAGAUUUGAAUUUAAUCUCAAUGAAAUUUGUAUGGGUAGAUGACCCAUGAAAAAUUGAAUGGUUUUGUACCAUUUUUCUGGUUGUCAAUGUCCAAGAAAAAUAAUGAGUAAUUUUGAUUAUCCCAUUAAUUUUCCCUAAAAAAUUGACAAUUGCACUUGGGAAAGUGUUUUUUUUUGGCGAAAUCUGGUUAAGAUAAGCCAGAGAUUUAUACUUGAUUGCGGUUGCGUCUAUUGGGAUGUUAGACUGCCUACGUACCCUUGACGGGAUCAAACCGACGUAGUUCCAAAUUUAGGAAGUUAAUGGGUAACUGUGGCCCACUAAUUGAGAAUUUGUGUCUUUGGGACAAUUUGGAGAUUUUCAUAGGUAGAUGACCUAUGGAAAAAAUUGGAAAUUAACGGGUAAGUGUAGCCCACUAAUUAAGAAUUUGUGUUUGAGAUAUUUGAAUUUAAUCUCAUUUGGAAUUUGCAUGGGUAGAUGACCCAUGGAGAAAAUUGGAUGGUUUUAUACCAUUUUUCUUUUUGUCAAUGUCCAAGGAAAAUAAUGAGCAAUUUUGAUGAACCCACUAAUUCUCUACAAUUGACAUUUGCAUUUGUAUCCAUGCAUGAUUUGGAGGAUUUGAGAUUAAUGGGCUUUUUUGAUCAACAAAACCCAUUAAUCCAUAUUGAUGCUCCUUUAAAAUCUUUUGGGAGUUGAGCUUAAUGCUCCGCGUGUGACAAAUAAUUUAUUUGGACUGGAGUCACCGUCACAGCAUGGUUGAGUCACUUGGCACUCUUUUCUGAAUCGCUUCUUUGCCACAAUGGUUGAUUCCCACAUUUCUUAGUGUGGCUUUUGAAGUGGUUUUGUACCCCUUGACAUCUGGUGUGGUUUUGUACUACUUGAGUCUUCACUUGACGUUGAGUCUUCACUUGACGAUUUGAGAAUUAAUGGGCAUUUUUGGAAUUUAAGCCCAUAAUCCAUCAUUUGCGGACUUCAGGAAUUGGAGACUCAAAGGAAAUCUCAAACAAAGUGGCUGACGCCAUUUGACUUUUCUUCCCUUAUUUCGGUGCGAGUCUUCCUCUUCGUUUAUUUGUUGUUGCCAUGUGCAGCACCAAGCCAAUCCCUCUUUCGUCUUUCUUUGGUUUUGACUUGUUUUUUUUUUCUUUGUUUUUGGUUUGCUGCACAACACCAAGCUGCCAACAAGACGUGGCUAUCCUUUUUUCUUCAUUUUGUUUGUUUGUUGUUGCUAUGUGCAACAACACCAAGUUGCCAAAACGUGGCUGUCUUCAAUAACUUUUUUUUUUUUAGUUCACGUGUCUGUAUGGCAACAUCAGUGGUUUGAACAAGUUGGUUGUCUUGAGCCUUUCCUCCACCCCAUAUGACGAGCAGCAUUUCUUGACUUCCACAAGUCUGCAAAGGGAACUAGCCUUUUUCUUGAUGGUGGAUCAUUGUUAUCACAAAAAAAAUGAUAUUUGUGUGCCUUAUCCAGCUGGUUCUUUUCGGCUUGGUGCCAAAAGUAAAUGUCUUUUAAUUUGAUCAAGACACCCAAGGGAUAGAAAUUCUUCUCCAAGUGAAGUAUGGAUUAAACUCCUUAUUGAUUUGGAGCUGGUGGAUCAUCCAGUGAAGUAAACUUCUUGUCCACAUAGGAUUGGGUUGUCUUCCUUAUAAAAAGGAAAACAUGUGUGCACCAGCAAACAGCCACAAAACGAAAGUCUUAACAUUAUUCUUCGUUUGCUUCUCCAGACCAGCCCAUAGCUUUGCUCAAGCCACCUGUUGCACCAUCAAACAGAAGAGGAUUUCACGUGGUAACCCACAUGCCAUUCCUUAGUUCUUCUCUUUUAUUUUAUUUAUUGAUUGAACUAACUAGGAUUUUUUUGGCAUGGGCAGCAAUAGCUGUAGCAAUUGAAGAGCCUCCAAUUAAUUGGAUGCUUCCAGGCUGACUUGGAACCAAAAGAGACAAUUUCUCUUAUUGUCCUUUGUGUGCUGUAACCUUCCCAAGGUCAAUAACCCAAGACAAAGGGAAAGAGAAAUCAUCUUGCGUUUCACGUGGUAACCCACCCCUUGACAAAUGUCUUUUUUCUUUUGUCUGUUUCCAUGUUUCUGACCUCUUGUCUUCUCUUUUGUAUGUAGAGGCUGUGCUGCCAGCUUGAAGGCUUUGGAGUUUGGUGGAGGAAACCAUCUGUCAUUUUGCUUCAGAAACCCAAGAAAGAACUUGUGGUACUUGCUUUGCCAGCUCCUCUUUUUUUUUGUUUGCUAUUGCUGUACUUUUACCACUGCUCAUAUCCAUUUCUUUUACUCAAUUUCCAGUCAAAGAAACAUUCAAGAGGGGGAGGAGGGGCUGUGCGAUACAGCCCCCCUUUUUUUUUUAUUCCAUCACCUUUUUUUAUGUCCCUUGUUUUGUCUCUUUGCAUACAAAACACAAGAACAAAGUCAGCCACCAUUUUUUUACUCCAUUAUUUCUUCUUCCUUACUCCUUUUUUUCAAUCAAAGCAGACCAAUGGAACUAAUCUUUUUACCUUGAAAUGGCUCUUUCCUUUCUCAAGGCUGCUUGCUAAUUUUUCUUCUUGCUAUGACUGUUCUCCUUUCUGCUCUUUUUCUGUCCUCCUGCUGUUCUCCUCCCUUUCUUCCUUCUUUUUUUUUUCUCCUGCUGUUCUCCUCCCUGCGUUUUUUCUUUUUUUUUUUUUGUCCUCCCCUCGUGUCAUGCCUCUUAUAGAGGCUAUCUUAUGAUGAGUUUUAAUUCCAGCUGAUGACCACUUCUCAACUGAGAUACUUAUCUCUUGUUGUUUCAAAACCACUGAAAUACAUCUAUUUUAUUUUUAACUGUUUUUCUUGAUAAGAUUGCAGGGACAAAACAAAUUCAAUCCUAAACCAAGUCAAACUCUUGGCUAAUUAUUUUUUGUGAAAAUUUUCCGUUCAACAGAUGCCUUCUCAAGCGUUGUGCAUGAAAUGACUUUUUAUGUGCAACGCUUGAUAGCUUUUCCUUUGAACUGCGCAUCCCCUGACUUUUCUUGUAUUAAUUAAUUUUUUUUUUGGUUGAAAAAUUCAGGAAAUGGACGCGCAAGGUCGAUUCGGGUUUGAGCGAGUCUUUGAUUCGCAUGGUAGGGAAUUUGUCUCUGGCCCCCAAUAUGCGAGAUCACUGCCUUUGAGAUCUGUGAAGCUUAAUGUACCCCCUGAAGGCCGUGCAACCUGGUAUACCACCGCCUCCGUAAAUUCGGGGUAUCUUGAAUUCAAACCCCACGCAGAAGAUAAGGUGAUUUCAGUAUGCCAAACGCAUCGUGCUGUGUUUACCGCCCAUUGUUUGGAGGAUGUGAAUAAUGAAGUGGAUGGAGACAUGAAAUUCCAAAUCAAAGAUCUUCCCACACGUGAUGAUUUUUACCCCGCUUUGCAUAGAAUGAUCAAGAGUAAGUUGGAGUGGGGGCCCCAGUAUCAGUUCUAUGGCCGAGCCACUUUUGAAAUUGGCGUUGCGGAGUGGACAAAAUGCGUUAUGAGUGACUUUGGAGACAUAUUGCAUAAGGCAAAAAUAUAUUGUGCCGUAGCAAUUUCCCGAUAUCCUUACGAGUGUUGCCCAAAUAUAUGGAGAGCAUUUUGUGAAUUAUGGGGGCCCUUGUGCAACACCUUUCAUCAUGGCAAUGGUGAGAUGGGGAUUUCUCUCUAUGACAUGAAAGUCAUUUGUGGGUUGCCAAUCUUGGGAGAUGUCCAGUAUGAGGAAUUUAUUCCCCAAAAUAAAGACUUGCAACAAAAUGGAGCAUAUCCUCCGACUAUCACUGAACUUUUGAAGAUCCACUCCCAAUUAUGUAUUUAUCAUAAUCAGUCUACCGUCAGCUGGGCCCAAUGGAUUGGGCACUUUUAUCGGGCGAAGAUUAUUUAUAAGGCCUUUGGGAAUGGCAAGAGGAAACCUCAAGAUCAACUUUUAAGGGCUCCCGAAAUCACUUUACGUAUUUCAAAGGAAGGGGGGUUGGCUGCAUUCUUGGCACUUUGGUUGAGUAGAUUUGUGUUACCUUCCGUGGAUCGCAACGUCAGACCUGAAACUUUUCAUAUGGCAUGUUUGAUGGCACAAGGGGUCAGAGUUUCACUUGCACCACCUGUUUUGGGGUAUAUUUACCAUGGUCUUGGAGAAAUUGCCACUCACCCAGAAGGUCCCAGCUUGUCAAGUGCUUCCUUCCCAAUUCAUUAUGUUAUCGGUUGGUUAGGCGAACAUAUUCCAGGAUUGUACCUACCACAAACUGACAAGGAAUUUGUCAAAGACUACCCUUUUUUGGUGAGGUACGCGGGUGUUAAGCCAAAAGGUUUUAGGCUUAAUCAUGCCAGAAUUAUAUUCCGUAGUGACAAAGAAUUAAUCUAUCGCCCAACCACGUUUACUGAAGAUGAAGGCCGUUCCUUUGUUGACAAGAAGGCUCUAUCAGACAGAAAAUUUGAAUUUCUAGUUUGCACACGUUAUGCGCUUUUGCCGGUGAGGGUGAACAACAAUCUUUGGUUGGAACCAUACUACCCGAAUAGAUUCGCGCGUCAAUUUGGUUUUGACCAAGGUGUCCCUUCGAACAAGCUUUCCUUUAGCGUUCGUGACAGGUGCAAGUGUGGCAUGGAGGAUUUGGCCAUAGCACAAAUCACUUUACUUAGAAGAGAUACCACAGCUGGAUUUUAUAUCCCACGCUAUACUCGUGUUGGAGUUUGCACUUGGUGGUAUUGCAAAUGGUGGAUGGGGUCAUCAGCACCAUAUAUGGGAUUAUCUGUAGCUAGAAUUUUCUUGCCUUCUAGAAAACACCUCGAAAGGCACGAUAAUAUUUUUAUUGUUAGGCCGGAGAAUCAAGGCCCCACAAGUUGUCAAAAAGAGGUCUCCAACAAACGUCAUUCUUCGCGUAGUGACAACAACAAGAGUCCAAAACGAAUUCGAAGCCAGAAUCUUGACCAUCCAGUUGAUGAGGGAGUCAGUUCCUCCCAUGCCGAUGCUGCUACUCUUAUCAGAGACUUGGUUUUCCCCAUGAAUGACGGGCCAUCCGAACAAGGUAGUACCACGAACUUCCCAAGUGAAGCAGAUGAUGCUCAAGAAGUGAGCAAUGAACUGAAUGCUACAGUCGUUGCUCCUGAUGUGAGUAAUGAUCCAAAUGAGACAGACGAUAUUGUUGAAGAUGACUGCCCCUUGCCAUUGGUAGAAUACUUGCCCUCCUCACCUUAUGUGAAGAAUUUCAUUCACCGCAUUCUUGGUCCAAGUGUGGCUCCACGUAGGCGAAGGUUCAUUGCUGAGGAAAUGCAAGACAUCUUUGAUAGAAUUUCUUCUUCCAAAUCACCUAUAGACCUACUAGCUCACCGUGAUCAUAUUUUGGGGGCACUUGGUCUCUUGCGACCUAUGAUUAAUACCCUUGAAUCAGGCCAGGAUGAGUUUCAGGAAUUUGAAACGACUAUCCAACACAUUUUCGAGUUGGUCACUUCAUUUUCCAAGAACGUUGCCUUUGUGGGAGAACAUGCCCAUCUAGAUGUUGACCGCAUCAAUGCUUUGAUCACCCAAUAUGAGCAGUGCUUCGCUGCCAUAAAAACCAUGAGCGUGCAUCUAAUAGAACUUAAUAGUGAGCUUGCUGAUGUGAAUGCCACAGUGGUUGAUGUUGAAAAGGCAGAGAAGGAAGCUGAAGAGGCAGCAAGACGAGCUCAUGAAAUGCGACAACAGUUUGAAUCGAAGACAAGUGCCCUUAAAGAACGUGCAAACGAUUUGCAGCAAUCUUUAGACCAACAAUUCGAAAAGGAAAUUGGGCUUCGACAAGCUAGAAUUGAUGCCAAUGAAGCAAUGCUCCCAAAACUCAUAGAGGCACGGAACUUAGGCUUCACGCAAGAGAAAGAAAUUCGCCAGUUAGUUAGCUCAUUGAUUUCCCUUUGCAGUAGAGUGGAGUAGACUCCUUUUUCCAUUUUCUUUUCUUCUUCUUUUUUCCUUACCUCUUAGUUAUUGUAAACUCAUUCGUCCACCUUAACUAGUAUUGAAUGAAAAUUUUUUUAUUUUUUUAUUUUUUUAUUUUUUUAUUUUUUUAUUUUUUGUAUACAUACUCAUGCUAAUUUUUUGAGCACUUACAUCAUUUAGCAAAUUUGCCGCAUACAAAACUUGACUGGAUGAUAGGGUUUUUUUGGUGGUUUACGACUGCACUCAGCUUUUUUUACUUUUAAAAAAAAAGCUAAGUUGCCUACGUACCCUAUAAAGGGAUCAAGCCAUACGUAGUUCACCCCUUGAUUCUCAGGGGAAGAAAGGGACAAAUGGAUUUUGUGGCCGCAUCUAGUGGCAAGACUAGACUGCCUACGUACCCCUUUUGAGGGAUCAAGCCGCCGUAGUUCCUUUCCUUGGACUGCCCUCUCGGGUUUUCAGCCCACGAAGGUUUUUUUUUUUUUUUUUUUUUUUAGCUCUAACUUUUGCUUGGACCGCCCUUUUGGGUUUUCAGUCCAACGAGCCUUUUUUUUUUUUUUCUCCAUCAGGCAUAAAACUUCUUGACGAAUUUCCCAUUCACACAAGGGUAUACGCACUUGCCUUCGGCGUUUGACAACUCAUAGGCACCCCUGGAGAAAACCUUAGUAAUGACGUAGGGCCCCUCCCACUUGGGUUCAAACUUACCGUGCAUUUUCCUGGUAAUGACAAAUGGUCUUCGGACAGUUAAAACUAAAUCUCCAAUUGAGAAAGAUCUGAACUUAACUUUUCUAUUGAAUGCCCCUGCAACCUGAGCUUGAUAUAUUUCGAGCUUUUGUUGAGCUGCCAGUCUUUUCUCAUCGAGGGCUUCCAGCUCUGCCAGUCUCACAUAUGCGUUUUCGUCAGGUGUACAUCCUUAACGAUGGCAAUUGGACUUCUAACGGUAGAACAGCCUCGGAGCCAAACACCAAAUUGUAGGGUGUACAUCCUGUUGAAUUGCGUAUGGUCGUCCUAUAAGCCCAUAAUGCUUCAGGGAGGCGCUCAUGCCAGUCUCUUUUAUUUCCUGAGACCGCCUUCUUUAGGAUGUUGCACAGUACCUUAUUGAAAGCUUCAGCUUGACCGUUUGACGACGGAUUGUAACUCGCGGAAAACGAGUGUUGAAAUCUAUACUUCUCGCACAACUUGGUCAUGGACUUGCACUUGAAAUAUAAUGCAUUGUCGGAUAUUAUCUUCGAUGGAACCCCAUAACGGUAGAUGAUAUGAUUUCUUAUGAAGUUUGUGACAUCGUCUGCUCGUACCUCCUUUAAAGGAAUCGCUUCAGCCCAUUUAGAGAAGUAAUCGGUCGCGGCCAAGAUGUACUGAUGUUGACGUGAUGACUUAGGCUUUAUCAUGCCAAUAACAUCUAAUCCCCAAGCUUCAAAUGGCCAAGACAAAGUAGUCGGAUGUAAUUGUUGGGGUGGCUGGUGAAUAAAGUCUCCAUGUAACUGGCAAUCUUUGCAUGUGGUUGCAAAUUUUAUUGAGUCUUGGACCAUUGUUGGCCAGUAAUAACCCAAUCUCUUCAGUUGGUUUGAGAGUUUUGGACCAGCUUGAUGAGCACCGCAAGUGCCAGCAUGAGUAUCAUGAAAGGCCUUAGUUGAGUCUUGUUUCGACAGACACCUUAACAACAUACCAUCAAAUGAUCUUUUGUACAAGGUGUCAUUUAGGUACAGAAAUUGAGUGGCUCUGCGUCGGACUUCAGCCUUUUUCCUUGAGUCAUUUGGCAACUUGCCUUGUCGGAGAUACUCGAUUAUGGGAUGGCGCCAAUCAAGAUCAUCUGGUUCCCCCUCACAUUCGGAAGCCGUAAUGACGUUUGAAUCAACAACUUCCUCAAUUCUCUCUAUAGCUGGGAGUAGUAAGUGACGUUCCCCAACAGUGAUUUGGAUAUCCCUUUCAUCAGGUAGUGUUAACGAUGCAGCCAAAUUAGCUAGUGCAUCAGCUUUAUCAUUUUCCGACCUCGGGAUGUGACUAACAUGGAUGUCUUGGAACUGCGACAUGAGAUACUUUGCCCUUUCAUGGUAUGGGACGAGAGUAGUAUUCCUGACAGCGUAUUGGCCAUUCAACUGUCUAACGACUAACUGUGAAUCACCGUAUGCUUGCAAAUAAUCAAUAUGCAUCUCGAGAGCAAUUUCAAGGCCAAUGAUGAGUGCCUCGUAUUCUGCCACAUUAUUUGAACAUAAAGCUAGUAAAGAGAAUGAGUAUGGGAUUAAGCCCCCAGACGGCGUGAUGAAUACUACUCCUGCCCCAGCUCCUUUUCCUCUUGCUGCCCCAUCAAAAUAUAACUGCCAUAUAAGUGCUUCUGUCGUGAACACCUCUUCGUCGGGCAAAUCAUUAGAUAACUCCAUGUUGUCAGGAGUAGGAUGAGCAGCCAAGAAAUCAGCAAGAGCCUGCCCUUUGAUUGCCUUUUGUGGCACAAACUUUAUCUCGAACUCGGAGAGAAGGAGAGACCACUUGGCUAUUCGCCCAGAGAGCACAGGCUUGGACAUUAAAUAUCGGAGUGGAUCUGCCUUGGAAAUCAAAAUGACUCUAUGAGAGAGGAUGUAGUGUCGUAGUUUCUGUACAGCGAACACCAAAGCGAGGCAGACCUUUUCGAUCGGGGUGUAAUUUUGUUCUGCCCCUACGAGAGUUCUACUCAAGUAAUAUAACGCAUUUUCCUUUCCAUCCUCGUUGUGUUGGGCGAGCAAUGCACCUAAUGAGCGUUCUAAUGCCGCAAUGUAUAGGAUUAAAGGCUUCCCUUUGAUUGGCGCCAUUAGAACUGGCGGAUUUAACAGGUAUUGUUUAAUGCUUUCCAAAGCAUUUUGGCAUGCUUGAUCCCAUAUAAACGGAACAUCCUUCUUCAUUAGCCUUGAGAAUGGUUGACACCUUCCAGAGAGAUUUGAGAUGAAUCAUCGUAUGUAAGCUAGUCUUCCUUGCAGCCCCCGCAGCUCCCUUAAAUUUCGAGGGGGAGGCAUCUCACGGAUUGCCUUGAUUUUUGAGGGAUCAAUUUCAAUUCCACGAUGUCGGACGAUAAAGCCAAGGAAUCUACCAGAACUUACCCCAAAUGCACAUUUUAAGGGGUUCAUUUUCAACUGGUGCUUUCGGAGUCUAUCAAAAACUCGUUUUAAGUCCCUCAAAUGAUGUUCUCUUUUUCUGGUUUUGACAACCAAAUCAUCAACGUAGCAUUCAAUGGUAUUGUGAAGCAUGUCAUUGAAAAUUACCGUCAUGGCUCUUUGGUAAGUCGCCCCUGCAUUUUUCAACCCAAAAGGCAUCACAGUGUAGCAAUAUAUUCCUUUUGGAGUGCGGAAGGCAGUUUUCUCUUGAUCCUCUGGAGCCAUUUUUAUUUGGUUGUAACCUGAGAAUCCAUCCAUAAAUGAUAGAGCACCGAAACCGGUUGUUGCGUCUACCAAUAAUUCUGUAAUUGGGAGUGGAAACUCAUCUUUUGGGCAUGCAUCAUUGACGUCUCUAUAGUCCACACAUAUGCGUAGUGCCCCAGUUUUUUUGAGGACUGGGACGAUAUUGGACAACCAGGUGGGAUAUUGGACCUCUCUGAUAAAACCCGCGGCAAUAAGCUUGUCAAUCUCGAUUUCUAUUUGGAUUGUUAGCUCUGGCCGAAAACGGCGUGGAGCUUGCUUCACCCAUCGAGCCUCAUCCGGUAUCCCAAGUUUGUGAACUGCAACGUUUGGGUCUAAACCUGGCAUGUCUUGAUAACCCCAUGCAAAUACAUCUCGGUACUCUUGUAACAGUUGUGUGUAUUCUUCUAACUCUUGCGGUGUUAACAAAGCACUGACAAAGAUAGGCUUUGGGUUGUCAACCGUACCGAGAUUAAUUUCUUGCAGAUCAUCAAUUGUGGCUUGACCUCCCUCCUCCAUUUGUGGUGGAGCUGGUUGGACUAUGUCGAUGAAUUCCUCAAUAUCUUGAGGACUAUCAUCUUGGUCCACUGUUUCUUCGCAAGAGGUGCAAUUGACCUGGACAAGGUCAUCCUUUAUUUUCACCCUUUUGAUCGUUUCGAUCACAGCUUUCUCUUGACUCUUAACUUUCCAUUUCCUUUUAUUAUGGACCUUUCCUUGUUGAGAACUGGAAGGGUUCUCCAAGCGUUGAAAGACUGAGAUGCGGGGUGGUUGUCUGCCCCCUAGGCGUUUGAACACGGAGAUGCGAAUCGGCUUUAUAUUCACCUCAUCUUCUCUAAACAUGGCUUGUUCCAUAUUAGUGAGUAUCUCAGGCUCGGAGGCUUCUAGAUGUGGCCUUCGAAGAGCCACUUUGAGUCCACUACUCUCAUUUUGAACUGUGAGGCCAACAUUGCUUUUCUUUGCUUUUCGGCCUUUAAGUUCUAUCUUUAAUGGAGCAGAUGUUGUUUCUGACAAUGAUGCCUUUUUGUGAAAAACUACACGUUUACUUGGGCCAUCGUUUUUGCCAAAAGUAGUCUAAAUGACCAAACUGCCCCCAGGGAUAGACUGAUUGAUCUUACGAAGAGGACGAGUGUAACUUGCUGUUAUCAGUGACUCCAUUGUUUGUUUCAAUGAGCUUGUUUCCUUUUCACUAGGCUCCUUUUUUGAAGUCUUCACAAUUAUCUUUGGCUUGGGAGCCCUUGCAGUCGGGACUUCUCCCACUUUUGAGGAUGACGCACCACGAGGUUUUAGCUUCACUCGGAUUACUUUUGAAGGUUUAGAUACUUCUACAUUUUGGGCUUUUCCUGUUUCAACAGUCGCUCUUUUCUCUUUAUCAACCUUUGAUGGCUGUGUAAAUGAGAGACCAAGUGGGCUGUAAAACUUCGCAUCAGAGUAAUUUACCUCUUCCCCUUUGAACGGGUCCAUGUCAGCUGAAACACUCUUGACUUCCCCAUCCACCAAGUAUUUAAAGCACUGGUGAAGUGUAGAAGGGACUACGCCAUAUGUAUGGAGCCAUGGACGUCCUAGCAGGACGUUGUAUGAAGUAUCAGCCUCGAUCACAUGGAAUAGGGCGUCUGAAUAUAAGUCUCCUAUUUCCAUUUGCAAUGCGAUAGAGCCCAUGGCCUUUUGCCCAAGUUGAUUGAACCCUUGAAUAGUCAACAUAGAGGGAGACAACUGUCGGGCACUCAUCCCUAUAGCAUGGAGCGUCUUUAAUGGGAUAAUAUUCACGGCCGAACCACAAUCUAACAAGAUUCGAUUAAUGGUUGUGCCUCCAACUUCGCCAGUGACAUACAGAGGUCGAUUAUGGAAUUUGGACCCAAGUAAAAAGUCAUCUUCACCAAAGGUAAUUGCUGCCAGACAUGAUGCACAAAACUUCGAUGUUUCAGUUGUGUGGACAUCUGCUGAUUUGAAACAUGACUUAUACAAAUCUGGGUUCAUUAAAGCCAUUACAAGUGCCUCCCUAAGUUCCCUCGACAUUUGUAAAGCGUCGUAGACACUUAGAGGAGCGGGGAUGCGCUUAAGAUGAGCUAGAAUAUCAUACUUAACUAUAUGUGAUUGUGAUGGCUCCUUUGCUUUACUAGUAUCGGGCUUAGAAUCCUUUGCUUUUGGAGAGGAAGGUGGAACUUCCCCUGCAACAGUUUUUCCUGACAAGAAGACCUUAAUCUCUUUCGCCUUUGGCUUCUUCUCGGUUUUAGAGGGAUCAACUUCCUCAUUUUGUUGUGCUUUAUCAGCAGAUGGGAUGCUUCGACCGGAGCGGAGAUUAACCUCAUCAACUUCUGUGUCGACCUCAUAUUCCUCCAAAGAAACCAUGUUGCAUUGAAUGAUUUCUUCCUCACCUUCAGAUUCACUCGAGAAAAACUCAACUGGCAAAAACUCAGUGAGUGUGACAGGGACCCUUGCGGGUUGCUCAUAUUCAUCUUCUUGGGUGAUUUGAACUUUCUUUUGCACUCUCUUCUUCCUCCUCUUAUUUUUCAAGGGUGGCAUGCCUCGAAUCUUGACACCCGGACGAGUCGUAAAUCUGUGAUUGGGUGGGAGAUAUUUAGCCAUGUGCUUGGCCCUUUUAACAAAUGUCGUCCACCCCUCAGCAAAUUCGUCGGUUGAAGAAUCUUCCCAUAUUUCUAGACUAGGGGCAGCCACGAGCUCAUGAAGAGUAGGAAUUUGAAGAUCAUUAGACCAUGGUGCCUUCGGACAAGUAUGUACGAUUGUACCCCGAUGGUCGGUACUAAUACCUGCAAUUUUCGCUCCAUCUAGUAAUGCAGUGAUGGGUGUGAGCUUUUCUUCUAUCAUAUUUGCCGUAGCUGAAUGAUGUCGGGAAGAGGAGUCUAUCUCCAAGCCGCCAUUGUUGAGGAGCUCUUGGAUUUUAUCCUUCAGGAUAUAACAAUCCUUGAGCGUAUGACUGACAAGGCGAUGAUAUCGACAAUACCUAGGGUCAUCUGUCUUGUUGGCCUCAGCAGGACGUUUUGAUUCUGGCAGAGCAAUAGCAUUGGAGGCCAGAAGUUGGUCAAAGAUUGCUUCUACAUCAUCAUCAUCAAAAGAAUAUUUGACCUCUUUGCGUUCUUUAAGAGUUAGCCUUUUAGGUGGGUCUUUGUUUUGGCCUUUGUCAUUUUUCUUUUCAGUUUUGACGAAAGUGGCCAACGACUCUCCUUUCAUGGACUUCUUGUCAUUUUUCUUUUCCCCAAAUUGAAUUUUUUGGGACGCGGACUUUUGGCGAGCAAUUUGUCUUUCAACAUUGCUCGCCUUUGACACCAAAGCGUCAAAUGAUUAGGGUUCAGCAGUGGCGACAAAAGUCGCAAUGUCUGGCAUGAGGUUAUUGUAGCACAUUUGCACUGCUGAUAGCUCAGUAAUUUUCUCAGGGCAUUGAAGAUUGAGACUCCUCCAUCUCAUAAUAAAGUCAUUAGCACUUUCCCCUGGCUUUUGGGCAGUUUGAGCUAGGUCCAUGAUCGAGACCUUCUUUUUAGAACUGACAAAUUGUGCCAAAAAUGCUUUUUGCAUGUCGUCCCACGUCAAGAUAGAGCCUGGCGGUAGCUGUGUAUACCAAGUGAAAGCUGAUCCUUUUAGGGAUUGGACAAAUUGACGCACCAGGAGAGCGUCUGACUGAGAUGUCUCGCCACAUGCUAAGUAAAAAUGUGCCAGAUGUUCAUGGGGUGAGCUAUUUAUGCCAUCAAAUUUAUCAAAUAUGGGCCGUUGAUAACCCUUCGGGAAUGGUAUGGCGUCAUAGUGAGAAGGGAAGGGUUUUCGGUACCCUUGAACAGGAAGCGCUAUGGACAAUUGGAACUCACGAAUCCCCUCAGCAAUUAAUGCCUUCAUGUCGUUUGGGGAAAUUGUGCUUGUAGAGCUCUCUGCUUUUUCCUCUUUUGUUUGUUGUUCAUGGGUCAUCGAUUCAUUUGUUUUGCCCCUGUCUUGCUCUCCUAUGACGGCUUUCCCUUUCAACUUAGCUGAUAGUAACGCUAUUUCCGCGUCUUUCUCUGCUAACUUCUGCUGCAUUUCCUUUCGCAAGUCUUGCAUCAUCUCUUGGAUUAAGGGCAACUGGUCCUCAGUAUUAGAAGUACCAGUCAUCAUGACUUGCAUGCUUUCCACCCCGUCAUGAAGUUUGGCCCCUUGGGAUACUACACAAUCAUUCUCUUGAUUUUGAGAUACAGGAUCAUCAUAAAGAGGAUUCCAUUGCAAAUAAUCGUCCAAACGGGUUGAGUUUGGAGCGGAUAACUCGGGAAUAGUCAUCCCCAUCAUGUCUCGGGAUUUGGAACGAGUCAAUGGACCCAUGUAGGGCCUUGACAGCUCUUGAGAUUUCGGGACUCCCCCUUGUGAUACGGGAUUUUGAUCCCUUGAAGCAUCAGUUGUCGUCACCUUUUGCAUACGCCUUCUUUGUGGAUGAGGUAUAUUCACCACCUUCUUCUCCAUGAUGAUGGCUUUGUUUUUACCCUUAGAAGAGCACGGGUAAACCUCUUGUGAUAUGGAUUCCACAGCGUGGGUUUUUGGACUUGACGGAGGUUCGGCCCCCUGGGCCUCAGCGUUCUCCACAGAGUCGUCCUUUUGACCUUUCUCACUAGUUUCAUUGGUGGAAGUCAUCAGAACAGAAUCUGUAGGAUAUAGGUCGACCGGGAUUGAUCCAAUCAUGAUUUGGACCAAUUGGGUAGCAUUUGUCCUCUUGGAAGUCGGCACAGCCAGGGUGCUCGAGGUGUUCUUGCCUUCAGUCACAAACGGGCUUGUCCCCGAAAGCUCAACCAAAACUGCCUCAAUAGACUCCCUCUUUGCUUCUUUCUUUCCUAAAGCACGCGCAGCCCUCUUUCUUGCAUUUCGGAGAGCGUUCUUGGAAGGUGCUUUCUUCAAUUGGGUCUUGACAACCUUAGGAGUGACCUGAGGCUUGACCCUCUGAAUGGGCUUUGGAACGGCGCACUUGAUGAGGCUCUCACCAACAAUGAAAGUCUUUUUGAACCCCACUCGUUUGGUGCACGCAUUCCAGGUAGCUUCGAUCUUGUGGAAGAAAAUUGUAACUUGUGGUGCCAUCGAAUAUGGUUUUGUUAACCUGUGGCAUACACAAAAAUAAAAACAUUAGUCACUUUAUGAUUGGAGAUGAAAAGGUAAAUGGAUCCCACCGGGCGUGCCAAAAAUUAUGUUGAAGGAAAAUGUGAUCCUCCUAAUAUAAUUUCACCACCACUAAUUAAAUAACGGGGUUUUAUUAUUUUAGGUUCGACCCAUUCGAGACGCAAGUCUCUUAAUUACAAUCCCUUGCUUCAAGGGAACACCCUUUGAUUCCAUCAUAAAGAAACAGAACGUUUGUGUUUGAUUUUGCAACUGCUCCCAAGUCCAACCUCAGGAUGCCUACGUAUCCCUUGCGGGAAUCAAGCCACUCGUAGUUCAAAGAAUCGCAAUGAAUAAAUGACUCAUUGCGAGGGAAAUUUGAUUUGAAUUGUACUGAGAAGUGUUUGAGUGAAUUUAGCUGAAUAAACCAGGGAUUCGAUAUGGGAUUGCAUUUGGGAUGGUUGCAUCUAGAUUGAAUCUCUAGAUUGCCUACGUACCCUUUCAAAGGGAUCAAACCAACGUAGUUCGGAAUUUGGAAAUCAACGGGCAAGUGUGGCCCACUAAUUGAGAAUUUCUGUUUAAGAGACUUGGAUUUAAUCUCAUUAGAGUUUUCAUGGGUAGAUGACCCAUGGAAAAUUGGAUGGUUUUGUACCACUUUCGUUGUUGUCCAUGUCCAAGAAAAAUAAUGAGUAAUUUUAAUUAUCCCAUUAAUUUUUCCUAAACAUUGACAAUUGCGUUUGGGGAUUUCCAUAGGUAGAUGACCUAUGGGAAAAUUUGGAAAUUAAUGGAUAAGUGUGGCCCACUAAUUAAGAAUUUGUAUUUGAGAGAUUUAGAAUUACUCUCAAUGAAAUUUUGCAUGGGUAGAUGACCCAUGGGAAAUAUUAGAAAUUAAUGGGUAAGUGUAGCCCACUAAUUGAGAACUUGAAUUUGAGAGAUUUGAAUUUAAUCUCAAUGAAAUUUGUAUGGGUAGAUGACCCAUGAAAAAUUGAAUGGUUUUGUACCAUUUUUCUGGUUGUCAAUGUCCAAGAAAAAUAAUGAGUAAUUUUGAUUAUCCCAUUAAUUUUCCCUAAAAAAUUGACAAUUGCACUUGGGAAAGUGUUUUUUUUUGGCGAAAUCUGGUUAAGAUAAGCCAGAGAUUUAUACUUGAUUGCGGUUGCGUCUAUUGGGAUGUUAGACUGCCUACGUACCCUUGACGGGAUCAAACCGACGUAGUUCCAAAUUUAGGAAGUUAAUGGGUAACUGUGGCCCACUAAUUGAGAAUUUGUGUCUUUGGGACAAUUUGGAGAUUUUCAUAGGUAGAUGACCUAUGGAAAAAAUUGGAAAUUAACGGGUAAGUGUAGCCCACUAAUUAAGAAUUUGUGUUUGAGAUAUUUGAAUUUAAUCUCAUUUGGAAUUUGCAUGGGUAGAUGACCCAUGGAGAAAAUUGGAUGGUUUUAUACCAUUUUUCUUUUUGUCAAUGUCCAAGGAAAAUAAUGAGCAAUUUUGAUGAACCCACUAAUUCUCUACAAUUGACAUUUGCAUUUGUAUCCAUGCAUGAUUUGGAGGAUUUGAGAUUAAUGGGCUUUUUUGAUCAACAAAACCCAUUAAUCCAUAUUGAUGCUCCUUUAAAAUCUUUUGGGAGUUGAGCUUAAUGCUCCGCGUGUGACAAAUAAUUUAUUUGGACUGGAGUCACCGUCACAGCAUGGUUGAGUCACUUGGCACUCUUUUCUGAAUCGCUUCUUUGCCACAAUGGUUGAUUCCCACAUUUCUUAGUGUGGCUUUUGAAGUGGUUUUGUACCCCUUGACAUCUGGUGUGGUUUUGUACUACUUGAGUCUUCACUUGACGUUGAGUCUUCACUUGACGAUUUGAGAAUUAAUGGGCAUUUUUGGAAUUUAAGCCCAUAAUCCAUCAUUUGCGGACUUCAGGAAUUGGAGACUCAAAGGAAAUCUCAAACAAAGUGGCUGACGCCAUUUGACUUUUCUUCCCUUAUUUCGGUGCGAGUCUUCCUCUUCGUUUAUUUGUUGUUGCCAUGUGCAGCACCAAGCCAAUCCCUCUUUCGUCUUUCUUUGGUUUUGACUUGUUUUUUUUUUCUUUGUUUUUGGUUUGCUGCACAACACCAAGCUGCCAACAAGACGUGGCUAUCCUUUUUUCUUCAUUUUGUUUGUUUGUUGUUGCUAUGUGCAACAACACCAAGUUGCCAAAACGUGGCUGUCUUCAAUAACUUUUUUUUUUUUAGUUCACGUGUCUGUAUGGCAACAUCAGUGGUUUGAACAAGUUGGUUGUCUUGAGCCUUUCCUCCACCCCAUAUGACGAGCAGCAUUUCUUGACUUCCACAAGUCUGCAAAGGGAACUAGCCUUUUUCUUGAUGGUGGAUCAUUGUUAUCACAAAAAAAAUGAUAUUUGUGUGCCUUAUCCAGCUGGUUCUUUUCGGCUUGGUGCCAAAAGUAAAUGUCUUUUAAUUUGAUCAAGACACCCAAGGGAUAGAAAUUCUUCUCCAAGUGAAGUAUGGAUUAAACUCCUUAUUGAUUUGGAGCUGGUGGAUCAUCCAGUGAAGUAAACUUCUUGUCCACAUAGGAUUGGGUUGUCUUCCUUAUAAAAAGGAAAACAUGUGUGCACCAGCAAACAGCCACAAAACGAAAGUCUUAACAUUAUUCUUCGUUUGCUUCUCCAGACCAGCCCAUAGCUUUGCUCAAGCCACUUGUUGCACCAUCAAACAGAAGAGGAUUUCACGUGGUAACCCACAUGCCAUUCCUUAGUUCUUCUCUUUUAUUUUAUUUAUUGAUUGAACUAACUAGGAUUUUUUUGGCAUGGGCAGCAAUAGCUGUAGCAAUUGAAGAGCCUCCAAUUAAUUGGAUGCUUCCGGGCUGACUUGGAACCAAAAGAGACAAUUUCUCUUAUUGUCCUUUGUGUGCUGUAACCUUCCCAAGGUCAAUAACCCAAGACAAAGGGAAAGAGAAAUCAUCUUGCCUUUCACGUGGUAACCCACCCCUUGACAAAUGUCUUUUUUCUUUUGUCUGUUUCCAUGUUUCUGACCUCUUGUCUUCUCUUUUGUAUGUAGAGGCUGUGCUGCCAGCUUGAAGGCUUUGGAGUUUGGUGGAGGAAACCAUCUGUCAUUUUGCUUCAGAAACCCAAGAAAGAACUUGUGGUACUUGCUUUGCCAGCUCCUCUUUUUUUUUGUUUGCUAUUGCUGUACUUUUACCACUGCUCAUAUCCAUUUCUUUUACUCAAUUUCCAGUCAAAGAAACAUUCAAGAGGGGGAGGAGGGGCUGUGCGAUACAGCCCCCCUUUUUUUUUAUUCCAUCACCUUUUUUUAUGUCCCUUGUUUUGUCUCUUUGCAAACAAAACACAAGAACAAAGUCAGCCACCAUUUUUUUACUCCAUUAUUUCUUCUUCCUUACUCCUUUUUUUCAAUCAAAGCAGACCAACAGAGGGAGGGAGGGCUGUGCGUCACAGCCCCCCUUUUAUUUAUUUUUUUUUUCAACUCCUCUUUGCAGCAAAACACAAGAAGCAAACCCACCAUUUUCUUUUGCUCCAUUACCUCUCCCUCCGCUGGCUCUCUUCUCCUUCUCUUUUUGUCUUUUUUUCCUUCUUUGUUGACUUGCUGGCGGCAGCUGCCCAUAGGGAGGCAAUUCAAUUGCCGUGCGCCCCUUUUGGUUUCGGAUGCUUCAUACAAGCCUUCUCUCUUUUGAUUUUGAUCCCAUGGUGGGUUCAUCUCUACAUCCAUGAUUUGAGGGAUUCUUUGCUCCUGGAAGAGCUUAUUUGAUGGUGCAUGAUGGAAUAGACUAUGCCAUAAAACAUGAUGAUUGAAAUCAUCAUGUAAGGCAAACUUGAAAACACUGCUGGAGUUCUUUGAGCGGAGCCAAGCCUCGGAGAGAUUCUUCCUUGGUUAUGAUGAUUUCAAUCAUCAUAGCCAAGAAUUUAUGUGGACCUUUUUAUGAUGAUAGAAAUCAUCAUGGUCAGGAACCCUUGAGUUGAAUGGAACCUGAAAUCUUGAGCAAAAAAUCAGAACAUGGUGCCAUGGAACUAAUCUUUUUACCUUGAAAUGGCUCUUUCCUUUCUCAAGGCUGCUUGCUAAUUUUUCUUCUUGCUAUGACUGUUCUCCUUUCUGCUCUUUUUCUGUCCUCCUGCUGUUCUCCUCCCUUUCUUCCUUCUUUUUUUUUUCUCCUGCUGUUCUCCUCCCUGCGUUUUUUCUUUUUUUUUUUUUGUCCUCCCCUCGUGUCAUGCCUCUUAUAGAGGCUAUCUUAUGAUGAGUUUUAAUUCCAGCUGAUGACCACUUCUCAACUGAGAUACUUAUCUCUUGUUGUUUCAAAACCACUGAAAUACAUCUAUUUUAUUUUUAAAUGUUUUUCUUGAUAAGAUUGCAGGGACAAAACAAAUUCAAUCCUAAACCAAGUCAAACUCUUGGCUAAUUGUUUUUUGUGAAAAUUUUCCGUUCAACAGAUGCCUUCUCAAGCGUUGUGCAUGAAAUGACUUUUUAUGUGCAACGCUUGAUAGCUUUUCCUUUGAACUGCGCAUCCCCUGACUUUUCUUGUAUUAAUUAAUUUUUUUUUUGGUUGAAAAAUUCAGGAAAUGGACGCGCAAGGUCGAUUCGGGUUUGAGCGAGUCUUUGAUUCGCAUGGUAGGGAAUUUGUCUCUGGCCCCCAAUAUGCGAGAUCACUGCCUUUGAGAUCUGUGAAGCUUAAUGUACCCCCUGAAGGCCGUGCAACCUGGUAUACCACCGCCUCCGUAAAUUCGGGGUAUCUUGAAUUCAAACCCCACGCAGAAGAUAAGGUGAUUUCAGUAUGCCAAACGCAUCGUGCUGUGUUUACCGCCCAUUGUUUGGAGGAUGUGAAUAAUGAAGUGGAUGGAGACAUGAAAUUCCAAAUCAAAGAUCUUCCCACACGUGAUGAUUUUUACCCCGCUUUGCAUAGAAUGAUCAAGAGUAAGUUGGAGUGGGGGCCCCAGUAUCAGUUCUAUGGCCGAGCCACUUUUGAAAUUGGCGUUGCGGAGUGGACAAAAUGCGUUAUGAGUGACUUUGGAGACAUAUUGCAUAAGGCAAAAAUAUAUUGUGCCGUAGCAAUUUCCCGAUAUCCUUACGAGUGUUGCCCAAAUAUAUGGAGAGCAUUUUGUGAAUUAUGGGGGCCCUUGUGCAACACCUUUCAUCAUGGCAAUGGUGAGAUGGGGAUUUCUCUCUAUGACAUGAAAGUCAUUUGUGGGUUGCCAAUCUUGGGAGAUGUCCAGUAUGAGGAAUUUAUUCCCCAAAAUAAAGACUUGCAACAAAAUGGAGCAUAUCCUCCGACUAUCACUGAACUUUUGAAGAUCCACUCCCAAUUAUGUAUUUAUCAUAAUCAGUCUACCGUCAGCUGGGCCCAAUGGAUUGGGCACUUUUAUCGGGCGAAGAUUAUUUAUAAGGCCUUUGGGAAUGGCAAGAGGAAACCUCAAGAUCAACUUUUAAGGGCUCCCGAAAUCACUUUACGUAUUUCAAAGGAAGGGGGGUUGGCUGCAUUCUUGGCACUUUGGUUGAGUAGAUUUGUGUUACCUUCCGUGGAUCGCAACGUCAGACCUGAAACUUUUCAUAUGGCAUGUUUGAUGGCACAAGGGGUCAGAGUUUCACUUGCACCACCUGUUUUGGGGUAUAUUUACCAUGGUCUUGGAGAAAUUGCCACUCACCCAGAAGGUCCCAGCUUGUCAAGUGCUUCCUUCCCAAUUCAUUAUGUUAUCGGUUGGUUAGGCGAACAUAUUCCAGGAUUGUACCUACCACAAACUGACAAGGAAUUUGUCAAAGACUACCCUUUUUUGGUGAGGUACGCGGGUGUUAAGCCAAAAGGUUUUAGGCUUAAUCAUGCCAGAAUUAUAUUCCGUAGUGACAAAGAAUUAAUCUAUCGCCCAACCACGUUUACUGAAGAUGAAGGCCGUUCCUUUGUUGACAAGAAGGCUCUAUCAGACAGAAAAUUUGAAUUUCUAGUUUGCACACGUUAUGCGCUUUUGCCGGUGAGGGUGAACAACAAUCUUUGGUUGGAACCAUACUACCCGAAUAGAUUCGCGCGUCAAUUUGGUUUUGACCAAGGUGUCCCUUCGAACAAGCUUUCCUUUAGCGUUCGUGACAGGUGCAAGUGUGGCAUGGAGGAUUUGGCCAUAGCACAAAUCACUUUACUUAGAAGAGAUACCACAGCUGGAUUUUAUAUCCCACGCUAUACUCGUGUUGGAGUUUGCACUUGGUGGUAUUGCAAAUGGUGGAUGGGGUCAUCAGCACUAUAUAUGGGAUUAUCUGUAGCUAGAAUUUUCUUGCCUUCUAGAAAACACCUCGAAAGGCACGAUAAUAUUUUUAUUGUUAGGCCGGAGAAUCAAGGCCCCACAAGUUGUCAAAAAGAGGUCUCCAACAAACGUCAUUCUUCGCGUAGUGACAACAACAAGAGUCCAAAACGAAUUCGAAGCCAGAAUCUUGACCAUCCAGUUGAUGAGGGAGUCAGUUCCUCCCAUGCCGAUGCUGCUACUCUUAUCAGAGACUUGGUUUUCCCCAUGAAUGACGGGCCAUCCGAACAAGGUAGUACCACGAACUUCCCAAGUGAAGCAGAUGAUGCUCAAGAAGUGAGCAAUGAACUGAAUGCUACAGUCGUUGCUCCUGAUGUGAGUAAUGAUCCAAAUGAGACAGACGAUAUUGUUGAAGAUGACUGCCCCUUGCCAUUGGUAGAAUACUUGCCCUCCUCACCUUAUGUGAAGAAUUUCAUUCACCGCAUUCUUGGUCCAAGUGUGGCUCCACGUAGGCGAAGGUUCAUUGCUGAGGAAAUGCAAGACAUCUUUGAUAGAAUUUCUUCUUCCAAAUCACCUAUAGACCUACUAGCUCACCGUGAUCAUAUUUUGGGGGCACUUGGUCUCUUGCGACCUAUGAUUAAUACCCUUGAAUCAGGCCAGGAUGAGUUUCAGGAAUUUGAAACGACUAUCCAACACAUUUUCGAGUUGGUCACUUCAUUUUCCAAGAACGUUGCCUUUGUGGGAGAACAUGCCCAUCUAGAUGUUGACCGCAUCAAUGCUUUGAUCACCCAAUAUGAGCAGUGCUUCGCUGCCAUAAAAACCAUGAGCGUGCAUCUAAUAGAACUUAAUAGUGAGCUUGCUGAUGUGAAUGCCACAGUGGUUGAUGUUGAAAAGGCAGAGAAGGAAGCUGAAGAGGCAGCAAGACGAGCUCAUGAAAUGCGACAACAGUUUGAAUCGAAGACAAGUGCCCUUAAAGAACGUGCAAACGAUUUGCAGCAAUCUUUAGACCAACAAUUCGAAAAGGAAAUUGGGCUUCGACAAUAGUCGCAUUUUCUUAGAAUCCAAACGGAGCCAAAAUUAAAAGAAAAUCAAACAAAAACAAAAAUUAGGAGGAUGAUGACUGACUUGUUGAGGAGGCGCAUACUCGGACUGGUACUCUUCCUCGUUUCUGAGGAUUCUGAGGAUGUUAGCUUCCAUGGGCGACUUGGGAAGUGUCUCAGACGCGUAAGGUCUGUUUUGGAAGAAAAAGGCUGAGAUUGCUUUCCGCAGUUGCAGCGGAGGAUUUCGGUGGUGUUGAAUGCCAUUGGUUUCCUUUAACAAAUGGGUAAGUUUCUGAUUUUGUGCAGAGUUUGGUUCCCUAUCACCAAAAGAUCAACAUUCAAAGUCAAUCUCCCACCAUCUGCCACUGUCAUCCUUCCCUAAAUUAUCAUUCACUCCACCACCAACAAUGCCUUCAAUUUCCUCCUCUUCGCUUUCACCAUCAAUCUCAUCAUCCCAGUUAUGCACACUUUGGUCCUCAUCUGGCUUGUACGUCUACUCCAAUCUCUUCAACACAUCACGGUCUUUCCAUUUCCCCACAACCGACACUGCCUCCUUCUUCGCCUUCCCAAUUAGAAUUUCGUUCCAAGAAAACCCCGAAUCCGCAACCUUCUUCAGAGCCCCGUCGCCAAAUCCCCCAUAACCACCGUCUUGAGGCAUCUCAGCUUGGCCUCCAUCACAACAUCCACGAAAUCCAAAUCAUCCGACACAAGCAUCAAACACUCAGCUCUCCUGUGAUCCAUCAUAUCCACAAUGUGAUUCCUCAAUGCAGCAUCCGCCCUCUGAGGUUUAUCCACCACGCUCCGAACCCAAAACCAGCCCGCUUCACCUCAUCCGCCAAACCCCUCCCUGCCUUGGGUGUCAAAACAUCCCUUGCAGCAUUCUUAUACUUUUCCAUCUUCAUUGAAUACUUACCAACCAGCUUCACCCUCCUGCUCCCUCUAGCAGACUCAAUCUGGCUCAACCUCUUCAUAUGCUCUUUUUCAUGAAUCUUAAAGUGGUUCAAAAGCUUCUCAUUAGUAUAAAAUCUCCUCCCGCAAACCCUACAAACGUUCAGUUCACCAUCCCUAAUCACAACCCUGUUCCUCUCUUUCCUUUCCCUAACAACCUGUGGAACAUAAUCAAGUGCAUGGCGGUUUGCAUAUGCUAUCAUAUGCCGAACAAGCCUGAAAGACGAAGCUGCCGUCUUGAGCUUAACGGCAGCUUCGUAGGGCGAGACUGAUUUGGGUGGUUUGGUAUCCAAAUCCCAGAAAAUCGCAAUUUCUGGAAUUUUUUCGGGUGGCAAACACGAUGUUGGGCUCGAAGAAUUAAAACCCGGUUCUGAUUGGAAAUGGCAAUAUCUAAUCAACAGGGUAAAUGGGUUUAGGGUUUCUGACCUUUUGGAUUGAACUGUACAGAAAAUGUGGUGAAAUUUGAGAUGUUUAAGCAUUUCCACGGGUUUCAAGGUCGGUGUUUUUUAUUUUCGAUGAACUGCAAAAAGAAACAAGAGACCAAUAAACGAUAAUAGAGAAACCAGAGGAAACAGAGAGCCUUGUGAACUUGAAGCUUACGAGUAAGCAUUGAGUUUUCGCCGAGUUCGGCUCGUAUGAAUGUGACUUGGUUUUUUAGCGGGUUUUUCCUUUUUCUCGUAAAUUCGUUUUAAAACCCGAUUUUACAAAUUCGCUAAUUUUUCCUUCCUCUAUAAACUCAAAAUGGAAAAACAAUUUCACUAAACUCAACCAAAAAAAAAAAGAAGAAUUUAUCUUGCCUAUCCUCUCUCUAGAAUGCUAGGUAUGAUGAAUAUGGCUUUUUUUAUCUUUUUAAUUCUUUAAGUUUUAGUAACGAUUGUGAUGAAAAUUAUACUUAAAAAAUAGUAAAAGAUAACAGUGAACAAAGCCAAACAAUCCAAAUAGUAAUAUAAACCCAAAUAUUAAAUUGCACUGAAAUUUCGUACCUGGAGGCAACUGAGGAAUGGGAUCAGGCAGAGAGAAAGGUUCAGGCUCUGGAUCAGGCAAAAAUCAAAGCUUUUUACUCUGAAGGCGCUCACGAAGGCCAGAUACGCCGUGAGAGAAGGAGACUUGGGGCAAUUCCUUCAAAUUGUACACAUGUUUUCUUUGAGAAGCAAAGCUCUAGUAAUAAGGAAGUUGGUCGAGGUCGUGACAGGGAUGAUUGAUGGUGUGAAAUGGAUGCUAUUUCUUAUGGCAAGGCCAACUCUAUAAAUGAAAUUUGCUAUCCCUUCAAAUUGUACACAUGUUUUCUCUUUGAGGAAUCAAACAGUAUUCUGAUGACAUUAUUUACAAUGAGGAAUUUGGAAUUAGUUUCUAGAAUAAAUUGUUUGGUUGGUCAUUAAAAAUAUUAAUUUCUUGUGUUAAGAAAAUUACACUUUAUAUGUAAUGGUGGGGUUGGGGAAAAGAAAGAAAUCUGCAAAUAAUAACACACAUAACACAAGUCAUGUAGAUAUUAUGUUGAAGUUUUGAAGAAGCUCAUCUAUAUACUGAUUAUAAUAUAAAAAAAGUUAAACAUUCAAAAUUCCACAAAUUGUCGUAGUUAAUGAAAAUGUUAAAGGAGAAUGCAAUUCAUUAAUUAAGAUAAAAUAAUACAUUCACAAUGUGUUUAAAUUGAAAUAAAUAAAUAAAGAACACAAGAAAAGUUGCUCAUAAAACUAAGAGAUAAUCACUUUCAAAACUUUACACUAUUUUGGAUAAAUUUUAUUUAAAAAGUUAUAAACUCAAUUUUUAACAAUUAAAAAAACAAAAUAAUAAAAAUAAAAAAUAUCCAAUUGGCACACACUAAUGCGUGUGGCAAGGAGCUAGUUAUAUUUAUACGAUGAAACAACGAAGUACAUAACAUGUUGAUGUCAAAAUUUGAUCAACGAGACUAAAACCAUAAAGCCAUAAAAACACACGAAAAAACACUCACAAUAUAACGUUGUUCACUCAAAUUCAUGUUUCGUUUAGGAUCACUAGUGUAGGUUUCACCAUACAGUUUAUUUUGUUAAGGAAUAUUAUAGGUUCUUAUAUUCUUACAAUAAAAAAGAAUAUUAGGUUCUGAUAUUCUUACCAUAAAAUUGGCUCAAAUUGAUAUGUUCCCUCUUUUUUUUGUUUCUCUCUUUUCCUUUUCAUUUUAUGCUUUGCUGUGCUAUUGCUAAGUUGAUCCGACAGCUAGCAAUAACUUCCCCACCUUUCAUUUUAUGCUUUAUUGGUGACCAGGGAUGCUUAGCAACUUUCUUCAUCCGCCCUUCUUCCCAUGUACUAACCGGUGAUAGGUCAGCAUCUUAGAUAAGAAUCCCAACCCAAUCAAACAGUGACAUCUGUAAAUAUUCAAAAUUGGAAUUUGCUGGUGAUAGUUGAUGAUUGCAUCUUUGUCCGACCAAAAAUAAAAAGAAAAAAAAAAUUGGAAUUUUGCUGGAGUUGCUUCCUUGACUUUUCCACCUUUGUAUGCAGUCCAUUUUACACAAGGAGCCACGUUUGAGAGAUAGCAAUAAACAUGUAGAGAUGGAUAAAUAGAGAGGGAGAAAGAGAGGGAGCGAGCUUUCUGUAUUUACACCGUUCAGGGGAAAAGAAAAAAAACUAUUUCAUGCCAAACUAACUACGGAUUCUUUAAUUGAAAAAAUAACCACAUAUUAAUCAUCCUUUGGAACAUAAAUGCCCCGGUAAUUGGCACUAAAGUAUCUAAAGUUUACGAAAUUAAGGAUUUUGAUGCAAACCUAAAUUUGGAAAAGAGGGCACCAAUUCAUGUAAAAUAUGGUGUACUUAGUAUUAGGGUAUUGUGUGAUAGAGUGCAUUAAGGUAUUUUUUGUAUACCAUAAGGUGUACUUAGUUAAUUUUACAUUUUGAUUUAAAUAUUAGGGUGUAUCUAUAUCAUAAGGUGUACUUAGUUAAUUUUAGAUUUCGUUUAACAACAACAACCACUACUACAUUUUAGUAUUUGCGCGACGAAUCCAAUUUCGUCGCGUAGACUAACUUCUAGUCGCACGAAUGCAAGCGCGACAUAAAAAUCGUCGCGCGUUAUCUGUCGCGCAAAGAUCGUGAAGAAAGACUUUGAGCGACCGAUUCUACGACUCGUCGCGCAAUUUUGUGCGACGGUUAUCCUUCGUUACACAAAAGGUUCAGAGACGACGAAAACGUUCGUCGCACAAAAUUACGCGCGACGAAAGUAGAUUCGUCGCCACAACAAUGCACGGCGAAUAAUUUUCAUCGCGCAAUACGUCUCGUAGACAUUUGCGGCACCAAGAGUUCAUCGUCGCGCAAUUCGGUACACGUAUUGCGCGACGAAACAAUCACUACAAGGAAAAUCCCUUUUAGCGACGAAACAGGAUGGUCGCUAUAACACCAAAUUUCGUCGCCAAAGAAAAAUAGCGACGAAUAUUUUUGGUUGCCAAGGUCGUCGUGGAAAGCUCGUGGCUAAAAGAUACAAUGCGACGAAAUAGGAUUUCGUCGCUAAAAGAUUUUGGCGACCAAAUGUGUCGUCGCUAAACAGCUCUAAGUUGGUCGCCUAUAGAAAGGGAGUUGCCACCAAUACCAAAAAUUCCCGCGAACAUGGAAUUAUUUGGCGACGAAAUAAAUAUUUGGUCGCCUGAAUAUUUCAGCGACGAAUUUUUUGGUCGUGAAAGAUGUAGUUUAUUUGUAGCAUAUGUUAGUUGGUUUGGUUAUUUUCAUAAUGAGCGACGAAACUGAUUGGUCGCCAAAACUAUAGGUAUUGGUAUUAUCAGAUGGAGCGACGAAAACUAAUUCGUCGCCAAGAUGUGUAUUUAUUUAUUUAUUCUAUAUAAUUAUUUAUAUUUCAAUCUUUGUAACAGAAUAUUAAUUAGUCCAUAAAGAUUUUGAAAAACAGUAAAUAGAUGAAAUUAAUAGAAAUAGGAUAAUUACUAUUCAAAAAGAUACUAGUUGUUUAAGCACACAUCAGUGUAUUCUAGAUACAAAAGUCCCCAAGGUAUGUAUGCUAGAUACAAAAACCAUCAAGUAGCUGGAUACAGAAGCCCCAUAGAACCCCCAAGGAAGGCUAGAUACAAAAACCAUCAAGUAUGUAGAUGUACACACAACCUAAUGACUAUUUCCAAUAUCAUCAAGAUCUUCAUAAACAUUACGUGAACCACCACUAUUACCUUGAUCAUCAUGACAAGGAUAAUCACCAACAUGCUGGGACGGAACUAAAUGUGAGGGUAGAGGACCAUCAUGGGUUCGCAUCCACUCAAUGACAUCCAAAAGUUUACCCACUGUGCCCUGAAGCUCACUUACUGUGCCUUUCAACUCACCAACUGUGCUUUGAAGUUCCUCAACCUUUUGCUCUGUAGCACAAGAAGAGGCAAAUCCACCACUAUGCGAACUCUCCACUCGGAGACUAGAACCCAAGCCUCGAAUCCUCUUGCCCUUUGCAACCCCAAGUUCUACAGUCAUGAUCUCUAACUGUUGUGGGAUAGGGAGUAUGACUUGAUCUAGUGGAGUUCCUGAACUCUCUGCCACUUGUUGCUUGGCUUUCUCAUACUCUUCAUUCAUCUUCUUCUACAAAAAGAAGCAAAAUAUAGAUAUGUCAAUAUAUAUAAAUGCAUAAAAAGAAUGAAGUAAAUGGGAUGCCAGUAUGAUCAAUUGUGUUCAUAAACUAGCAAUGCCAAUUAUCCUAAUCAAACAGUCACAAUUAAAAAAAAAAAAUUCAACUUGAAGCAAAUAAUAAAAGGAAAAGGCACAUAAAAAAUGGAAUAGAUCUCUUCGGAUAUGCAGAUUACAGAAAGUUUGAAAAUACUCACAGAUCUUAUAAGAUCUUUUUGAGCAUCUCCUGAAAGCAACAACAAUACAAACAAGAAAAUUCCAAAAACAGGGAUUAUAAAUAUUUGCCCAGCAACAUGGCCCCCUUAUAAUUGGGUCUAUUUUAACUUCUAAGAGCACAACGGGUUAUUAGAACUGAAUAUGUUUAAUAGGUGUUUGGAAUUGGGCCUCCAAAGAGGAAGAGAAGUACAACUGCAGCAGCUCUGUUUCAAAACGAUCUUAGCAUGCACUUUUUUUGGUUGUCAAUAUAUAAGAUCAUGAAAAAUUUAGAAAACUCAAGACACAUAUCUUCAUUGUGUUUCUAAUUAAUUAGUUCUAUUUGCAAUGGAUAAAGCCUUUAUAUGAUGCUAAAACCAAAGUACACAAUUAGCAUCUAAAAUAAUGGGCCGUCAAAAACUUGCAUGACCAGUUGGCUGAUCUUUUGGAUUGCAGAUUAUGCAAGUCAAUAGUUAAUUGUUAGCAGGUUUAUGUAUGCCUUACCCCUUUAAUUUCAGCAGCCUCGUUGAUCCACAUGCUCUUACCCUUAAGCAUAUGCAUGUUGUUCCAAUUGCUAAUGUAUGUAGGAUUUUCACCCUUCUACAUUUUCCCAACAAAAAGAAAAUUAGAAAUACUUGAAAUUAUUACAAUAUAAUAAAUAAAGAAAGAUUUAAAGUGACCAAAAAUUAUAAACCUCUCUAGCAGCUUCCAUAUGUUUUAGGAAAGGACGUGACCCCCCUGUAUGAUCGAACUCUUUCUUUUUUCUGUUCUCAGCAUUGGUCUUGCAGCGUUGCUGUUUUGAUUAAAUACAUGAAUUGUUUUUUUUUUCUUUUUUCUAUUUGAUACUUAGAAUAAGUUCCCAAUCAAAAAAAAUGAAAACAGCAGAUGUUAUGAUACAUUAAAUACCUGAUAUUGCUCAUUUGUGUACAACGUAUCAACCAAAUAAUGCCACUCUUCUAGAGUCCUUCGAGUACCAAAGAUCUUUUCAGGGGGAGGUGUUUCUCGUGCAAGAGCAGGGUCAGAAGCAUAUUGCUUAUAGUGUCUGUGGAGCUUUGCUUUCCAUUCUUUAUAAGUUGAGUGCAUAUGGUCAUUAAUAAAUUUCCAUAUAUCCGGAUCCAUUAAGUCCACAUCAAACAUGAACUAAUAUCAAUUAACCAUAAACAAAACAAGUAUUAGUUAUAAUUUUGCAAUGCAAAUAGAAACAUUGAAGGACAAAUUUUUCAGUUCCCCCUAGAAUACAAUGAAGAAUUGAAAUAAAAAGAGAGCUAAAUGAACAAAAUUAAAUUAUAAUCAACGAAGAAUUAGAUAAGAUUACCUGCAAUCCCAGUGCCAUAUCUUUCUUCAUCUCCAAGCUCACUUUUUUCAUCCCUAAAACAUUCAAUGGAGCUUUAUUGCGAGUGAUUAACCCAAUCUCAGAGACGAACAGUUUCUGAGCCUCAAUAGUCGCCACCAAUUUCUGGGAUGGAUCCAUCCGUAUUGGAAUCAAACUCUUCCUUUUUUUCACAACAUCACAAGUGCCAGCCCCCACAGUUCGGCCACGAGUGUUCUUCCUCUGUGGAGAAGUUUGAGUAUGCGUUCCCUCAUCUAGAGACCCAAAAAAAAAAAACAAAAAACAGUAACUAGAGUGCACCAAAUAAAGGUAUAAAAAUUAAAUGCACAAAAUAUGGUAUCAGUUACCCUGUUGGUGGGAACCCCCUCCUGAGGCUGAUGAAGUACCUUGUUGUGGCUGAGUUGAUUGUUGUUGUGGCAGCUGACAUGGUUGCUCAAGUGGUUGUGGUGGUAGUAGAGUUGAAGUUUUCUUCCUAUUGUUAUUGUUGCUUAAGGUAGCAGCCCUCGUAAGUGUCAUUCUACAAUUACAGACACAUAAACAAAGAGAGAAUACAACAAUAUACUACCAGAUCAUUCCUUGAAAAAAUAAACAUAAAUUAUUGAACAUCAUACUUCAGCUGUAAUGAAUUGAUUCUCAUCACAAACAUGCUUGAGAUAAAUGAAUUAUUCAUCUAAAAAUAAUUGAACAUAAUAUUUUAUCAAUAGGAAAGAAAAAUAACAUGCACAUGCAUUUCAUUACAUGGGGGAGGACACAUGCAAACCUUAUCCGAAGAUAUUUCUUCAAUAUACAGACCUUACCCCUUAAAACAGAUUAAGAAAAACAUAUAGUAACUUGAAGAUAAUUAAGAAACAUAUAGUGCCUAAACAAAAGACAGCCUAACACUUCAAUCCCAAAUCACUAUAAUCAUCACUGUGAACACUGCCUUCAUCAUCACCCGAAUGUAUUUCUUCAAUAUCAUCAUCAUCAAUAAAAUCUUCAUCCUCCAUAUCAGUUGGGACAUGUUCAAAAUUAAUAUCUUCGACAACAAUUUCAGGUUCAACAUACUCUCUACGAAGUGAUGGACUGAGUAGAACAUUAUCUUCUGGUGCAUGUCUGACACUAAUAUGUGCAAUUUGGUCCACAUCAUCGUUGUAUAGUGUUUCUGCCUCGUGAGCCACCUCAUUCUCAAGAACAUCCCACACAUGUCUAUGUGGAAUUUUUUGAAUUACCUUCCAACCAUGACCCAAGGAUGGGUCAUCAAGGAAAAAGAUUUGCUGUGCUUGUUUUGCUAGCACAUAAGGAUCAUCUUUGUACCAUAAAUUCAUUGAGUUCACUGACGUGAGAUGGUAAUCAUGAACAAGCCUAACAAUCUUUUUCUUUCGCUUCACAUCUGUACUUGUAUUGUACCACUCACACUUAAAAAGGAUAACAUGAUAGCCAUAUGUGAAUCCUAUUUUAACAACACUAACUAAUCUACCAUAAAAAUUACUUUCCUGAUCAGCAUGAGUUCCUGGUACCAUGACCCCACUAUUUUGAGUUGUGCGAGUUUCUUCUAUAUCUUUGACAUGCCACCGAAUUCCGUUCACAACACAUCCUGUAUACGUACAAACUCUUUCAUCAGGACCAUAUGAUAAUGCAUACACUUCUUUAGUCACCAAUGUUGAUUCCUCACUAUACAAUGCUUUGACAUGAUGCUUGAACCAUUGGGGAAACGACUGCCUAUGUCUAUGUUCUAUGUUAAACAAGCUUUCACGCUCUAAUAUUUGACGAUGCUCACUGAAAAAAUAAAUAGAAAGUUAAAUCAAAGCAAUAAGAAAACAGAGUGAUAAAAAUAGAAUUAAUUACAUUUACAUACUUUCUAAAUGGUUCAAUUUCCUCGCAAUUGUCCAAGAUAUACCAAUAAAUUGGUUCCAUUUCUCCUUCAGACAAUUGAAGAAAUUUAUAGCCAUUAAAGGGCCGUGCAUUUUGAGAAAAUACUGAGAGCUUAACAUUGGCUUCGCCACCAUCAUCAUUUCGUUCAGGACGAGAGAAAACAGUCUCCACAUUACGAAAAUACAUUGAACAAAAAGUUAAUGCUUCAUUUGCAAUGUAUCCCUCAACAAUUGAACCUUCUGGUCUAGCUCUAUUACGUACAUAGCCCUUUAACUUUCCUAGCAUCCUGUUAAUCAUUGUAUAUUAAUAUUUUAAAUACAAAUGAAAGAGAAUCUAAUCAAAAUAAAUAUAAAAAGAUGAUGACUGAGUAUUACCUCUCUAUCGGGUACAUCCAACGAUAUCCUACAGGUCCCCCAAGCUUGGCCUCACGUGGUAAAUGAAAGGCCAAAUGAACCAUGACAUCAAAAAAGGCGGGUGGAAAUAUUUUCUCAAGUUUGCAUAAAAUGACCACAAUGUCAACCUCUAAUCUGUCCAAAUCUGCAACAUUCAACGUCUUUGCACAAAUUUGUUGGAAGAAACAUGCCAAUUCUACAAGUGGCGCGCACACUUCUUUUAUCAAGUAUGGCCGAAUUCCAAUAGGUAAAAUUCGUUGUAACAAAACAUGACAAUCAUGAGUCUUCAAACCUGAGAUCUUCCCAUCUUUGACAUUUCGUGAUAUAUUAGCAGCAUAACCAUCCGGAAAUUUUAUAGAUUUCAAAAAUUCACAAAAUGCUCGACGAUCAGCCGGUUCUAAUGUAUAUUCUGCAGCAUACUUCUUUAUCUUGCCAUUUUCAUCUUUAUCUAAAUGCAGAUUUCUUCGUAUAUUCAUGUCUUUCAAAUCCAAACGAGCAUUGGGUGUGUCUUUUGUUUUUCCUUCUAUGCUCAACAACGUUCCAACAAUGUUGUCGCAUAUAUUCUUCUCAAUAUGCAUUACGUCCAAGUUAUGUCUUAUUUUCAACUUGGACCAAUACUCCAAUUCGAAAAAAAUACUCUUAUUUGUCCAAUUUAACUCCAUAGGUGUCCGCUUUCUCUUUCUGUCCAAAUUAUCAGGAUGUUUACCAAGUUUACGAUGCACAAGGUGAUUAAACUGAAGUAAUAUGUCAUCACCAGAGAAUUCUCUUGGGGGAUCCCUCAUCUCAAUAGUUCCAUCAAAAUUUUCAGAAUCCUUACGCCAAGGGUGAUUCUUUUUCAAGUAGCGACGGUGCCCCAUAUAACAAAUUUUAUUUCUCAGCUUGGUAGAUGUUGUAUCCUCAAGACAUACGGGACAUGCCUUGUAACCUUUUGUACUCCAACCGGAUAAAUUCCCAUAAGCAGGAAAGUCAUUGAUUGUCCAUAUUACAGCUGCCCUCAUGUUAAACCUUGUAUCAGUAAACUUAUCAUAAGUUUCAAUACCUUGUUCCCAUAACUCUUUUAGCUCAUCAAUUAAAGGACGCAAAUACACAUCCAACUCCUUGCCUGGUGCCUUUGGGCCUGGAAUAAGCAAAGUCAUUAUUGAAUACUGUUGUUUCAUACACAUCCAAGGAGGUAGAUUGUAAGGAACCACCAUCACUGGCCACAUACUAUAAGAUGUGCUCAUAUUCCCGAAUGGGUUAAACCCAUCUGUUGCAAGGCCUAACCUUAUAUUUCGUGGCUCUUCUGCAAACUCAGGGUACAUCUUAUCAAACUCUUUCCAAGCAAUAGAAUCUGCUGGAUGCCUCAUAACACCUUCAUCAUCAACUCGUUUAUUCUUAUGCCACCGCAUGUGACCUGCUGUAUGUUCAGACAUAAACAACCUCUGUAAUCUUGGCUUUAAAGGAAUAUAUCGCAACACUUUUUGGGGCACCAUUUUUUUCUUUUUACUAGUACUAGGUUUAUACCUAGGCUCAUCACACACUGGACAUUUAUCUUUACUUUUAUGCUCUUUGUAAAACAAAGCACAGUCGUAAAUACAUGCAUCAAUUUUUUCAUGCCCCAAACCCAAAUCUUUCAACAUCUUAUUAGCGGCAUAGAAUGAUGGAGGAAUGCUAUGAGGCUGUGGACAAAUAGCACUGAGUAUUUGUAACAUUUGAUCAAAUGACUUGUUGCUCCAAUGAUGAAGUACCUUCGUAUGCAUGAAUUGUACCAUUGCUGUCAAAACUGAUGCAUUGCUACCGGGAAACAAUUGUCGUUGAGAUUCAGCAAUCAACUUCUCAUACUUAUCCAUCUCAACCCUAUGUACAUCGGUAUCAUCCCCCACAUCUUCAUUGUCCCCCAAUGUAUCAUCUACAACUCCCAAGUCUGGUGGGAAUGCAUCAUUCAAAAUAUUAUGCGUAUAAUCAUCAAGACGAGGUGCCUCUUGAGCAGUUGCAGGAGGUGAAGCUUGUCUUGUUAUCUCGAAUUGUUCCCCAUGGUAUAUCCAUGUGUGAUACACCACUGACAUCCCAUACUGCCAUAAAUGUGCUUGGACAACCGGAAGAGAAUGGCAAUUCAUAUUCUGGCACUUCAUACACGGACAUGGAGUCUCAUUCUUCUCAUCCACAUGUUGGCUUGCAACUUCCAUAAAUGACUGAAUUCCAGCACGAUAUUGAUUACUCAACCUGUUUUUAUUAUGUAUCCAAUCCCUGUUCAUCUCUAACACACCUUGUCUCUGUCUUCUUAUACCUCCUAUAAUGGGCCUUAUCCAAUUCAAUCGGUGAUGACUUGAAGCAGUUCCAAAAUUUCAUAACAUGAUUAGAUCGAACACAUUUAUAGAUAUAAGCAAAUAACUCUUUCACAGAAUGACAAGCUAAUAACUCUUUCACAUGAAAAUUAUAAAAAGAGAGAUUCCAUAUUAAUUAUGCUUUUCAAGGGUAAGUAUCAUGGUGACAAAUUUUUUUUACAAUUAUUUCAACAUUAUUUUGCAUAAUUUAGUUGAACCCAUGAAAACAGUUUAAAAAAAAAUGAAGGCAGGCACAAGAUUUGUAGCUAUUCAUACCUCUAAAGCAAAUAUAGCCUCUUAAGCAAGUAUUCCAAACAACCUAUUGGAAAAAAAUAUAUAUAUUCAGUUAGACACAGUAAACCCAUGACACAAGUCAAAAAAAAGAAAAAAAGGCAGAUGCCAGAUUUUUAGCUAUCCACACCUCUUAAGCAAGUAAUUCAAACACCCUACUGCAAAAAAGAAAAAGAAAAAGAAAAUCUGUUAGACAAUGUAUCUUUGGAGGGCUUGAGUCCAAAUUAGUCUUCAAACUCAAAAUAGUAUAUGCCUUCGCCUCUAAGUUUAACCACUCAUCAUUAAACAAACAAAAACAUUAUUUUUCUGAGUUAACUCAAAACAGUAACGUAAUAAGACAUCACAGGAAGCACCAAAUAUCCAAGAUAAAAGUCUCAACAAAAAACCAAAUGGUUCAAAAUAAUAUUGUAAUCAACGCAUCCACUUUAUACAGUUAUAACAUGUACAAUGAAUAAAGUCAGGCUUAAGGUCACAUGUCUCUCAUGUAGUAUAUGAAUUAUCUGAAAUUAGUAAUUAGGCUCUUCAUCUCAAUUCCAUAACAAAUUAUAAUUCAUUACAGUUCUUAAUUAUUAUGCCUUAUAAAUUAUUAUAAAAACCAUUUCAAAUUAACAAAAAUUUACCCUUGAAGCUAAUUGAAUGACCUUCCAUAAUAUUCAAGCUACCAAUGAUCAUCAUAUAAAGCCAAAAUGGUUUGUUAAAAAAGAAAAAAAAAACGUAGCUGGAAGAGCUUGAAAAGGAUUUCCAAAACAAUCAAACCAACAUUGAAGGAUGAUACUCCAUCAGUUAAACUCUAUUGUCCAAUUAAGUGGUACUACACUCAGACACCAAUACUAAGGGAAAGAAAAAUAAUUCCUAAACUGACCAGUUAAUCUAUGGGACGAUGGCCCUGCAGCUAUAGCUUAUAUAUAAAAUAUAGAGACAACUUUGCAGCUAGUUUAUACCUAAACUAUAAAGAGAACUCAAUAAGCUACAUUGGCAAAAAAAUCAAUAACAAUAACAAAAAUAAAAAAAACAUAAGCUCACAGACAAAGGCAAACGAACCUUGAAACGAAUACACCCACAGACCAACUUCCAACUUCUAACUUUUUACUUCAAUUAUAUAAAUGAAUUGUUAUAUUCUUUCUUCCAAUAGAUAGUAAAGAAAUUCAGAAUUAAUCCAGAAGUAUCAAGCAAACAUUCAAGACUUGGAAAACAACCAAUCAGACUCAAAGCAUUAAAACAUAAAAAAAAUGAAAUAAUUAUUGGGUACGUGUGCAAGUGAAACAUCUCAAAUUUGAACAGAACCCACAUCAAAUGCAAAACAGGGCAUUCAUAUCAGACACAGAACCCUACUCAAAUUUGACAUAGAACCCACAAUAAUUAACUACUUGAAAAAGAAAAGUCAUUUUAUUCAGAAAACUUGGACUGUUGAAUGUUCAAGCAUUUAAGAUAUCAAAAAGGAAAAAUCAAGCACUGAAAUUCAGUUUCGAUUUAAAUUCCUGGGUAUCUAUUUUCGAUUUUCCUUGAUUAUUUUCUCAACAACCAAAUGGAAUCCACAACUGAAAAUCAGAGCUCAAAAGAAAAUGAAGGUAAGAGAGACAAGAUAGACUCACCAUAAGCUUUCCGUUGAAACACGUAGUGAGGAGGACUUCGGAGAUGGAGUUUUCAGAUGGCCGUCGAUUCCUGACCGUGGUAGGGAAAGGCGUGCGAGAUGGAGUAUCGCUUGCUGACGUUGGUGGAGGAUUGCUCUGCCGACGUCGGUGGAGGAUUCCUUUGCCGAUGUAAAACAGUGAAGAGUGGGUCUGAGAGGAAAUAACCAAUCGGGAACUUUUUAGUUCAUAUUUUUGUAUUUAAACUCUCCAGAUUAGCCCCAAAAACUAUUUGGUCGCCCAUAUGCUAAUAUACAUAAAACUACGUCGUUUUAUGGCUUACAUUUUUAAAAGCACAAUGAUCUGCGACGAAAACCAAAUAGUCGCUGGCCCCACGAAAUUUUUACGCGCCAAUUCUAACUUAGCGACAACACAUUAAAACUCAGCGACCCAAUAUUUUCGUCGCCAAAACUUUUGAAGUUUCGCGCGCACUCAAUUCCGCAAAUCGCGACCAAAUAUACGUUUGGUCGCCAAGUCCUUGCCUAACCACCAAAAACUUUCGUCGCCCUUAGUUGAUAAAUUAGUCGCUAUUUAGUUGACUCAAGUCAUCACGGAUGUCUAAAAAUCACAAAUCUUUUGGCGACCAACUGGAAAAAUUUUGUCACCGAUUCUCUUUUUGGCGACGCAAAUAUGGUGCGUCGCUAAAAAUUUCGUCGCAAAAGAGGUUUUUCCUUGUAGUGAAUGUUGUCGCGCAUAACCUUUUGCUCGACGGCAAAUUGGGUCGCGCGAUACGUGCCCACAAAAUUUGUGCGACGCAAUACUGUUGUCGCAGAAAUCCAUUUUAGCGACGAAAACGUUCAUCGCGCAAAAAUAAUUAUAUGUAUUUAAAAAAAAUGAAACAUUAUUUUUUCGGAAUAUAUAAAUUUGCGCGACGACAAAGCUUUCGUCGCGCAAAAUUAAUAUAUACAUUUAUUAUAUAAUUAUAAUAUUACUUUUGUUUUAUUUUAUAAAAAAAUAAAUUUGGUUUUCUUUUUUGGGUAAUAAAAUGAAAUUCCAAUAAUAAAAAAAUUGAAGUCAAUAACAAAUUUAUUAUAUAAAAUAAAUGUAUGCUACAAGAGAAAGAUUUAAAAAAUAAUUACGAAAAUAAAAAAACUAAUCGAAUAAUGUUCCAAAAUCUACAUUAUCGUCUGGCACAUGCGGUUCAGAGGUCUGGGGGUCUACAGGGGCCGGCGUCUGGUGGGGAUGCUCGGGAUGGACGGGCUCGGAGGUCGGCGCAUCAAAAUGCGGAACUGGAAUGCCGGACUGUGCGAGAGACUGCAGAAUGACCGACAUCUGACUCUGAAGAGUGGCCACCUAUGCUGUCAAAGCAGUGACCUGACUGUUUGACUGCUCUGAUGAACGGGGUUUGGGUUCCCUCCGCCUGGCAUUCCCUAUCCCUUGACAAUAUGUCCCCGGUCUCCUCCCUAGAGUCUGAUCCAAUGUCUCCGUCAAGAUCUGAAACCCAACAUCCUGUGCAGGAUCCACAGACUCGAUCGGAGUAUCGGGAGGAAGUUGGGAGGCGGACUCCUGAAGAACCAACUGGCUCCUCUCCACCAUCGUCGUCUGUUUAGCAUAACAUAAAAUAUAAAUUCAAACAUUCAUAUAAAAACCUUUAAAGUUGAAUGCGUAACAUAAGAAUUAAAAUUAAAUAAUACUUACAUGAAGGGACUCGGCCAACUCAUUCCCAGGUCGAACAUAAACGUCGCCAAAGAUGUCGAUAUCUGAGAAUUUGGACCCCCCCAAAAUUGAACAAAAGAAGAAAAAUAUUAGUACGAAAAAAUAAAUUAAGAAUAAUGAAAAAGUAAAAAUUAAAUAAAAAUUAUUUUAUUAUUACCUGACGCCGUGCAUCCAUCCUAUACGAGAAGGGCCUGGAACCCGAAUGAUGGAGAAGAGUCUUCUUCUUCCUAUUGCCCUUAUUGAUUUGGGCUUUAUUCUGUUAUACAAAAAAUAAAACGUAUUAGUUGAAAUUGAAAUUAAAUAUAAAAAAUUAAAAAAACAUUAGUAAGAAAAUAAAAUAAAAUAUAAAAAAUUACCACAAAAGCGGGCGCCUGAAAAUGAGCGCAGAGCCACGCCCAACUAUCCUCCCGGCCCUCAAGCUCUUUCGGACAACCCUCUUGAAGAGCGACUUGCGGAUCAUCAAACGCCUCAAAAUGGUGGUUCAAGUCGCUCUUCCACUGUUUGUACCUCUCAGAGAAGAGUCUGUUGACGUACGCCAAUGACUCUUCGUCAAGGUCCUCCAAGUUGUAGUUCGUCUGCAAUAAAUUAAUUACAUACAUUUAAAAAAUAUAAAUAUAACGUUUGAAAGAAAAAGAAUGAAAAGGCCUACAUACCGACAACUGGCCGCGAACCUCAGUCUUGGUCUCGUCAGGCAUCACCUUCCAAGACUUCCAUUGCAUCGGGCAAUAGCUCCGAAUGACAUGACCAAUGUCGUCGGCCAAGGAGCUAUGCAACUCCGCCGUCGGUGCAGCUCGAUGUCGCUCGUCGUAACCGAUGUUGAUACGACUGUUGGUCACUCGGGUGACCUUCGCCGUCUUCAACUGCCGACACGGCCCUCGGGUGUUCUUCUUGGCUGCAAAGAAAGAUGACAUGAAUGUUAAAUAAAUAACAAAUUUAACAAUAAAAUACACACACACACAAAAACAAAAACAAGAAAUAAAAAAGAAAAUUAACUGGAGAAAAAGGAAAGCUAUACCUGGCUGUGACCCCGAUGCAUCAGUGGAUGUGGUGUCGGUGGUGCUGGAGGGCCGAUGACGCCGCCUGGCGCUAACAGGCUGCGCCACUGAUGACGCUGAUGAGGCAGGCGCCUGGGACCCCGCAGGUCCAACUGCCAACUGGUCUAUCAAUGCUGGCGCAGUGGCAGCAGAUGUCGGCUGAGUCGGGGGCUCAGAACUCUGCGUGGUCGUCACCGCCCUACGACGUCUAAUCAGGUCUGACAUCUGCACAAUUUCAUUAAUACACAUACAAAUUAAUAAAAUAUACAAAUAUUUGAAAACACAUACAAUUUUAUUCAGAUUAUUGACCUAGGGUUUGCGAGUUCGGAGUAUCCGGGACUCCGAUCCACGAUCCGUCGAAUCCUAGACGAUCCAAGAAUACAAGGUACACCAUGCGUGAGUUUGAGUUCGAUCCAACGGUCUGAACAUAACAACCCCGGAAAUCGCACAAUAGGCAAAAUUCGUUCGAGACGCAAACAGUAACCAAAUUCCAAUCCGAAAACACCUACGCGCUCGUGACAACUACAGGAUUGCACUGGGACCUAAUUCAGGUGGCUACAGUAACCCACGCGCCGCCCCACGCGCCGGGAGCCGCGGGUGUCCAAAGCAAUACCAAUCGCUGGAAAAUUCUAAAAACUAAGGGCCAAGGUUCCUACCCUAGGUUCAAAACAUCAAUUGGAGCCACUUUUGUUCUCGGACAUACCCCGAAAAAUGGUCGGAAGUGGCCGGAAUUGAAAAUCAAAAACCGGCCCAAACUUAGGGUUUCAAAUUAACUGCCCUAUUACAACAAUUUCAGAAAUCCUACCCAACCAUCAGAUAAAGCAUCAAAAAUAGGACAGAAACCAUACCUCAGGUGUCGGAAUUGGUCGCCGGAGGAGAGAGAUCGACGGCGGCGCAGAUUCGAUGAAAAUCGAAGAAAUUGCGGCGGCUGGCUCGACGGUGAGGGCGGGGGAGCUCCGGGGUACCACCGUUGUGGCGGCCCGGUCCAAAUCCACCGGGGUAGGAGACGGAGCUGACGGCGGAGAGAGAGACGAAGAGGUUUAGAGUUUCUGCAAUCUGGGAAGAAUGAGGCCAUCGCGUGGUUUCUGAAAUUUUAUUCGUUUUUGCGCGACGAAGGUAAGCAAACGUCGCGCAAGAAAUUUUAAAUGACUAUUGCGUGACGAAACAGGUACGUGUUCCGUCGCGCAAUGUCGUUAAUCCGCCAAAAUUUGGUAAAAGGGUGGUUUUUGCCCGACGCACAACGCAGCUUGUCGUCGCGCAAUGUUGGCAGUCUGCCAAAAUUUGGGGUUUAGGGUUUAGCAGGCGAUAUUGAAAUCUUGCGCGACGCACAACGCAGCCUGUCGUCGCGCAAUGUUGGCAGUCCGCCAAAAUUUGAGAUUUAGGGUUUAGCGGGCGAGAUUGAAAUCUUGCGCGACGCACAACGCAGCCUGUCGUCGCGCAAUGUUUGCAGUCCGCCAAAAAUUGGGACCUAGGGUUUAGAACUUGCGCAACGUAUACGUGGACCGUCGCGCAAAAACUCGCAAAAAAAUGUAUGCUAACCGUCCAAGGCGAAAGACGGUGAAAAGGAGAAAGGGCUGGCUGAGAUUGCGCGACGAGUACGUACAGCGUCGCGCAAAAACUCGCAAAUUUUUUUGACUAAGUGUCCAAGGAGGAAGAGUGUGGAAGGUGAAAGUUCUGGCUGAUAUCGCGCGAUGAACAGCAUUGGUUUCGUCGCGCAAGACUCUUCCAUGCAGGCUAUGUGCGACCAAUUAUACUUUGUCGCGCGCUGUUGUAAUAACGGCAACAUUUUUGGUUUUAUUGUGGAGAGAUUGCGCGACAAAAAUGUAAACGUCGCGCAUGUCAGCUCUCUGUAAACGCGAAAAUAUUUGUAACCAAGUGUUGAAGGAGGAAGCGCGACGACGAGUCGUUUAUUCGUCGCGCAAGACCGUUGUUUGGAGGCUUUGUGCGACCAAAGAGAGUUAUUCGUCGCGCAAACCCUAAACCCUAAAGCGCAGAAACCCUAAACUCGGAACUAGUUUUCAUGAUCCAACCGGCAAACUUGUUUUUUUAUACUUCGAGAUCGUAUAUGCCGAAAAUCAAAAAAAACAAACAUUAAGAGAUCAAGUAACAGGACAAAACUUGUCGACGGUUCUAAAUGAAAAGUCAUGAUUUAACGUUUAUUUUUGCUCUGAUUUGUAUGAUUUUUUACAGCUACUUUUCUUUACCCUAUAUGAAUACAAUUACUAAAUUUGAUCUUCAAUUUCAGAUGUUUACACUAGGGUGAUACGACAUAAUGUUAUGUUAUAUUUAACGAAAGUAUAAGUAAACUAUUCAUUGUUGCUGAAUAUAUGGUUUUGAUGGCAAACGCAUUCUACGAAAAUAGGUUCAGCAAUCCAGCCGUCAAACUUGUUUAUUUGUACUUCGAGAUCUUAGACCCCAAAAAGCGAAAAAAUCAAACAUUCAGAGAUCAAGUAACGGGACAAAACUUUUGAACGGUUAUAAAUGAAAACUCAUGAUUUAACGAUUAUUAUAACUCCGAUUUUGAUGAAUUUUUACAGCUACACUCCAUGACCCUAUAUGAAUACAAUGAACUAACUCGAUCGUCAAUUUCAAAUAUAUAUGUGCAUAUAUAAUAUAUAUUAUAAAAUAAUAUAUAUUUGCGCGACGAACAUAUGUUUAUCGUCGCGCAAACUUUCAUCGCGUGACGGACGACACGUUGUCGCUCAAUUUUUUUACUUCACGCGACUAGUGUAUUUUGGGUCAUGCAAAAUUUGCACGACGAGGUUUACUUCGUCGUGCAAACAUGGCACGACGGGGUUUACUUCGUCGCGCAAGGGUUUUCAGUUUUGAAAAAUGUUUGUUGUCAAUAAUUUUCAAACUUUGUAUAAAAAUGUUUGGAUAUAUUUAUUUAUCAAUGUUUUAUAACAAAUUUUGUAUCAUUUUCAUUUUGUAAAUGUGUUUUGUCAAAAAAAAAAUUAAAAUUUAUUAUUAAUAGGGUUUCGAUAUAUUGAUUUACCAAUGUUUGAUAACUAAAUUUAUUUGAAUAAUGUUUCAGUUGUCCACAUAUAUAAGGUUUGGAUAUAACAACUACAUAUAUUCAAACAUUUGUAUUACACAAAGUCUGUACAGUAACAUAAUAAAAUUACAAAAAAUUUAAUUAUUCAUCAUCUGAACUAUAAUAACUUUCGUUAUCGUCGCUAUCAUCACUUUCGGUCUCCCAAUCCUCCUCCUCCUCCUCUACUAUAACUACAUCAUCUUCGCUGCUCGGGCCCACUACAACAUCGAAUCUUGGAAGAUCCCCGAGGUCAAUUGUAAUUGACUGAAUCGGUAUUUCGAUUGAAGACACUCCUUGUAUUUGAAACGGUUCUUGUAUAACAUGUGUAUCUCGAAGUGUUUCCGCAUCAUUUUCCAUUGAUGAUUCUAAACGUUGGUCAGCCACAUUGUCGACGUCGUUGUCAGUUAGGUCUAGUUCUGGUAUAGCAUACACGUUCCUAUGAUCCAUCUUCUGAACAACUUUCCAACUGCUCCCGGCUUUAGGGUCAUCUAGAUACACAAUUUGUGUUGCCAUGUUUGCCAAAAUGUAAGGGUCGUCAUCAUACCAAGUUCUGUUAAUGUUCACAGAUAGUAAGCCAUGGUCGAUUUUAACACUUCCCGGCCUAUUUGGGUUGCUAUCAAACCAUCGACACUUAAACAUGAUCAUUUGGUAUCGAUCUUUGUAAAGCAAUUGAACGACAUUUGUGAGUUUGCCAUAGAAAUUAAUGUUUGUACUUUCGCCUCCACCUGGGACAUGGACACCGCUGUUUUGCGUACACAACUUGUCAUCUCGUGCAGCCCCCAAAAAUUUAACGCCGUUAAUAUAACAACCCGAAAACAAUUCAGCGCGAAUCGGGCCGAAGGCCAAGUUAUAUAACUCAUCACUGUAAGUGGGGGAAUUCGAUGAUUUCAACUUAUUCACCUAAUAUAAUAGAAAACCAUUCACAUGUUAGUCUGAUAAAUUAAAUACUACAAUUUAUAUUUGUGAAAUACAAAACACUUAUAACUUACAGAUUCCAAAAACCAUUGUGGAAACAAUUCACAUUGUUUCUGGGCAACUAAAUGUGAUGGAUGUUCUCGCUUCAUCAUCUCUUCAUGCUCAUCUAAGUAUGCCAUUAUCUCGUCACAAUUGUUCAGUACGAACCAAUGCGCUACUUCCAUGUCAUUUCUAGAAAACGACUCUCCUCGUCCAGGAUCUCCAAAGGGCCGUGCGCUUUGGGCAAAAACAGAAAGUUUUUCCUUCUCAUACCUCCGUCGUUAUUACGCUGAGGACGAUUGAAAGCCGUCUCCACAUCUUUUAAAUACAUUCCACAGAAAGUAAGCGACUCAUAUUGAACCCAAGCCUCUAUAAUUGAUCCUUCGGGCUUCGCCCUGUUGCGUACACUUUUUUUCAGCUCUCCGAGAAGCCUGUCAAAAUAAAAAGAUAUGAUACAAAUUAGCAAGCCUGUGAUAAUGAUGCAUACACAAACGAAAAGGAUUAUAUACCUUUCUAUUGGAUACAUCCAGCGAUAGUUGACAGGACCAGCAAGCAAUGCCUCUUCUGGCAAGUGAACCAUCACGUGCAUCAUACUUGUGAAGAAAGCUGGAGGAAAUAUCAUCUCAAACUUGCAUAGGACUUGGACAAUGUCAUGGCGCAACUGCAAUAUGUCUGUCUUUCGCAAUGUUUUUGCCGUCAGUUGGGAAAAAAAUCUGGACAACAACAUAAUUGGCUUCACAACAUCUUUCGGCAAUAGAUGUCGAAUACCCACAGGAAGUAGGCGUUGCAUAAACACAUGGCAGUCAUGGCUCUUAAGUCCAGUAAAUUUACCCCCGUCAACAUUCACGCAACGUGCGAUAUUAGAAGCAUACCUAUCAGGAAACUUUACAGACGAUACAAACUUUAGAAACUCUUUUUUGUCAUUCGGUUUCAUAGAAAAGAAUGCAAGAUCCCUUCUUGCUUUAUCACUGUCCCUGUUCAUCCAUAAUCCCCUUCGUAUGCCCAUUCUUUCCAAAUCAAGACGGGCUUUGAUUGUGUCCUUUGUCUUGCCCUCGAUAUCUAGAAUCGUGCCCACCAAUGUGUCAAAUACAUUUUUCUCAACAUGCAUCACAUCUAGAUUGUGCCUCAAUUUGAGUUUCGACCAAUAUGGGAGCUCAAAAAGCAUAGGCUUGUGAGUCUAGUUCAUAUGUGUCGAAGGUCUGGUCCGGCUAACUGUUUUUUCGAACGGAGCAAAAUCCAAACGGUUAAGCUGUUCCAAGAUCUCAUCACCGGACCAUUCUCUAGGUCUGAGGCGACGCUCUGUGUUCCCGUCGAACUCUUUAUCUUUUUCCCGCCACUCGUGGUCCCAUGGCAACCAUCUCCGAUGACCAAGGUAACAAACUUUUCCCGCGUGCCAACCAGAAGUUACAUCUUCCUUGCAUACAGGACAUGCCAUAUAACCCUUUGUGCUCCACCCAGAAACCAUUGCAUAUACUGGAAAAUAAUUCACAGUCCACAUAACUGCUGCCCGCAAAGUGAACAUCUUCCCAGUUGAUUUAUCGUACGUGCGAACACCGUUUGUCCAUAAAUCCUUCAGCUCAUCAACCAGCGGCCUUAAGUAAACAUCGAUUGACCUCCCAGGAUCCUCAGUUAUCAAAACAGUCAUCAUCAUGUAUUCUUUUUUCAUGCAUUUCCAAUGCGGCAAAUUAUAUGGGAAUACGAAAAUCGGCCAAGUGCUGUGGUGUUGGUUUAGAACCCCAUACGGAUUGAAUCCGUCAGUGGCAAGUCCUAAUCUCACAUUUCGGGGAUCAGCAGCAAACUCGGGGAACGUUCGAUCGAACUAUUUUCAUGCCUCCCCAUCUGCAGGAUGCCGCAUUACAUCAUCGUCUACCCGUUUUUCCUUAUGCCAUCUCAUGUCUGUUGCAGUGUGCGUCGACAUAUACAAUCGCUGCAACCUAGGUUUCAGGGGCAGAUAACGCAUGACUUUUUGUGGGAUCUUAGUCGUUCUAUUCUGAGAUGUCAUUUUGAACCUCGACUCAUUGCAUAUAAGGCAUGUAUCCAACGUUUCGUGCUCCUUGUAGAAUAACAUGCAAUUAUUUUUGCAGGCAUGAAUUUUUUCAUAACCCAAUCCAAGACCAUUCAACACCUUCUGCGCGUGUUUAUGAUCUUUUGGCAAACAAUUGUCCGUCGGAAGCAUUCUCUUGAAAACCCCUAAAAAGUAAUCGAAACACAGGUUCGACAUACGAUACUUUAUUUUUCCGUGCAUUAGCUCUACAAUGGUCGUGAGAACGGAAAAGCUCUCGCACCCCGAGUAUAACUCUUGGUUUGCAUUUUUUAACAGUUUUUCAUAUUGUUCAAACUCCGCGCUGUCUAUUGGUGUUGGCACGUCAUCUUCCCUUUCGUGAUUGAUGUUGGUCGAUGCAAAUGGAAAAAUAUCCUCUAUAAUAUCCAUGACUUGAUCAUUAGGAUCCACAAUAUGUUCAACACUGUCCAUUCUUGUGGCAUUUGAAGACGAAGCAUAGUCUAAUUGUUCCCCAUGAAGGUUCCAAAUGCUAUAUGUCUCAAUCAUUCCAUUCCUUACUAAAUGAAAUCCAACAUUUUCAAUUGUCUCCCACAACGUGUUAUUACACCUCCUACAAGGACAUCGGAUUCUAGUUGCACCCGGGUUGUGUCUACGUGCAAACUCAAUAAAAUCCUCGAUUCCAUCCAAGUAUUCGUCUGAGCAUCUAUUUGGGUUCUAUAUCCACCUUCUGCUCAUAAUUCCUGAAACCAUAAUCACAACAUAACAAUCACAACAACUUCAUACGAAGUUAUAAUGUCACCUUAUGCCUCCGGUAAGGGCCCUAUCCCAUUCGGGAAUGCAUAGUUCUGUCACGUAACCUACGGCUACAUGAGAUUAGAUUUCGACAUGGAUGAAUUUCGGCAGCAUCUCGAUACAGUUCUUGAGGUGGGCAUAGGUAUUAAUACCUACGUACCACCCGAAGAACGUACCGAGAUGACACCGAAAUCUCCACAAUCGAAACCUAAUCCUGUAGCUGUGGAUUACGUGACAACACUAUGCAUUACCAAACUGUCCAAAUAGUGGGACAAUUCAAGAAUUAAUUGGACCGCAGUCAUGCUUUACGCAUCCAUGUACAAAAUCCAACUAAUCUCGAACGGGAAACUAAAUGUUACUAAACAUACAAAUAAAAGUACGAAGUUAAUUUCAAUUAACUUCGUACAUCACAACACAUUGUGCUACAUCACACACAAUUUAACAACAUAAUAUAAAUAUAACUUCAGAAAAAAAAAUGUACACAUAACAAACUAACUUUAACAUUUUUAAUAUAUAAAACGAAUAAAAUACCGUGUCAAUCGUUCUCCACCAAUCGCUAAUUAUAAAUAUCCCUAACGAGAAUAAAAUUAAUAGCGUUAGUACGAAUUUACAUUAAUACUUAUAAAGUAACGACAACAAAUACUUACCCGAUGAACGUACUGAAUUUCCAGCAGAGACAGCGGUAGAGAGGUUGAGAGAGAGGCAGAAAGGAAAUUUUUUUCCUUUCUGCCUCUGCAAUGGCAGAGUUCUGAUAUGAAGAAGAAGGACUUUACGCGACGAAUAAUAAAAUCCGUCGCGCAAAAUACCGUCGCCAAAAACCUUUUUUUCGUCGCACAAAACGAGUUUUUUCCGUCGCGUAAAAGCUUGUCGACAAAAAAACUUUUGCGCGACGUAAGAUGUCUGCGUCGCACAAGAUUCCGUCGCGCAAAUUCUUGUCCUCGUCGCCCAAAAACAAAAUUCCGUCGCGUAACAAUUAUUCUUCGUUGCGCAAGAAUGUACCGACAUCUGCUUUACGCGACGAAACAUAUUUCGUCGCGCAAAAUAAAAUAUCCCCCCUCAAUUAUUUUGGCGCCAAAUUAUAAAUAUCCUUCGUUUUCUUACGCGACGAUAAAUGGUUUCGUCGCGCAAAGUUGUCUUUUGCGACGAAACCUGUCGUCGCAAGAGUUUUCGCAGCCAAAUCACCUCGCUUUUACGCGACGAAGUAUACCAUCAUCGCGCUAUGUUUUCUUACGCAACGAUUGCUCUCGCCGCGCAAGUAUUUGGCGCCAACAGAAUACCCGGGUUUUUUUUUCCCCCCUUUGCGCGACGAAGUUGUUUUUAUGUCGCGCUAAGAUGUUUUGCGCUUCGAAAACUUUGGUCGCGCAAGUUGUAAAUUUUUUGCGCGACGAUGUAUUUUUUGCGUCGCUUUAUUGCGUUUUGCGUGACGAAUAUGUAUUCGUCGCGCAAACUUUUGUCGCGCAAAUAGUAAAACGUAGUAGUGAACACCCUUUUAUAUGUACAAAUUUUUUACAUUUUGAUUUUGUCUUUACAAUGUAUCCAUUAAUAAUUCUAAGAAUAUGAAAAAAUUUGCAACUCUUCUUUUGGUACGAUUGAGAAUUGACUUGGUGAACUCUUAUAUAGUGUUUGUGCAUAAAGGCCCUUGACAACUUUCUCUCGAGUAAUGAACUUCUAAUCUUUUUUUUUUUUUUUUUUUUUUUUUGUGUGGCUACAACUAAGUAGAUCCAACAUAUUUUUUUUAACAACCAAGGACAAUCAUCAUAUUUUUUUAAGAACCAAGGAUAGCUUACAUUCUAUAGUUUGUCCAUCAUGUCAACACAUUUAUAAUUAAAACUUUUUUUUUUUUUUGUGAGGUUUCAAUUUUGGUGUCACUGUAACAAGACCACAAUUGCCAUUCAGUAUGCUAACAUUGUCACUAUGUUUGCCAAUUGCAUAUUAUGUAGAAUAUGAAGGCUUUGGUGUUUUGUAGAUCCUCGGGGAGCCAAACCCGUCUUUAUAAAAAUGGUCCUUAUCAAGGGUGGAACCAGGAAUUUUUCAACGGGUGGGCUAGCUAAAGUUAUUAGCUUAAAAUUUAAUGAUUAUUUUUUUUUGGUACUUCCAAUUUCUAUAGUCUUUCUAGAAAUAAAAGUAAACAUUAAAUCAUAUAUACCAAGCUAGUUCAUAGCUCCAUAGACUAAUUUUCAAUAAGUUUUAACAUAAACUAAAUAGGGUUUAACACCAUAGUGGAUUGAACAUCUAAGGCUUUUUACCUAGAUUGACCUGAGAUUCCUUCAUGCAUUCAUAUCAUACAUGAAAAGUUGUUUUAUGUAAAAAUAUUGACUAAGUAUGAAAAAUGGAUUUUCGGAAUAAUCAUUUUUUCAAGAUAAUUUUUGGCGGCUUUUAUUCCUCACACAUCAAAUAAGAAAACUUGAUUUUAUGGAAUUUUUGUAUGAAAUAUAUAUUGACUUAAUGAGCCAUCAUUUUUAGCCUAAAUCAUAUUUUGCACUAAAACCGAUUUUUCAUAUUUUGAUUAUGUGGGAAUUUGAACUUGUAUCAUUUGAUGAUGCCAUGUGAAUCGCUAGAAACAUGUAAAGUGUAUGGCUAACCCAAUAACGAAAGUUUCGUAAGGGAACCGGAGUAGGCUACCAUGAGAACAAAACGGAUUCUUCCAAUGUAUAAAAUAAAAAUUCCAAUGGCUUUUGCUAUUAUAACCUUCCCGACCACGAUUUUUUCUUUUUUUCUAGGCAUUUCACCUAUAAAAAAAAAAUUGUAUUGAUACUAUUGGAACAAAAAGGGCGGGCCCGGCCUGGUCAGUACUUAGCCGGGCCGUGGAACUAAAAAGGCCCUUCGGAUCGGAUGAAAAAAAAUUAUUAGGGUUUUUUAAGCCUUACAAAUUCCAUUUAUGUAUGUACUCCCGGGAAACAUACAGUACUCUAUUCCACAUUCCACAGAUCGGGAGUAAUCUAUAGGAGUUCUUGAAAGUAAAGGAGCAAUAAAAAAUUUCUUGUUAUAUCAAGAGGUUUGUUAUUGCUCCUUUACUAUUUAGUAUUUUUUUUUAUUUACUACUUAACUUUACUAUAUUGUUCUAUAUUUUUUUUUAGUUAAUUUACUAUAAAAUUUAAUUUCCCCAGAUACCGUCAUUGCUUCUUCUCUGGGAAAAGAAGUUCACGACUCGUAGGCCUUCUACCUCCACGCAUCAUUGCUCCGUCAGGCUUUCGCCCAUUGAGGAAAAUUCCCCACUGGAUCAGAAUGAAGAAUCAAAAUAGAUUCUUAAAGUAGACAAACAAAAGGGGUUAGAGACCACUCAAUAAAUGAAAUACCUAAAAGGUUUCUUUUGAGUUAUUUGAGAGUUACUAGUAUUUUUAUUUUAAUCUAAAUGGGGGGUACUUCCUUAUUUAUAUUGUAAACUUGAGUAAAUAGAAUAAUAUAAAAAUAAAUAAAAGUAAAAUGACAAAACAAUAUGUACAGCGCCACUAACUGGCUAAUAUUGAAAAUAAGUUACAUAUAUAGGUUUUAUAUUUUUUUUUUCUUAAAAAAUCACACUAGGCUACAGCCCACUGUAGCCUUUAGUGUGGUUCUGCCCAUGGUCCUUAUGAUACUACUUUAACAACAACAAAAAAGUAUAAUAAACUAGGCCUUUGUAGUCAUUGAAAUGGAUGUUUUGUCAUGGAUAUGACUAUUUAAAUGUAAUUACGGGAUUAAAACAAUAUAAAUUGGAGUAAACUAUAACAUUAUAUAUGAUCCAAUCUUUUUCAUAUAUUUUUGUUCAAGACUUUGUUUUAGAAUGCUCUAUUACUAAUUUGGUAUAGGUCCCUAAAAUCUAUGCCUUUAUGAGGCAACGUCUUUAUUUCUUUGGUUAUUCCAGUUUAGAAUAUUUGGACAAAUGAGAUGACUCCCAACAUAAAGUCACAUUCAUCCAAAAAGCAUGAAAUCACACACAAAAAGAACACGGACAAUUACUAAGUUUAUCCUUGUAUUUUUAUUUUAUUGAUCCGACCCAAUUGAAAAAUAAAAAAAAGAUGAUAAAAUAUAUUGUUCAUUGCUUACAUCUGUGAGUAAAGUCCUCCAUUUGAAAUUGCGUCAUUACACAAAAUUGGAAUGAAAAAAAUAAAAUCCUACAGCUAAAUUUGAUAUAUUUCCUUUUCAUUUUAUGUUGGGUGUUUUAAGUUUUCCUUGUAUCUUGUUGAAAAGAAAAAUGAAAAUAAAUAAAUAAAUUCCACGGCUAGCAACUUCUCCACCUACCCUUCUUCCCAUGUACUAACAACAAGGGACGCCUUCGAUCCUUAAAAAGGACAAGGGAUGCCAGGUCAGCAUCUCAGAUAAGUAUCCCAACCAAAAUCAAUCAAAUAAUGACAUAUGUAUCUCUUUUUGUAUUUUGUUCUAUUUCUCUUUGAAUUAACUGCAGAUUUUCAUGAGCGUGUCCUCCUUUUGAAAUUGUGUAUUAUUCAAAAUUGGAAUUUGCUGGUCAUAUUUGAUAUCAACUAAAAAAGUUUCCAAUAUCUUGUACCCGUUUUUUCCAGUGUGGGUCAAAAUUUGAAGAAGUCCACCGACAAUUUCUCAAAAGCUAUUACCAUAUUAUUGCAUCCAACUUUGAAAAAUAGAAGUUUUCAAAAGUUACCCCAAACAACAGUCCUUGAAAGAGAGAGUUCUCCAAGGCUAAAGAUUACAAGGAUGUUAUUUACAGUCUCAACAAGCUUCAAAAUUGGAAUUUGCAUUGUGAUAGUUGAGUGGAGGACAGGCUUGAGUGGAAGAAUUGAUUAAUUAUGGAACAGAGCCAAUGUGGAGAUUGUUGAUUAGUGGCUCAUUUAGUAGUCAAAAGUGGAAAUCAGUUUCGGUGAUUUUGUUUACUAUCAUGAUAAGUGGCUUGUCUUUGCAUGGUAAGUGAGCUGCUAUCAUAAUUAUUGAGUGGAGCACUUGCCAAAGUGGAGUUGUUGUAGUUUAUUUUUCACUCACUGAUGGUUGACGCUUCCGCACAACAAAUGAAUCAUCCAUUCCAACUUUUGUUUCUUCUUUUUUAACUAAAUUUUGAAUUUCAACGAGUUUCGCACAUUAAUAUUUAAUAUUAAUUUAUGUACUUGUACAUACAUUGCAGUAAUAUAUAUUAACAUACAUAUAUGUUCAGAGUUUAACAAUAAUAUGUGCCUAUAAACAGGGACGGAGCCGGAAAAAAUAUUCAUUGGGGGUAUCUCCAAACAAUAAAGUAAGAGUAGAAAUUUCAACAACAUACUUAAAGACAAAGUUCAUACAUUAAUGCAUAAUGUUUUUCUUCUUCCAAUAAAAAAACCUUCACCCACGAAAUAAUUAGCACCUGCUUGUUCUCCUCCAAUAUUUGGUUUUAAAAGGUAGCAGCAAAGACAAAAUGCAGAAUCAGUUUCUAUACUAUAGUCCAACAAAGUAGAAAAAUCAUCAAACCAAGCAGGAUUAAUGUUUUUCCAAAUUGCUUGUAAGGGAAAUUAUGGACUCUAGGCUGACAUGGACCUUUUUGCAAAUAUGCUCUCCUAACUUGAUCACUAACAUUAGGAUUGUAAGGGAAAACCAAGUAAACUUACCUUACCACCUUGACAUUGAGAAAAGAAGAAAGACCAGCAAGCAACUGUUUAGAGGAGGAAGAGAAGAAAGAGUCGUGGGGGUGGGGGUGGGUGAUGUGGGAUUGGGUUUUGUAAAGGGAGCUGAUUUCCCCACUCUUAUUUUCUCACACUUACACUCCUUUUUGCUUUUUAAUACUUUUUAAUCACUUUUGUUCUUUCUAUUUCCUAGUCUAUUCUUACCCUACAUUAAUUUCUUUUUUUAUUUUACUACUAUAUUAUUUCUUUUUCUUUAUACUUAAUUUUCUAACUUAUACUCCAUUUUCAGUAAUAAAGGGAAAAAAAAAACUUAAUUUCUUACUUGAUUAAAGGAAAAAAAUAAAACUAAAAAUGGAGUGCAAGUUAGAAAAUUAAGUAUAAAUAAAAAUAACUAAUAUAAAAGUGAAGUAAAAAGAAAUUAAUGUAGGGUAAGGGUAAAAUAGGAAAGCGAAGGAACAAAAUUGAUUAAAAAAUAUUAAAAAGUAAAAAAGAGUGUAAGUAGAGAAAAAGGGAGUAGUGAAAUCAUAUCUCUUUGUAAAUUGUAAUGCUUUUUAGGGUAACUAAAGAAAAAAUUUGAGUGGGUUUGGGGAGUGUAAAAGGAAUGUUUUUAUCAGUUUAAAUGGGUUUGGGUGAAUGGUUUCACGUGGGUGAGUGGGGGCAUGUGCACCCAGUGGGCCUAUGCUGGCCCCGUAUAAUAUUGUAUUUACUCUAGCGUAUAAUAUUGUAUUUACUCGAGCUCAAUGUCCUAUGAGUGGGUGCAUGCAUUCAUGUGAAAUUUGUGGUUGGCAAAAGGGGGCUUGGCAUUUCGAGUUGAUGGACGUUUUUGGGUGUGUAACGGAAGACUACUUGUUGGCAUUUCGAGUUGCUAAGGAAUAUUGUAUACAGUUAUUUGUUAGCACCCAAAAUACACAAAGAACACAGACAAUUUGCUAAGUUUAUCUUUGUGUUCGCUGCUUAGAUCCAUGAGCAUUAAAGUCCUCCUUUUGAAAUUGUGUUAUUAUUCAAAAUUGGAAUUUGCUGGAGAUAGUUCAUUUUUACCUUGUAUCAUUUUUGCCAAGUAAUUUGAAGAACUCCACCGACAAUUUCUCAAAAGCUUUUGCGUCCAACUUUGCGUAUACAUGGGGACCCCAUCCCCAUGUGAGGCCACCGAAAAGCUAUUGUGUUGUACGUACACGAUAUUAUUGAAGCCACAGAAAAGUUUUCAGAAGUUGCCCCACAAACAAAGAAGAAAAGUCCUUGAAAGAGAGAGUUUUCCAAGGCCCAGAUUACAAGUUCAUGUUAUUUACAAUCUCAAAAAGCUUCCAUACAAGUUGUGCUAGCCUAGCUACUUGCAAAAUCUUGGAAUAUUUUACUUCAUCCAAAUCCCUUGCAGUCUGUCUGCAGAGAAGAGAAAAGAUGGCUUUGAUCGGAGAGGCUCUUAUCUCUGCUUCCGUCCAGGUGUUGUGUGACAGAAUUACUUCAAGCGAGUUCGUCGACUUAUUUCGGCAGAAGAAACUGGACGAACCACUCCUCAUGAACUUGAAGACGACACUGUUGACUUUGUUCGUGGUGCUCAAUGAUGCAGAGGAGAAGCAACUUGUGAACCCUGCUGUGAGAGAGUGGCUUAACGAGCUCAAGCAUGCUGUCUUUGAUGCAGAGGACUUACUGGAUGAGAUCGACACUGAAGCUUUGCGACGCAAGCUGAAAGGUGAGGAUCAAACCCACAAAUUAACCAAUAAGGUGUGGAACUUACUCCCUUCUUCUCGUAAUCAUUUUUAUCAAAGCAUGAAUGUUAAGGUACAAGAGUUGUUGCAAAGAUUAGAAAACUUUGUACAACAGAAAAUUGCUCUUGGUCUGGGAGAAGUUGCUAGGAGGAAGGUUUCACAUAGAACUCCAACAACUUCCUUGGUUCAUGAACCUUGUGUAUAUGGUAGAGAUGAAGUCCAAGAAAAUUUAUCAAAAGUGUUGCUAUCUGAUGAUGCAAGCAAGGAUGAUGUGUCUGUCCUCACCAUUGUUGGAAUGGGUGGGGUUGGCAAGACAACCCUUGCUCGAAUGCUCUACAACAACAAUAAGGUGGAAGGGCAUUUUACACUUAAAGCUUGGGCUUGUGUUUCAGAAGACUAUAAUGCUUUUAGAAUAACUAAAACUAUUCUUGAGUCAGUCACUUCAAAGCCUUGUAAUACGACGGAUCUGAAUUUGCUUCAAGUUGAAUUAAGAGAGCAGUUGAGGGGAAAGAAAUUUUUAUUUGUGUUGGAUGAUCUAUGGAAUGAAAAUUAUGGCGAUUGGGAGCGCCUCCAAACUCCUUUUAAUUCAGGGGCCAGGGGAAGCAAAGUCAUUAUAACAACACGGAACAAAAAUGUAGCAUCUUUAAUGAAAAAUGUUCCCAUUCAAUUCUUGGAACCAUUGUCGCAUCAAGACUGCUGGUUGUUACUUGCUAAACAUGCUUUUGGAAAUGAAAACUAUAGUGCAAAUUCAAACUUGGAAGACAUUGGCAAGCAAAUUGCACUCAAGUGCAAAGGGUUGCCUUUAGCUGCACAAACACUUGGGGGUUUGUUACGUUGCAAUAUAGAUUCUGAGGAGUGGAAUAGAAUACUAAAUAGUAAUAUUUGGUACCUACCCCAUGGUACAACUGACAUUCUUCCAUCUCUAUGGUUGAGUUAUCAUUAUCUCCCCGCUCAGUUAAAACGAUGCUUUGUUUAUUGUUCACUUUUUCCAAAGGAUUAUGAGUUUGAAAAGGAAGAUGUAGUUCAAUUAUGGAUGGCAGAAGGCUUAGUUACUCAAGUUGAUAAUGGGAUGAUUAUGGAAUCAAUGGCUAGAAAAUACUUUGACGAGCUAUUAUCUCGGUCACUGUUUCAAAAGUCAAGAGAACUCAGUUUCACAAUGCAUGACCUCAUUCAUGACUUGGCUAUGUUCAUCUCUAAGGGGUUUUGCCUUAGGCUGGAAGGGGUGGAAUCACGUGAAGUUAAAAGAGCUCGUCAUUUGUCAUAUGCUAGGGGAAGAUUUGAUGUUGCUCCAAGAUUUGAACCAUUAUAUGAGGCUAAAUGUUUGCGGACCUUCCUACCUACCUCUUUAAAUCCAUAUAGAUCUUAUGAGAGAUUUUUUGUAAGUAAAAAAGUUCUACAAGAUUUGUUGCCAUCACUAAGAUGUUUACGGGUGUUAUCAUUGUCACGUUAUCAAAAUGUCACUGUGUUACCUGAUUCUAUUGGAAACCUCAUUCACUUGCGCUACUUGGAUCUUUCCCAUACUGCAAUUGAAAGGUUACCUGGGGUACUUUGCAAUCUCUACAACUUGCAGACUUUAAUAUUGUCAUAUUGUUCCUCUCUCUUUGAAUUGCCUGCAGACAUCAGAAAAUUGAUUAAUUUACAGAAAUUGACAUUGGGCGGUUGUAGUUCUCUUAAUAAAUUGCCUGCAGGCAUGAAGGAGUUGACUAAUUUGCAUCAUCUUGAUGUCAGUGGAACUAAAAUUGAAGAGAUGCCGGUGCAAAUGGGUAGAUUGAAAAGUUUGAGAACAUUGACUGCAUUUGUUGUGGGCAAAUCUACUGGGUUAGGCAUAAGAGAACUGAAGGAGUUCCCACAACUUCGAGGAAAACUAUCAAUUUUGAAGCUACAAAAUGUAGUUGAUGCGAGCGAUGCACUGCACGCCAAUAUGAAGCACAAGAAAGAUCUCAAGGAGUUAAAGUUUUCAUGGGGCGCGGAGGAUGCUGAUGAUUCCCAAAAGGAGAAAGAUGUACUCGACCAAGCUCCAGCCUUGCGUGAAUUUGGAGAAAUUAACCAUCAAAUUCUAUGGUGGAACCAAUUUUCCGAAUUGGUUAGGAGACUCGUCUUUUUCUAACAUACAAGUCAUGCAUCUCAGUGACUGUAGUUAUUGUUGGUUGCUCCCACCAGUUGGACGGCUA
RNAcentral lists this long non-coding RNA (169776 nucleotides) under Prunus persica (peach). RNAcentral's name for it is "long non-coding RNA (PPER_LNC001940)". The record is from RNAcentral. Lineage: Eukaryota; Viridiplantae; Streptophyta; Magnoliopsida; Rosales; Rosaceae.